GAGAGAGAGAGAGAGAGAGAGAGAGAGAGAGAAGAGAGAUGAGGACGCUUCGCUUGUCAUCAGAUGGGCAAGUCGACAAAGGAAAGAAUCUACCAGUGGGAAACGGUGGAGAGAAAGAAGGGGGGGGAGUCUCACGUACCAAACGGAUGGAGAAGAUUUGCCCGAAUGGUGUGGAUGUGGGCGAAGAUGCAGUUGAACUCACGGUGCAUGUCAAGUCAAUCUUAAUCGUCCCCUCACCCACUCUCGCACAGAGCUAAGAUACGCACUGCCUUUCUUAUCUGCAUUUACGCCAAGCUACGUCAUUCUCGUGCAAAUAUUGCACAUAUUUCGCAUGCUUACGUUCUCAUCGAAGAAAGUUCGACGCAAAGAAACCCAAUUCAUGGGGCCAGUAGCGAAUAGAUAAAGAUUCUCCACGGGGGUCCAUCCGGGGGCCACCGUAUUCCAUGCCGUAAAUUGCCUGCCGUUAGAGCUGACAAGUGGCGGGAGGGUGGUCUCUCAGACCGAGGCCCGGCCUGAGCUUUCUCACCCGGGAUUCCGAGUCCCAGGUGCUCGUCAACCACCGUAUGUCGGCGGGGAGCCUUCUGGGCCUCUUCGGCGGGCAGGUGAACUGUGACUCCAUUGAUGGAUCCAAUGAUGCGAAGGCGCUUCUAGUCUUCUGCUCACUGAUCGUUGGCCGUAUUGAAUAAAUACAAAAAAGGCUCUUCCCUUGUCUUUUCUCCCGCGGAGGUCGAAACUUGGAAACGAUGAGUGAUCAUAGGACCAGUCAACAAAAAAUGACUUGGGUUCGGCUUAGCUCCCGUGAUUUCCGUACAUAUACGCCAGGAAAUGACCAUAAAAUGACUUGGGAUAUGCAUGAAAAGGAGACGGAGGUUGACCAGAGAAGUAGGGUCUAUGAAGCAUAUGGAAAGAACAGUCACUUUGACUUUUCAAUCUGUGUUCAUACGUCUCGUGGUAAGCGUGCCGUGUCAGGGUGAUCAUGCAAAGGAGACGUAGGAACAACGAGCGAGAUAGAGAGAGACGGACGGAGAGAGAAAGAGAGAGAGAGAGAGAGAGACGGAAAUGGUUGAAGAUGACAAGAGGAGAAAGCCCAAUGAGAAACACAUUCUUCUCGGGAGAGGAGGCUGCGUCUAGUCAACUUCAUAAUUUGUCAAGAUUCCUUUCUUACUCGACGCAUAUUUCCCGGAUUCAUCUCCUAAUUGGAUAUCCUCCAAAAAAAAUGGGCGCCCACCAGAAAAAAAAUCCACAUGCACCGACUCGGGAUUAAAGCUUCUUAAAGAUAUAGAAGAGAUAACGACUCAUAUAACUUAGACGGGACAGAUUCUCAUCCGAUCGACGAGCCACGCUUCUGCAAUAAUUCCAGCACGGCGAGCACCUCAUGCCGACGCAGCCGAGCCAGCGCUCACUUCUGGAAAUCAUCCGUCUGGAUGUCUUUGUUCUAUCCGAUAUUCAGAAUAAAUUGAAGAAUCAAAUCCCAAAAGAUGACGCCGACUGCGGCCACUCUCGCCGUUUGACCGCUAGCCGAAAUAUUAGAAGCCUCAACGACCAAGCUUUCAGCCCUUCCUCGACGGCGCUGUCUCGGAGAUGGCUAGCCACAGAGGCCUCUGCCAUCUCCUCCGCUUGCCCCCCGGCGAGGUCCCUCGACCAAGCCGCUGCGGGGAGUUCAGGGUCUGUGAAGAACACUCCGGAUAUGAGGUCAACCCCCCAUGGCCGGGCUCUAACAACAGAAAGAUUCUUGAAGGGAUUGAAGUCGGUCCGCUUCCACUCCCUACGUAUAACUUUUUUAGAUCCGAUUCAAUCAUCCAAGCACACUGCUCAAGGUGGUCAACUGGGUCUGUGAAUAGCUCGCCGGAUAUGAGGUCAACCCCCCAUGGCCGGACUCUACCAACAGAAAGAUUCUUGAAGGGAUUGAGGUCGGUCCGCUUCCACUCCCUACGUAUAAACUUUUUUAGAUCCGAUUCAAUCAUCCAAGCACACUGCUCAAGGUGGUCAACUGGGUCCCCUCUCGAAGUCAGCUUUGCGAUAUCAAAAUUUUCAUUAUGCUUUCGUAAAUAAAUUAUUUUCUCGUCACUUGAUCGUUUCCAGCUCCCUCACGAGUGCAUGCAAACGAUGGAGACAAGGUGUUUGCUCCUGGUUGCGCUUCGAGAGAGCCUUGCAUGUGCCCUAGUGUCUGGUAUUUCUUUUAACUCUGGUUUAGGUGUGAGUCUUGUAAAGGGCAUAUAAACGUGUUGCUCCUGGGCGAGAUCAUGAGAUAAAUAUUUAUUAUUUUUUAUAAUAAUCGGGAAACUUUGUAAAAAGUUGACACUAAAGCUUAGGGUAAUAAUCAAGCUCUCCCCGAGUCAUUCAUAUGCUCUUGAGGGACCUUUUUUUUUCCUCUUGCACUACCUUUCCUGACCUUAGUAAUAUCAAUGCCAUCCUAAGAUCUGCCUGAAAAUUAAUUUUUCAAUUUACAUCCAUAAAAAAUGUAAAGGAUAUAUUUUUGUGUCAACGACCUUCAUGCAAUUGCAAGCAAUUAAUUACAUGGGAACCCUUGGAAUAAUAUAAAAUAAUAUCACAUUAAUUGCGUGCAAUGAAUGUAAAUCAUCCAAAUUGGGGAAAAAACAAUGUGAAUAAAAUCAUUCAUGGAGGAGCCCUCAUUAAAGCAUGUAGCACCGUACCAUCUUGAGGAUAUUCUAGGCCAUGAGAUGGUCAUCAGUCAAGGCAGCUCCCCAUAAUAGGAAAUUAUGAUAUCUAAAUAGUAUAUAAGCUGUACACAUCAAUUUGAUUGCCUUUGGUUUAAAAUGAUAUUUUGUACCCUUGAAAAUUAUGGAAUAUAUUUACACAAUAAAAAUAUCAAUUUUUAUUGUUUAGAUCCAUUUUGUUACUGCUUGUUGAUCAACGGGGCUUUUGGCUGAUUAGAAGUACAGUGAGUGGUAAUCUUAAGUUCUAAUCUGGCCCUCUGAUAUAUAUAUAUAUAUAUAUAUAUGCCUGGAGAGAGAGAGAGAGAGGAUCUGAGUUUACUACGCGCCUGGACGACAAUAUAAAGCGUGCAAAACAUAAAUUACUAAUUAUUUUUCCUAAAUAUUUUUACAAUUCGCAUGGCCCAUUGAAUAUUUUAAAAUUUUAAAAGUGGUGUUUAAUUAUUCUAAUUCCUCGGAUAUCGCAGCCGACGACCGCUAUAGUUGCCCCUCGUUGACCGAGCCACGGCCCCACCCCAGUAAUCGGAUCCCGAUCUGUUCCGGCCCAGGGAAGCGGAAUACCUUAAAUACCCUUCCUUUUUUACUGUAUAUGGAUAAUGUUCUGGAGUAAAGGGAAAAGGGUAUCGGGGUCAUAUGGUAUUGACUUCCAAGGCUAGUUAACUUUAAGGUACAGAAAUAAUAAAAUCGAAAUGGAAAGCCAAAUCUGAUCCUUCCGUAACCUUCCAGUUGCAGAGAAAGCGAGACCCGGCGUCUCUCUCUCUCUCUCUNNNNNNNNNNNNNNNNNNNNAGAGAAGACGAGACCGGCCGUCUCUCUCUCUCUCUCUCUCUCUCUCUCUCUCUCUCUGGCUCCCUGUGUGCCAGCUCGCGAUCUCCCGGCUGUUAUUGUGAGUAUGUUGAGCUUUUUUCUGUACACUUUGUUCGACUUAUCUGUUGUUAUCGCCCCGUCUCUUGCUUUUCUAGGUUGUCUCGCCCCCUAGGUUGACACUGCAGAUUGCCGCUGCUCCGAGUGAUACAUCAGGCGCAUCUUGGGCUCUUUUGCCCUGCGGCCGUUGAAAUCCAUGUUCAUCUGUGCCCCAUGGACCCUACCCUGAACCGUACGACGUCGCCAGUCGAGGAGGAAGACGAGUGGGGUAUGUUUAACGCCACAACUACUGUCUUCCCAUAGUUUGGCAUCUUGCUAUUUUAUCGAACGUCUUGGCUUUACCCAUAACAGAGAAUACUGCUUUACGUUGUAAAUUGUUGUCUCCGUGUUGAUGUGGGGAGUUAAAAAUAGUUUGUAUCAGUAGGAAAUUCUGUGCGGGAUUUUUAUUUGGAUCUUAGACCAUCUACUAUGUCCGUCUCUCUCAUUCUUGUGCUUAACUUUUUUUAGCCUGUUAUGUUGAACUUUUUCUUACUUUUCUACCUGCUAUUAGUCGUCAAGAUCACCUGGUAAUAUUUUCUUCACUUUUUCGUGCUCUUUUUUUGGUCAUUCACGCAUCCAUAUGCGCUAUCCAUGACUUAAUUACUCAUGUGUGUAUGUGGUCGAUGCUGUUUUAGGCUAAUGUGUGUUCUGUCUGGCCUCACAAGUGAGGCAUUCAACCCUGAUACAUAAUUUGGUAGGUUGAUGAAGAGGUUAGAUUGUACGAUAUAGUCUACGAAUGAUAACGUUCUGAUGGACAGGGGAACUUUCAGGUGAAUGUUGAUAAAGGAACAUACUCUUCUUCUAAUGGAUAUUUGGAAUAUUUUCCACUCCUUUUAAGCAAAUAAAUAACAGACGUGACAUUCUUAAGGAUGAAUUAAAAGCAAAGCAAUCCAUUGAAAUCAGUAGAAACUGGCGUGAGGGAGAAGAAAGAUAAUCAUCCAGAAAAUCGAUAUAAUGUAGUGUUUUGGUAGAAAAAUGAAGAAUCAUCAAAGUUAUGUGUAUGGGGUUUAACAUAUCUGCAAAAUAUUGGGUGAGUCGAGGUUACUACACAGAUAGUUUUUAUACGCAUUUGCUAAUUGAUCCUAAUGCUCAGUGAAUGUAGAAUCACUUAGGGCAGAAAGUAAAUAUAAAUAGCCGCAAUCAGGUUGUUUAAAAAGAGGCUGAUUGAUUUUCUUUUCUUAGAAAUAUGCUCACAGUUAUUUAUCCUCUGAAACUUUUUACUUGUCAUUUGCCAUACCAUAUCUGUGCACUUUGGCUCACUUUUUGCUUAAUGAAGACAGCCCUUUCUUUUUCCCUUUAUCUUGAACUAUGUGUUUGUUUUACAUACUUUCAUUGCUGCUGCACCUCAUGCAUUCUAUGCAACCUCUUCGAUCUUGCUGAAAGUAGGUGCGGAAGUCAGGUUGGAUUAACUUUAGCUGCAGCAUGAACUGAUUGGCACAGGGAAGGCAGGUAUAAAAUUAAACCCAACAGCUUUGAACCCACCUGACUGAAAAAAAAAACUUCCUGGCCUUAGUCAAUCCAAAUUCGGAACCAGAAUGCCGUCUGCCAGCCCAAACGAAUUAUAGCUUGAAAUAAGAUCAGGAUGCAUCUGUUCAACUUAUAGGCUACAUCAGUUAAUGAGCUAUUUUUGUUCCAGUCUGCAUGUAGAUCGACUGAAGCGGCCAUCCAUAUUCUGAUUUGAUCAUACAGGAUUGAAUAGCUUGUAAUUUGUGGUGACUCAGAGCUUAUGUUAUUUUCCUUGGGUUAUUGUGUUUCAAGCCGACCAAAUUUGACAAAAAAAUUAAGAGGGAUGUAUCUACAAAUUCAAAGGCGCAUUUAUAUAUUAAAUGAUAUUACAAUUGUGAAAGGUCUAAAAAAACUUCUAUAAGAUUUUAUUUGAGAGGAUUAAAUGUGAUUUGGAAGAUGUUCUUUUACAAUUCUCUUGUCAAAACCAUCGACAAGAUGCUGUUGAUAGGCUCCAUAUUUGUUACAAUGGUGACUUCUGCAUAUCAUUAAAUCUGAAAUCAAGCAAGUGAUGGAAGAUGAUGCUUUCUGAACAGCACCAGAUACAAGAUCCGUUUUGGAGAGAUGUGAUGAACUGCUUGAGCCAGAGGCAUAGUAUAUAUUCUAUAAUUUUUCAGUCUUCAUGUAUGUUUGGAAGGGGACCACCUGAGAAGAAAAUAAUAAAGGGUUGGGAUUUACUUGGAGUUUCACUGUAGUGUAAUGCAUUUACCUUGUUGCAUUUUAGUUAGGUUAGACAUCUGAGAGCGGCAUGAAAGACGGAUAAAAAUAUUGGAAACAUGUGAUAUACUCGGGAGACUUCAGGUGCCCUUGCUGUGGUGGUUAUGGUCCAUACAUUUUUACCUGGAGAAAAAAAGCAAUGAAAAUAUAUUCUAUGCUUGGCAGAGAACUGAGCUACGAACUAUUUUUUUGAGGAACGAAAAUACUCCUCUGUCUUGAGGGCCUCGGCCAGCUUCGUCUAGACUCUGGUGAGGUUGUACAGAGGGUUCGUGAGAGCACACUGGAAUGCCUGCUCGAACCUUUUUUCUAAAUAAAGGAUUUUUGGAACUUGUAGAAUCCACUUUCUCAGCCUUCUGUUUUAUAUCGGUUCCUUCAUACCGUAGUAAUCAUAUAUGAAGGCCUUACCUUUAUACAGCAGAAAAAGCUCCCUAAAACUGUGUAUUUCAUUAAAGUGCUCUGAAGUUGUUUGUUCUCGAUCUAUAGGAAAUUCCACUUAUUAGGAAUCAUUCUGGUUAAAGGACCGGUAGAGAUGUGAAUUAUUUAUUCGUUAGUUCCUGGGAGAUCCAUAGCAGCUAUAGGGCUGCAAGUACUAAAAAAAAUUGAGGUUCUUGAUCAGGUCCCGGCUGGUAUUGUACGGUUAUUUGGCUGGCCACUGAUGUCGUCUUUAAUGUUUCUACAGUUUACUUGUGUUUUAUUUUUACUAGUGGGUUUCUUAUUGGCGAUGAUUCAUUGAAAAAAAAAAAAAACGUACGCUGUAGAGCAGGAUGGGAUGAGACCAUAGAAGAGAAACCCAGUUAUCUCCUCCCUUCAUUCAGCAUACCCUCUAGUUUAGAAGCGUUGACCCUCUUCCAUUUUUCAGAUACCGAUGGAUUUGUGAUCCCAAGCUUGUCUAUCGGAGAUUCUGAGGGCGGCAAUCGCCAUGCUUCAGCAGUAGUAGACCCCGAACCGCCCUCCAAGGUAAUUCUCUCCUUCUGGGCAUCAUCUCGUAUGAUCAAAUUUUAUAGGAUGAGUGAUUCGUUUGCUCUUGUGGCAGCCCAUCAAGGAAGAGAAGAUCUACUUGGGACCCCACGGGGCUCCUCCUUCUCAGGCGAAACAGCAAGACCUCAACCUCUCCGGCAACAGGCUGCGGCCCAAGAACAAGCUGAAGGAAGCGGACCGCAGGUUUUCCGGCGCCGGACGGGAGAACAAGGUCGAAACCCUGCGGGAGCUUGUGGGCGGCAGCGCCAGGGCCAAGAGCACCGCCAUGGCUAAGGGUUCAGCCCGCGACUGGCUCGAUCCUCAUUAGAGAGGUCCCUCUCCUUCGCCGGUCAGACCUAGAAACAUACUGCAAGUUCGUCUGCGAUCGUCGCGAGGCGAUUACACCCGUUUAUAUAUGUUUAUGUACCCUUCUGGGCCCUGGAUAUGGCGCAUGAGACGUCGUGCGAAUUCAUCAGUUUUCUUGUCUUUACAAGCUCAGUUCUCAUGCUGUGGGAAAUCAUUCGGCCGGCAACGCCGCAGUCGGAUUGCCGAUCGGUUGGGGAGAUUUUGAAGGAGCGAGAUGUGCGCGCUACAACGGGGAGUUGUCUCCGCUAUCGGAUAGGGACCUUGAUCCACCCAUUGGCGAAUGCCACCGCCAGGAUGAUGAACGGCGUCGACAUGCCGAAGAUGAUGAUGUAGGGCAGCGGCGUCUUCAUGGGGUUCUCCCCCUCCCUCUCCCCCGCCGUCUGCCAGUACCUGCAAUUUUCCAGGCUCCGCCAUUGAUCCCCCGAAGAAGACGAACAAGAAGAAGAAGAAGCAAAAAUGGCCUCAGGAGGUUCCAGAGGGCGGCGGCUUACUGUUCGGGCUCUUCUUCCCUGGUGAUGAACUUCUUCUCCGGCUUCUUCCCCCCACCUACGACAGAAGGGGACCGAGAACUUCGUCACGGAGAUGGGACGACGGGAGUGAAAGGGACGCCCGUUUAGUUACCUAAUUGGGCGCGGAUACGGGUGGCGGUGGCCCUCCUGGACGGAGCGGCGGCGGCGGCGCCGCGGCGCCGCCCGGGGGCAGCCAGGCCGCCGGCGAUAGCAGGGAGGAGGAGCGCCGCCGCUUGUGCCAUCGUCUUCUUCAGUCCUCAGCAGGAAGGAAGCGACUCGCAUAUCUUGUACCCUCUCGUUUGGAGUGGAUAACGGAUAAGGUGGCGAGAUUUUCUCCGAGUGGCCCGGCGUAGCUCCUCCAUGGAGAGCGGCCAGCUGUUUACCGGACCGGGGCCCACCUCUGGGGGGGGCGAAAAUGGGCCAAAUCCAUUAACCCGUUAAGGGAUGAUUGGGCCUUAUGGGCCCAUCAUGGUGGGCCCAUCAUUGUUCCUGAUAAGGUAUUUUCUGACGGGGAUCUCGAUUUUUCAUGAGCGAGGAGACGGCGGCGGCGGGCGGCGGCGCUUGAGGGGAAACAAUGGCGUCAAUCCACAUCUCCUGCACCUGUAGCACUGCUACUGCGGCCGCUGCUCCUUCUUCCUCCGUGCUCCAGGACGGGCGCCGCCGUGCUUUCCCCUUUGCCUUCUUCCCCUCUUCUUCUCGCUUCCCCACAGUGACGCACUGUAAAAGGCCGGCUCCGCUAGCCAGGGUCUCCCUCCAUGACCCUGUUCCCCAGACCUCCGUAGAACCCCCCGCGGAAUCACAAGCGUCGCCGGAGAGGAAGGCCGCGGCUGCCGUGAGGAGCACCAUCUGGGUCAACCCUAAUAACCCGAGGGCCUCCCGCCUCCGGCAGCAGUCCUCGGAGUCCAGGUACGCCCGCCUCGCCCAGCUUGCUGAAGCUCUCGACUCCUGCAACCCCGCCGAGCUGGAGGUCGCUGAAAGGCUCUCUGUCCUGGGGGAGAAGCCGUCGGAGCAGGAGGCGGUGAUCGUGCUGAACAACAUGGGUAACCCCGAGACGGCCCUGCUUUCUCUCCGGUGGUUCCGGGAGAAGAUUAGAGUUAAGAAAGAUGUCAUCCUCUACAAUGUCACCCUGAAAGUCAUGAGGAAGUGCAGGAGCUGGGACGGGGCGGAGAGUCUACUGAAGGAGAUGCUGGAGAGAGGGGUAGGCCCCGACAACGUGACGUUCUCCACCAUAAUUAGCUGCGCCAGGGUGUGCAAUCUGCCUGAGAAGGCGGUGCAGUGGUUUGAGAGGAUGGGAGAAUUCGAUUGCCGACCUGACGACGUCACCUAUUCGGCGAUGAUUGACGCCUAUGGUCGCUCGGGUAACGUCGAUAUGGCCAUGAAGCUGUACGAUCAGGCUCGAGAGGAGAAGCGAAGGCUGGACCCUGUGACUUUCUCCACGGUGAUCAAGGUAUAUAGCACCUCGAACAAUUUUGACGGCGCACUGAAUGUGUACGAGGAAAUGAAGGCGCUGGGAGUGAAGCCCAACUUGAUUACCUAUAACACGCUGUUGGAUGCGAUGGGCAGAGCAGGCAGGCCAUGGCAGGUGAAGACCAUAUAUCGAGAGAUGGAGAGCAGUGGCUUCUUGCCCAACCGCGCAACGUAUGCAGCGCUGGUGCGUGCCUACGGUAGGGCUCGUUAUCCAGAGGAUGCCCUCAGGGUUUACAGAGAGAUGAAGGGGAAAGGCAUAGAGCUGAAUGUGGUCCUCUGCAACACCCUCUUGGCCAUGUGUGCCGACCUGGGCUAUGUGGACGAAGCCGUGGAGAUAUUCGAAGAGAUGAAAAGAUCACCCGAGCUCUGCAAACCGGACAGCUGGACCUACUCUUCUUUGAUCACCAUCUAUUCUUGCAGUGGGCAGGUCGAAGAGGCGGAGGGCAUCUUCAAUGAGAUGGCGGCCUCUGGGUUUGAGCCUAACAUCUUCGUGCUCACCUCCCUCAUCCAGUGCUAUGGAAAGGCCAAGAAGAUUGACAGCGUUGUCGAGACCUUUGACCGCAUGCUGAAAUUGGGUAUAACACCAGACGACAGGUUCUGUGGUUGUCUUCUGAAUGUGCUCACUGAAGCCCCGCAAGAAGAGCUGGGGAAGGUAAUCGAAUGCAUCAGUAGAGCAAAUCCCGCAUUGGGUUCGUUAGUCAACCAGCUUGUGGACGAGAAAGUCAAGGACGAGGUGAUCAAAGUUCAGGCUGAGGAGCUAUUCACAAACAUUGGCAAGGAAGUGAAGAAGGCUUACUGUAAUUGCUUAACUGAUCUUUGCGUCAACCUGGAUAUGCUGGAGAGGGCGUGCGUGCUCUUGGACAUGGCUCUCAGGCUGGGGAUUUACUCCGGUCUUCAGUCAAAAUCCACCACCCAAUGGUCCCUUCAUGUGAGGAGCCUCUCACUCGGGGCGGCUCUGACAGCCUUGCAUGUCUGGAUGAACGAUCUAUCCAGGGCACUGGAAAACGGCGAGGACCUGCCACCAUUGCUGGGUAUAAACACUGGUCAUGGGAAACAUCGAUACUCAGAGAAAGGAUUGGCGUCUGCCUUUGAAUCCCAGCUGAGAAAGCUGAAUGCGCCUUUCCAUGAGGCCCCAGAUAAGGUGGGCUGGUUUUUGACGACGAAGGUUGCUGCCAAACCAUGGUUGGAGUCGAGGAACUCACCUACCGUUGCUGCUGUCUAGGCUACGAUGGAUAUAACUUUUUUUUUUAAUAUAAGAUCUCCAGGCAAUAUAUAUUUCUCUUGAGUGUUCCGUUAUUUUUGUGCCCACAUAGUCUUAUCAAGUUUCUGUGUUAUUUUCCUCGCGGCAUAUCGCACUGUACCAACGGUACCUCAUUGUUCCUAAACCGAGCAACGAGGGUGCUUCUAGAUUGGUGUAUUGAAAAUGAGGCGGAAUCUCAUCUUCAGGAGGCUUAUUGGAACGCAUCCGCAAUGAUACUGCUUCUGAAAUAAAAUCUCUACUGCAAUGAAGUUUUUUUGCAAGGUUGAGCAUGGAUGAGCAUCAGACUGCAGAUCAGGCGGUUGCCCUCUUGCCAUAGCGCGUCCCUUUCAGAAUGGCGCUGCCUCUGAAGCCGAUAAGGAUCUGCCAGGGAGAAGAUGGGCGUUCCUUGGGAUCACCUAACCAGAGGUCUCUUGGCCCUGAGGGGUCUGGAGAGAUUUUGGCAAGCCUGCCAGGAGGAAGAAGAACCUGUGCGUUCUCUUCCAGGGAGGCCGCCAGGGAGAAGGAGCUUCCUCAGCCCCAGUUCUGUUUAGUGGCCUGGCGUGGUCUGAGUGUUCCUGAGCUGGUGCUUUCUAGUAAUCCGCUUGCCUUUGGGGGGUCCAAUGGCUUCUCAGGCUUGCCAACAGUUGCCUUCUGCUUGCUGCUCCCGACUCUCUGGAGAAGAAGACAGAGAAGAGCUUCAUUUAGGUAUAUGACACCACUACAGAAAAACUUAAUUCAAAUUACUCCUGAAUUUUCUCUACUAAUAUCAUAUAUCUAAUUUCAAAGAAUUUUUGACAUCUCAUUUGAAUUUGAUUGAAAUGAAAGUGCGGGAAUAAUUACUACCUUAAUUGGUCUCAAUUUUGGAAUUGGGAAGAAUAUAGAUAAUAAAUAUUAUAUAGAAGAGAGAUACUUUAAGAAGACAUUACUACCUUAACAUUAGGAAGAAGACUUUAAUUCAUUGGAGUAACUCUUUUUUUCUUUAGUGAAGAGGUAAUUGGGACAGAGAAUAAAUAUUAUAUAGCAGAUAGAAAUAGAGGAGGAAAAUCCAUAAACUAAUGUAACUGGAUGAUUUGAGAUUGUCAAUCUCCUUAUAUGAUCAGUCUUCACUUACCAGUUCCUAUGAAUGUAAUCACUCUUUUAUAAUAUUAACAAUAACUUACUUAUGUUACUUUAGUAGUUAGAUAUAUCGCCCACAAUCAGUUUAUUAUACUAAAAAUAUUUGCAGGCCAACCUACGUGUUAUUGUUGUCCAAAGAUCAGAUACUUUUCCUCCACAGUGGGUCUAGUAGUGAGAGCGUCCCAUCAUAUCCAUCUAUAUACUAUGUUAUAAAUAGUCAUCUCGUAGCUAUAGUAUCGACUUGAUUCUCAAUUAUACUCUAAGGUCCUCUCUGCAAUGACUUUGACUUCUAGCAAGAUGAUUUAGUGGAAGGAUGAUGUUGGUAGAAACAAAUAUUUUAUUUUUAGUUCAAACCUAGUGGAACCAAGUCCUAUUAGGGAUGCUACUCAACAUCUACUCACCACAAAGCUUCUGAUAAGAGUGUUGGUCCAUUUGAGAUUUAAGUGUGGCCCUUUUUCGUACUAUUGAAACUCAUAUUUUCUACUAUUGAUGAUGGCCUAAGAUCAGUAUAUUGAAUUUCAUCCAUAAUUUAAUAAUUUGUCCUCACAUAGUGAGGAAUUAAUCAUAUGAAGGUCAUGCUGUAUUUUAGUAAUUUAUUCACUUCUUGUGAACUUUAAUGUCCCCACAUUGGCCAUGCUUGUCUUGAUCAUGUUGCUCCCUCUUGUCCAACGUCUUUUGAUUAACUCUUUCACUUCUCAAUUAUUACAGUUCAUAUUGGUCUACAAAGGACGAAAGUCCUUGUUAUUUCAUAGUAAAUUUUAUUUUUUUAUCAGUCUCCUUGAUGCAUACAUAGAGAGAGAGAGAGAGAGAUCAAAAUUUUUUAGCUAUGAAGCUAUCCAUCAUGACUAUAGCAAGUACUGACACUAAGAUGAUUCAUUGCAUAAGUGAUCAAGAUUAUAAUUUCUUUUCUUCACAUAUUGUGUGCAUGUGUACCUACCUCUUCACAUUAAUUCAUUGUCCUGAAAUAAAAUUGCACAUGACAUAAAUAUAUUUUCAGCAUGCUUGCAUCAAAUUUGGAACAUCCUUUUGGUUCUUUCUAGCAAAAUAUAUCAUUUUUAUUAUCACAGACGUAAGGUAGCUACAUCUGAGGUAAAGAGCUCUCAUUCUUCAUGCGAGUUACACAAUAUUGGGCGCAAUGAGAUUUUCCCUUCUAAUAUUUUGAGAUAAUUUUCUUCCUAAUGCUCCUUUUGCAUCCUUCUCUCGCCGCAUGAGGAGAAUUGCAAGUGCGUAAAUACAAUUUUUCACGCGGUUAUAACACGUGGAUUGUCUGCAAGUUUGAGUUCAAUUUUUCCAUUGGGUCUAGAACAUAAUUAAAGCACGUUCCUGAUGAAUGCCAGUCAGUACCUUCUCGAUCUCUCUCUCUCUCCCUCUACCUUCUCGAUCAAGAACCUGUUCCUGCUUCCCGCCACCUUUUCACUCUCCCUCUACCUUCUCGAUCAAGAACCUUCUCCCGUCGAGAUCCGAGGGAAUGACCACCCUCUACCCUGCUCUGCCCCCCAACCCCUUCAAGCGGAACCACCUGCCGGACGGCCUUUCCGCCCCUCCGCCUCCGGCCUAGAAGAGGAGGCUCGGCGCCGCCGGCGGGUCCUCGGACGACUCCGACGACGGGUGGCUGCGCUCCGUGCUCGCCCGCGAGUCGGUCGCGUCUUCAUCCUCUCGGGGGGCGACGACACCGAGACCGCGCGCCGUCGCGACACCUAUUCGCCGGGGGUUUCACCUGGACGUGGGCUCCUCCUACCGGCCGAAGAAAGGACAGAGCCCGCUCGGCGAGGACGCGCACUUCAUCAGCGACGCAGGAAACGCCUUCGGCGUGGCCGACGGGGUCGGCAGCUGGAGCCGGUGGGGGAUCGACGCCGGCGAGUUCGCCCGGCAGCUCAUGUCCUCCUGCGAGGCACAGAUCAAACUACUCUCCAACCGUGGAGUCAUCGGGACCACCCUANNNNNNNNNNNNNNNNNNNNNNNNNNNNNNNNNNNNNNNNNNNNNNNNNNNNNNNNNNNNNNNNNNNNNNNNNNNNNNNNNNNNNNNNNNNNNNNNNNNNNNNNNNNNNNNNNNNNNNNNNNNNNNNNNNNNNNNNNNNNNNNNNNNNNNNNNNNNNNNNNNNNNNNNNNNNNNNNNNNNNNNNNNNNNNNNNNNNNNNNNNNNNNNNNNNNNNNNNNNNNNNNNNNNNNNNNNNNNNNNNNNNNNNNNNNNNNNNNNNNNNNNNNNNNNNNNNNNNNNNNNNNNNNNNNNNNNNNNNNNNNNNNNNNNNNNNNNNNNNNNNNNNNNNNNNNNNNNNNNNNNNNNNNNNNNNNNNNNNNNNNNNNNNNNNNNNNNNNNNNNNNNNNNNNNNNNNNNNNNNNNNNNNNNNNNNNNNNNNNNNNNNNNNNNNNNNNNNNNNNNNNNNNNNNNNNNNNNNNNNNNNNNNNNNNNNNNNNNNNNNNNNNNNNNNNNNNNNNNNNNNNNNNNNNNNNNNNNNNNNNNNNNNNNNNNNNNNNNNNNNNNNNNNNNNNNNNNNNNNNNNNNNNNNNNNNNNNNNNNNNNNNNNNNNNNNNNNNNNNNNNNNNNNNNNNNNNNACGGUCGUCGUCAUCACGGUGCGCACCGUGAAGAAUGCUCUGGCCGCCUUCUGUUCUCCCAACCAGCAGCAUCACCGCAGCUGACACACCUCGUGCUGAUCAAAUCAGGUGGAAGCCGACGAGAAUCCAAGAAACGCCAUCAAGGAACGAGACCAUCGACGCUCCGCGAUGGGUCGAGGUACGCACACAGCCUCGGAGCGUUUAAAUCCUCGGAGCAUCCAUUUUAUGUCGUUCUUAGCCAUCCAUCUCCGGUACCCUACCCUCUGCAUUCUGACGCACUGGAUGUGGCUCGCAUGCGCAGACGAAGAGCACAGAAUAUGCCUGUGGAUGAAGGACCUCUGCAUCGGCAAGUCAAAGACGAAAGCCGACUGACUACAGAGGAACACAGAAAACGUCCAUCAUCUAACUUGCGAGGAUUAUUCGAGGGCCCUUCCCGCUUUCGCUGUUCAAAGUUUGGAUCAGCAAUGAAAGAAGCAAAUUUUUACUCUCUGAGAUUUGGCCCAGCCGUCCUUUUUACGCAACGUUCAGACAGCAGUAUCAACAUACUAUUAUCCAAAGAAGAGCUUGCACGAUAUUCAUUGGCCUCUGUGUCUGUGUGGGGGUCAGUUUGAGAACACAGAGGAAGAGAAGGUGUCCUAUCUUACGGAGUCAGUUUUUAUGGACUCGAUCUUGCACACACCCGCCGACGUCGUCAGGGGCAAAUCCGUGUAACACGCCGUCAGCUCUGAAUCUGUGCGUAGAUCCGGCUGCAACGCCUCCCAGAUUUUCUUCUUCGGGUUCAGCAGCUCAUCCGGGUCGCCUGGGCAUCCGGGGAAGCUUACUCUUUCCCCCACGCGGGAAGACGCCGGCGGCUCAACCAGCUCCACCUGAAGCAGUUUACAUUUGAGGGGAGGAGAAAAGGAAGAAGAUGAUGCCACGGCAGAACCCACCCUAUGGAUUCAAUCCAGAGUCUCUCUGUGGCUGUUGGUGUGAGAGACGCAGAGAGAAUAAGAACAGGGGGAGAGCAGGGAAUGGCUCACCUUGGUCCCAUUGGAAGCAGCCAACAGCAUCGCGCCUGAUUUCACCCCUCGCAUUGCGGCCGGUUUCAGGUUGCACAGAACGCAAACCUUGCGAUUCUGCCCAUGGAGGAAGAGAAACACUUGGCGUCAACGGCGGAGAAAGGCAGGGACAGUCGACGGAAGUGAGAUAACCUGCCUGCAUAUCCUCAAGAGGAACGUGGGCGACGAGCCCACUAACUACGGUUCUCGUCGAUGCUUCCCCUACGUCGAUCUCUUCUACAUAAAGGGAGUCGGCAGCGGGAUGCUUCUCAACUCCGACAUUCCCCCUCUGACUUUGGUUUUGACUCCGCUUGCGGCGUAGCAUCUCAUACCAGAGGAAUAAAAAAUAGAACAAAUGCCUAUCAUAGGAAGAAGCAAGAGAUUGUCUUCAACAAAACAAAACUAGGAGACGCUCAUUCCUUAUUAGGACUCACAAAGGUCUGUUGGUUAGAAAAUAACAUCUCCAAUAUAUAUCCUUACCGUCAUUACCAGAAACACCAAUAUUUUUACUUUUGGAGAACUUUCCGACAUGUGAAGGAACAAUAAAACCAGGUAAUUAGAAAUGUAUCCAGUUGUUUACUAUGUCAACACGCACAAAAUGAAGAGACCAAAUAUUAAAAUAUUUUUCUUGAUAUUGUUAAGUAGUGAGAGGGAUGUGGUUCAGAUUGGAUCUAGCCAACUAGGUCAGCCAAAAGCUGCCUUAAAUUUGAAAAAAACUUGUACAUGCAUUUUUUUUAGCUGGUAAGUCGGUAACUGGCCACAAUGAGAACCACAAGAGGUCAUGUCAGCCAACCCUUGCCUAAAGACUUUUAGUUACAUGCACUUUUGGUUUGGUGACCAGGGACACUAAUCUAUGACUAUUUUGGUAUCUCAAUAUCAUGUUACUUCCUUUUUUUCAAUUUUAUACCACACUAUACUUCUUUUGUUUUGAAUGUAGGGAACUACAUGCAUACUUCUUCACAUCAAAACCAAAAGGAUUGAACCAACACAUUUAUUUACACUGAAGAGUGUCUUCUGCCACUAAUGAUACCUAUGAGAUGAUGCAGGACACUUUUUGUCACACUAGUAGUUGCCACACCACAUUAUGCAAAUAAGUUAUGUUACCCUGGCACUAGCCAAAACUCAAGCUAAGCUAUCCCAACCACAUCAUCCGUGCAUACCUCUCAAUGUUUAACUUGAAAUUAAGUAACAUACAUUCAUCUAAAAUCAUCAUGUAGGUUGUCCACGAUUAGAGGCAAUUUUGAAUGUAAAAAUCUUCCAAGAUACAUUUAGUUUCCACUAUUUGAUUUUUUUGUCGUUGCUAAGAAAAUUCAGAAAAUUUAAAAUUUCUAAAAUAUGGAAAAUACAGUAAUUUAAGAUAUAAAUAUUUUUGUAGUAGAUUUUCUAGGUCGAUCUCAAAAAAGAUGUAAUACUAUUAAUUAGUUUUUUUAACUAAUAAACUAUUUUUUGAAAUUAAUUUCUUGUAAACUUUAAGCAAUAUAAGCUUAAAUUAUGAAUUUGGGGGUUAAUGACAUCAACUGAUGUCAUCCCAAGACAAACACCCCCAAAGUCAAAGUUGUUGGAAAUAUGCCAACUCGUAGAUUGAUCAAAUUGACAUUAGAAUCAGUGAAUAAAGUAUUAAUGUCAAAGGGUUUUUGUUCAUAACAUCAUAGAGGAUUGAAUAAUAUUUAUUAUAUUCUAAAAAUAAACAAAAUAAAGGUAAAACAAAGUUUACAGACAUAGUGUGUGAUGUAGUCAUAUAUUAGAUUUCUAUCCAAAUACAAUCAAUUUGUGUAGGUGAAGCACACUAAUUAGAUGCCUACAUCUUUUCUAAUCCAUUAUUGCAAUCUCAACAACUACAACUUAUUAAAAUUAAGCAAUGAAGGUAAUUUGACUAUAAUGUACUAUGGCGUCUAUAGAAAAAUUCACAAAAGAAAAUUUUCACUGUUGAAGAGAAGAAUAUUAAGAGUUCAUUAACAAAAUUCAGCCUAUGUAGUAGUUGAAUGAAGGAGAAAUUUGAACAAAAUGCAUUGUUUGUAUUAGAUGGAUGAGUUGGGGGUAAUAUAACAUUUGUAAAAACUGAAUGAGAGAGGUUUUGAUUCAAAAGGGAGACAGAAUAAUAGGUGAUGCAUUCUUUCUCUCUAAAAAUAGCUUUGUAAUCUUCCAUGUGUAGAUUUCGUUGAUUUAUUUUAACUAUUUGUCUUAUUUCUUGCCACAAUUGAUGUGUCCGUUGUUGGUUCAAAAACCUUGGAAAGAUUUGAUUUUUUGUUAGUUUUAAUCAAGUAUGAAUAAAAAUUAAAAAUUUUGAGUUAUAACAUGAUUUUGAAUUGAAAUUUGUCAUUUUACUUGACUAAUUUCUUCAUGGAGAAUCAAUCAAUCAUUCAUCAUGAUUUUUCUUGAGUUUUACAGGAUUUUCAUCGAUUUUUUAUGAAUUUGAUGAUUUUUAUAAAAUUUCCUUAAUAUUUAUAUAAAAUCGAAAUUAAUACAAUAAUAUUCUCAAAAAAUUUGAGAAAAAAAUACGUGAGAAAAUAUUUCAUAAUAUAACAUGAUUAAUUUCAUAGUGUAAUUAUUAUAAAUUAACAUUAAAAUCAUAUAAAUUAUUUUAAAUAUAAUAUCUUUUAAAAUUAAACUAUUUUGAAAACAUUUUUAUUAAAAUUAAAGUAUAAAGCACAAAAAUAUUUAAAAUAUUAUCAUGUAAAUAUUGAGAGUAUCAGUUACCAAAUGUAUAACCCACAAGAAAUGUAACCCCACCAUCAUCACAAAUUUUUCAACAAGAGAGAGAAAGAGAGAGAGAGAGAUANNNNNNNNNNNNNNNNNNNNNNNNNNNNNNNNNNNNNNNNNNNNNNNNNNNNNNNNNNNNNNNNNNNNNNNNNNNNNNNNNNNNNNNNNNNNNNNNNNNNNNNNNNNNNNNNNNNNNNNNNNNNNNNNNNNNNNNNNNNNNNNNNNNNNNNAGAGAGAGAGAGAUUCCAUAAGAACAUAAGAGACAAAUUUCAUAAGAUUCAAAUGUUCAAAGCAUUUGUCUUCUACUAUUAUAACAAUUUGUUGUAUUCCACGCAUGUCCUCCAAACAUACCUAAUAUGAUAUUGAUUUAUAUUUGUGGGUUGAAAAUUGAGAUUAUUUAAUUGAUUACUUAUAGAGUUGUCAUGUAAAAAUAAUAAUGUAGGGCCCCAUAGAGGCUUGAUCUAGAAGAAGGUUUUUAAGUGAAAUCUUAAGGAAGCAAAGCAUGUGAAAUUAGUGGUUGUGAUUUAUACAAUCAUUUAGUGGAACCCAAUGACAUGAAGUGUCUUUAAAGAAUGAAUGUAAGCCAAUGUCAAAUUACUAUAAAAAUAGUGUCCAUAAUAACAACCUAUUAAGAAUUAACUCAGUAAAAGAGUGACUAGGAGUUCAAAAUGAGAAAUCAUUCAAAAAAAAGAAAAGGUAAAUCAAUUCAACCCCCUUUCUUGAUGAUCACUAGCCUCAAACCCAACCAUGUAAACUUCACAAUAAAAUCUAAUGGCUAGACUAUGUAUUGAGAUGUGAAAUUAUGAGUUACCCUAAUAUUAAAUGAUUAUAGUAACUUGUUUGAUGACAAUUUUUUUCUUGAAACUUAAUAACUCACCUAAGAAACUUUUUAUGAUUGAAUUGAAAAAUACUUUGCGUUGCAAUACCUUCAUUUGCAAUUUAAUUUUUCUUAGUGUCAUUCAAUCCCUUAUUAUUCAAAUCUAUUUUUUAUGAUUAAAAUAUGUAAUUUACUUAAUCAUCUACAUUUUACAUAAAUUUUCAUGGUGAAAAAAAAACUUAUACUUGUUGUACUUGGAUUUCGGCAAAGGUUAGAUUGACCUUCUUAUUUUAUCUUGUAAGUAAACUUCAUGUGCUAAUGACCUUCACACUUUGAUCCUUAUUGUUGUUGUCUUCUUGUCCUAAAUGAAACAUUUCUAGUCUUUUCCACGUGAAGUAAUUAUAAAAAAAAUAGCAACUUUCCCAAAACUUUGAGUCUCAAUACUUAUUAGUGCUCUCAAAAUGUUUAAUUGUGAUAUUUUUUAUUUCCACCUUCUUGGAGGUCCUCAUCAUGGCCUUUGAGAUAAUGUCUUCUCAUAGUUUUUUGGUGUGUGGACUACCGCGUGCCCUGGCUGUUUGUCAUAAUUUCAAUUUAAUAUCCCUAGUGUAUUUAUCAUAUAAAUAUGCAUUUUCUAUAUUUUAUUUUAACAGAUAACGGUGAUAUCAAUUUAUUUUUUAGGUAAAAUUCCUGGAGGCUUUUAGCACAUUUUUUCACGAGGAACAGGGCUUUGGUGAUUUUUUUAGUAUUUUAACCGUCUUAUUACAGGGGUUUUAUCAAGGGUGUCAUUCUGUAAUCUAUUUGUUCAACCAGCCAUUCCUUGAAAUCCAAUAUCACUAUGGAUGGGUCUUUUUUCCAAGGGACAAUAUUCAAAGGGAUAAAAAAAAGGAUAUGCCCUCCUCCAGCCGUACAGUCGCCCCACUGAAGAGACAGCCAUGGGGCCCACUUCACGUGGAUUCGAUCAUCUUUUCUUCGGUCCACCGUAUCUUUCUCCGCGCUCUGCGUUCAUCUCCCUUGCCCUCUGCACUGUACGCCGUACACGUGUCCUGGAGUUCUAUAUUUAUCGUGGAUGCUGCGGUCAGACAAAAAUAACCUCAAGAACAAGGGACUGAACAGUAAUUUUUCACUGUCGUACAGAUGCGUUGCACCUGCCUGUAUGGGCGCCGCCAAGUGGAUGUGGGGGUUGGAACGGAGGGGAUUGCGUUGGGUGAUGUGGGCCCCGCUUAGGAUAAAACCCAACAAAAUUGGAAUAAUUUGUAAUUUGGGUAUAAAUAUCGGAGUCUCCAUUCCGGGUGCUCUGGUCUGUUACCGAGGAUGGGUUUCUAGUGGGUUUUGCCCUCAUCGUCGUCCUCAGGGAGGGGGGGGGUGGCAGAUCGCCAGGAUCUUAGGGUUCGCGAGGAAAUCGUCGGGCCAUUCCCUUUUCCUGGGAUUUUCUCUCGUGAGGAAGGAAGGUCCAAGAUCGCAUUUUUCUACAUCUUCCGCUGGUCUUCCUUCCUUUCUUCCCGGGAGAUGUAUGGGGGGGAAGCUCUCUGGUGUCUGUGCUGAAUCUUUCCGAUAGCUCUGGAUGUGGUUCUCGAGGGUUGAGGGAUUUCUGUCUAUUUGCCUCGUGGAAGGAAGGAGAAGCCGGAAAAGGGGUGGGUCGUGUGACGGGAAGGGGGGGUAGAUCCGGCGAGGGAUGAUACAUGUCGUCGGCGUCGAACAAGGCUUCUUGUUCUCGGAGCAGCUCCGGUCGCUCCAAGAGCGGCGCCCGCCUCGUCGCCCAGACCACGGAGGAUGCGAGGCUCAACGCGGAGUUCGAGCAAACGGAGCGGCCGUUUGAUUGUUCCUCCUCGAGUGGCGGCGCCGCCGCCGCGGCCAACAGAUCGGGCGGCAGCGCACCGUCGUCCGCCGCUGUGUCCGCCUACCUCCAGAGGAUGCAGCGGGGAAACCUCAUCCAGCCGUUCGGAUGCGUGAUCGCUGUGGAGAACCAGACAUUCGCCGUCAUCGCCUUCAGCGAGAAUGCUCCCGAGAUGCUCGACCUCGCCCCUCACGCCGUCCCCAGCAUCGAGCAGCGAGAGGCCCUCUCGAUCGGCACAGAUGCGCGCACCCUCUUCCGGUCUCAGAGCGCCGUCGCGUUGCAGAAGGCCGCCGCCUUCGGGGACGUCAACCUCCUCAACCCGAUUCUAGUGCAUUGCAAGAACUCUGGCAAACCGUUCUAUGCAAUCUUGCACAGGAAUGACGUGGGUCUGAUCAUUGACUUGGAGCCCGUUAACCCAUCGGAUGUGCCCGUGACAGCCGCCGGAGCGCUCAAAUCAUACAAAUUGGCGGCAAAAGCCAUAUCCAGGCUGCAGUCCCUGCCCAGCGGCAACAUCUCCCUCUUGUGCGAUGUCCUCGUCCGGGAGGUGAGGGAGCUCACCGGCUAUGACAGGGUGAUGGCCUACAAGUUCCACGAGGAUGAACAUGGAGAAGUCAUAUCCGAGUGUCGCAGGUCAGACCUGGAACCUUACCUGGGCCUCCAUUACCCUGCCACUGAUAUUCCGCAGGCUUCAAGGUUUCUGUUCCUGAAGAACAAGGUCAGGAUGAUUUGCGACUGUGCUGCCCAGCCCGUUCGGAUAAUCCAGGAUAAGAGGCUGGCCCAGCCGCUGAGCUUGUGCGGGUCCACUCUGAGGGCGCCCCAUGGCUGCCAUGCUCAGUACAUGGCUAACAUGGGUUCCAUCGCCUCCCUCGUCAUGUCUGUCACCAUUAAUGACGACGACAUCGACCAUGACGGCGAGCAGCCGCAGAAGGCCUUGAAGCUCUGGGGACUGGUGGUGUGCCACCACGCGAGUCCCAGAUUCGUCCCAUUUCCGCUCAGAUAUGCUUGUGAAUUUCUCAUGCAAGUCUUCGCCAUCCAAUUAAACAAGGAGGUAGAGUUAGCUGCCCAGACGAGGGAGAAGCAUAUUCUCAGGACGCAGACGGUUCUCUGCGACAUGCUCCUGAGGGACGCGCCUGUGGGGAUCUUCACGCAGUCGCCUAACGUGAUGAAUCUUGUGAAGUGCGAUGGCGCAGCGCUCUAUUACCGGAACCAGUUCUGGUUGCUUGGAGUGACGCCCACAGAGGCACAGAUAAGGGACAUCUCUGGGUGGCUCAUCGAUUGCCAUAAUAACACCACUGGUUUGAGCACGGACAGCCUUUCGGAAGCAGGCUAUCCGGGCGCUUCGUCUCUGGGUGGUGCGGUGUGUGGAAUGGCUGCUAUCAGGAUCACCGGCAGGGAUUUCAUAUUCUGGUUCAGGUCCCAUGUGGCGAAUGACAUCAAGUGGGGAGGCGCCAAGCAUGAUCCGGCGGCCAAGGGAGACGAGGGCAGGAAGAUGCAUCCCCGCUCUUCGUUCGAGGCGUUCUUGGAGGUGGUGAAGCGGCGGAGCCUUCCGUGGGAGGACGUAGAAAUGGACGCCAUCCAUUCCUUGCAGCUCAUCCUGCGGAGCUCCUUGAAGGACGAGCUCGAGAACGACAGCUCGAAAGCCGUCGUGAACUUCAUCUCAGAAGACGCGAAGAGGAUCCAGGGCGUCGACGAGCUGCGAACGGUGGCCAAUGAGAUGGUCCGCCUCAUUGAAACAGCUACGGUUCCCAUUGUGGCCGUCGACACCCUGGGGAAUGUGAAUGGAUGGAACGUCAAAGCAGCAGAAUUGACAGGCCUGCCUGUGGAGAAAGCCAUCGGCACGCCUCUGGUAGAUCUGGUCGAGGACGAAUCUGUUGAAGUUGUCAGGAACAUGCUCUCCUUGGCGCUGCAAGGUGGUAUCGCAUUCUUCGUGUUGUUUAGCAUCUGUUCACGUCCUGCACUUUCCUUCCUGAUCACAGCUGUUCUAACUCUCUUGCUUGCUCGCUUGCUUGCUUCAUGGCAGAUAAAGAGGAGCAUAAUGUCGAAAUGAAGCUGAAAAACUUCAGCUCCCAAGAAAAUGGCCCCCCCAUCAUCCUGCUCGUAAACGCCUGCUGCAGCCAUGACGGGAGGGACAACGUCGUCGGCGUCUGCUUCGUUGCACAUGAUAUCACAGGGGAGAAACUAAUACUGGACAAGUACACUCGCAUCCAAGGAGAUUACAUCGCAAUUAACAGGAACCCCAACACUCUCAUCCCUCCCAUAUUCAUCAUCAACGAGUUCGGCAGCUGCAUCGAGUGGAAUGCGCCCAUGCAGAAGCUCACUGGUCUGAGAAGGGAGGAUGCAGUGGACAAGAUCCUGGCCGGGGAGGUUUUCAGUGUUCAGAGCUUUGGAUGCCGGGUCAAAGACCAUGACAUGCUGACGAGGCUGAGGAUCGUCUUGAAUGGAUUGAUAGCAGGGCAUGAUUCUGAGAAGCUGAACUUUGGGUUUUUUAACACGAAUGGUAGAUAUGUGGAAGCAAUACUUUCCGCAACCAAGAGGACCGAUUCUGAGGGGAGGGUCACAGGGGUGUUCUGUUUUCUGCACGCGGCAAGCUCGGAGCUUCAGCACGCUCUGCAGCUACAGAGAGUGUCACAAGAGGCUGCAACGAAGUACGUAAAGGGGCUAGCUUAUAUCCGCAGGGAAGUGAGAAAUCCACUCCAAGGCCUGGCAUUUACUCGCAGUCUCAUGGAAGCCUCUGAACUUACUGAAGAGCAGAAGCGGCUUCUGAGAACGGCCACUCUGUGUCAGGAGCAGCUGGCCAAGAUCGUAGAUGACAUGGACUUGGAGAGCAUUGAGGAUUGGUAUGCUUCAUCCUAUCUUAUUUUACUGCUGUUUUUUCUGCAUCACGAGUCGUCUCGAUCGAUAAAUUAGCUGGACAAGGAGUGGUUUAUAUCGUUCUAACGACGAUGCCCAUUCGUCUCUUGAUUUCCGAUCAGCUACAUGGAGAUGAGCAGCAGCGAAUUCAACCUUGGCGAGUCCCUGGAGGCCGUCAUGAGCCAGGGAAUGGCUAUGAGCAAGGAGAAGGAAGUGUCCCUCGUCCUCGAAGCGCCUGCUGAGGCCUCCCGCAUGAGCCUGUCUGGGGACAGCCUGCGGCUCCAGCAAGCCCUCUCGGACUUUCUUCUGAAUGCGCUCCGUUUCACAUCACCACGCGAAGGGCCCGUCAUGCUCCGCGUCACGCCAAGAAUCGAGAGAAUCGGAAUGUCAAUGCAGAUUGCCCACCUCGAAUUCAGGUACCCCUUGAGAUAUCACGGUUACCCUGUUUGAAGAUCGCCAUUGUCAUCGUCAUUUCGAUGCAGUCCUCUGACUGAAUCGUAUAUGCUUUCCCAGGAUUGCACACCCUGCACCAGGGAUCCCGGAUGCGCUGAUUCAAGAGAUGUUCCACCAUAAAAAGGAGAUAUCAAGAGAGGGCCUCGGCCUGUACAUCAGUCAGAAGCUGGUGAAGAUCAUGGGCGGGACGGUGCAGUAUCUCAGGGAGGCUACCAGCUCCUCCCUCAUCGUCCUCCUAGAGUUCCCCGUGGCUCAGCUUGGCGAGCCGUGAAAGCUGAGCUGAAGAACACAGAGCGAUGGUCGAUGGCGGCCCUGCCUCAGCCGUUACAGUAGAAAGGAUUGUUAACAUGAGGCACCAUGAAGGAACACCCAUGUAAGAUCAACACAAGAAAUAGAAGAGAGAGAGAGUGUUGUAGUCAAGAGGUAGAAGAGACUGCUUCCACGCUUUAAGCUUGGCGAGUGGCGCAUGAGGAAAUCAUGUGCCACUCGCCAGGUGCCACAUGAUUUCCUCAUGUAUGAAGGACUAAUUCAUGUAAUCUAAGCUCGAACUGCAACUCUGUGACCUGAAUCAGUACAUAUCCCAUGGUUACAGGGUAGAUUACAGAUUCACUCCUUUGGCAGGAAUCACCCGUUUGGCAGGAGACUUAAACGUUGACUGAAAAUUACAAAAUGCUCAGCACGCGCCCAGUUGACCUACGCGGACUAGUCGAGGAACUCCAGGCCAGAGGCAGAAGGAAGCAAGCCGUGGUCUGCGAGGUACUCAUCGUUGUAGAACUUGCUGAGAUGCCUCAUGCCGCUGUCGCACAGGAUGGUGACGAUUGUGUGGCCUGGCCCCAUCUCCCGUGCCAGCCGGACGGCCCCAACGCAGUUCAUGGCUGAUGAACUGCCCACGAACAACCCAUCAUUCCUCAGAAGAAACCUGAAAGCCAAGAGUCAGAUUCAUUCGAUUAAACACCAACAAAUGGGUUCAUUCUCAUAUGGACCUGGACAUCUCCACAGCCUCCCUAUCCGUGCCUCUGUACGCACCAUCAAGCUCCGCCAGCAAAAAGUUCUGGGUAAGCCGGUUGAUCCCGAUGCCUUCGGUGAUGGUGUCAAACGGGUUCUUCAGCCUGCUCCCCUCGGCCUCUUCUCUGGUAUACAUCACUCCUCUGGUUACCUUGUUGAACAGGCCCGAGCCAGGAGGAUCAACCAGGAAGCACUUGAUAUCUGGGUUUCUGCCCUAAAAACCAGACGACGACUAACGAUUUCUCAGGAAGAUAUAAAUAUGAUGAUCUAACGAUAAUGUUUAACGACGAGAGAAACCUUCAGAAAUCGUGAGAUUCCAGCCAAGGCACCACCAGUACCAGCGGCGGCAACGAAAGCUUGGACACCGCCUCCGGUCUGCUCCCAUAUCUCGGGACCGGUGGUCUCAUAGUGGGCGCGGAAGUUUGCCAGGUUCUCAAACUGGUCGGCAAAGAAGCCACCCCUACAAUCGCUGCCAAAAAAAGGAUGCUCCAUGGCAGAACCAUCCCCGUUCACAUGAAGAAACUCGGCCUCAGAUUCAGUGGGUCUUCCCCGCCGCCUUGCUAUUUCAGAGGCCUCUGCGGCCCUUCUUCUCGCAACGUUCACAAAGUGAUCCUUGUGGGAGAUCGACACGGGCCUUACCCUCUCAACAGUAGCGCCAAGAGCCUCGAGUAUCUGAGACUGGACAAUGCGAGGAGACAAGAAUCAAGUCUAAGCCAUAAACAAGAUGACGAGGAUGGCUACUUUAUUAAGCAAAAGACGGCAUUUUUAUUUGCAUUAGAUGUGAAUGCAAGGCAACCAUCUCACGGAAUUCUCUGCCUGUUUUGACUGUAGAUUCUGCGUGCUUCUCUUUAAUGAUUAUUAGGGGAGUUUGCUAGCAACUCUCAAAAAAAAAAAAAUCCUAAGUAUGAGGGUUAAUCAAUCGAUUAAGCUAUGCCCAAGAGAAUGCAACAUCCCUCAGAUUAACAAAAAGCCUAGAAAGCUCUCAGAUUAACUGGGCCCUGCAGAAGAAAAAGAAAAUCUAAAAAUCCAUUUAAACUGGCGGAAAAAAGAUUAAAUGUAGACCUGCGAUGGAUCUGAAAUAGACUGCAGAAGUCAGGGCAGCAAUACUCACUUUUUCAAUAGCUGCAUCAUCUGGGAUGACAACAUGGCAUUUGCAACCAUAAGCUGGAGCUACGGUUGCAAAGCUAAUAGCGGUGCUUCCAGCGCUGCCCUCCAUCACUAUACCGCCUUCAACAAGAUCCCCAGACUCCAUAGCCUGGAGUAUACAAAAAAGAUAAGUAGAGGGUGUUAGAGGACGAAGAAAGAAAAUGUGUAGAAGCUCACAGAUGAGCUGAAUAAGUGAGAUCGCGUUGGGAAAGAAGGGUGUCUCUUGCCAACAAAACGAAGACUGAGCGUUUGAAAAAAAAAAUGGUGUUCGUGAAAAUGCAAGCAAGAUUUAAAAAAAAAAAACAGUUUUUUCAUAGCAUUCAUCAGACGUUUGGGGCGUGAAUCUGGAGAACACUCCCACAAGUGCUUGAGAGGAUCUCACUCUUUCAUGGGAAGUAUAAGAAAAAUGAAGAAUGAAAAAUAAAAUUUUCAAAAAAAAUCAGUUUGAGGUGGAUUCAAUCCAGGGCAGCUCCAUGAUAAUUAAGACCCACCAUCCGGCCACACGCGAAAUGGCUCGGACCAUUUCUGGGAAGGCUACAAGACAUUAGAAAAUACUUUAGAAAGAAUAAUCGGAGACGGAAAUGGUAAUACAUUUGAUGAGACGGGCUGGCAUGCUCGGAAGAAAGAAAGUCUCAUGAGGCAUCACUCACUGAGAGGCUAUUGAAACGACGAGGAGAAUCCCCCUGGUGGACGAAAAAGGGUGAAGCGACGCAAGCAACCGAGAGGAGUCACCUCACCUCUUCGAUGAUCUUAACCGCUACCCGAUCCUUGACGCUGCCUCCAGGAUUCAGAAACUCCGCUUUGCCCAGGAUCUGGGUUUCAAAGAGAAAAAAAGCAUCGCCAGAUGUAAACGUCACAGGGAGAAGAAGGACACCGGAGAUCGCUGAGCGAAGAGGAAGAGUGACAGAAAGGGCAAGGAACGCAUUGAGCAAACAGAGAGGACGAAGAGAGCCGUCGCUUACUUCGCAACCCGUUGCAUCGGAGAGACUGUUGAUUCUGAUCAAAGGAGUGUUGCCCACAGCUUCCACGAUUCCUCUCCGCGAAGGCCUCUUCCUUCGGAGGUCCCUCCCCCAGGAAAGCUUAGCGGGGAAUAGACUGCCACGGGCGAAAGCGAAAUAUGACAGUAGGGCAACAGAUACCGCCGCCGCCGCUGCUGCUGCAGCUGCAGCAGCAGCUCCACAAGGAUACAGCGGCGGCGCCAGCCUCCCCACCUCCGCGUCCUCGGCGGCCGAGACCCAAAUGAAGCUUGCCCGGGCCACGCCCGCGUAAACGGGGACUCUUUCAAGUCCAACUCUUUUUAUAUCGUUUAUUUGUUUUUAGCUGGAGCUAUUUUUCUUCGGUGAUUAUUCACUCGCCGCAAGUUGAAUGAUUUUUUUAAAUACAAGCGGCAUGGCCAGUUUCGGCUGGAUCCUCAAGCGGUAGAGCCCGAUCUCAAGAUGAUCGUCGUCUCCGCGAGUUUCUCAUCGUCCCCCGCCCUCCGGCAGCCGGCGCCGCCGCCGCCGUAGCAGAGAGUCGAUCACGGAGGCCAGCUUCGGUGAGUCCCAGAAGAAAAACUCGUUCUGAGGAUCUCCGGAUAAAAGAGCGAACAGCUACAGGGCGUUUUCUCCGAUCGGAUAUCCCUCCUCGGAGUGGUACUGAGACGGCCCCCAACAUUCUCAUCGGCGAGGCGAAACCCUAGAAGGAGCGGCGAUCCAGUGUCGGCCGACAUGGCGCUGGCGGAGAAGAUUAGAGACGCGCUCCGGCUCCGGGAGUUGGUCGUCUACGCCCAAAUCCUGGCCGCCUCCGCGGCGUUGGCUCUCUUCCUCCUGCGCUUCGGCCCUAGUCUCCUAACCGUCUUUUCCUUCUUGUGGCCCCUCCUGCUCUCCACCGCCGCCUUCGUCGCGGCGGUGCUGGUCUUCCGCGUCCUCUCCCCACCCCACAGCGAGAACCAGAGUAUCCAGACGGGAGAGGAUUUCCUACACUUCGUUGCCGGUCACAGUCCAGAGGUGGGCUCUAUGGUAGGCCCCUCAGUGAGCGGAGAAGACGCAGAAACAACUCCAGCGGCAGGAAUGCAGGAGACCAAGAAACCCCUGUAGAAGACGCUGGAAUGAAGAACCACCGCGUCUCUCCCUCCCUCCCUCCCUCCCUNNNNNNNNNNNNNNNNNNNNNNNNNNNNNNNNNNNNNNNNNNNNNNNNNNNNNNNNNNNNNNNNNNNNNNNNNNNNNNNNNNNNNNNNNNNNNNNNNNNNNNNNNNNNNNNNNNNNNNNNNNNNNNNNNNNNNNNNNNNNNNNNNNNNNNNNNNNNNNNNNNNNNNNNNNNNNNNCUCCUCCCUCCCUCCCUCCUCUCUCUCUCUCUCUCUCUCUCUCUCUUCCCCCCCCCCCCCUUCCCCUGGGCAUCGCUGUGAAUAGCCCGUAAAGCAGAAGCAGACGGGGAGGUGUGGUCGGAGAGCCACCAAUUUCCUGUACCUAAAUGGCUCCUCUGUAAAUAAUAUAACGUAACUUUUUAUUGACUCAGCCAUGCAGUUUAUUUAUAAUAAAUAUUAAUAAAAAAAAUAUAUCAUAUUAUAAUUAUGGUUCUGUACUGUCAUCGCCUGGAAAGCACGUAAUUUUUAUUUUAUUUUAUUUUUCGACGCAAAUUAUUUAUUUUAAAAAUAUUAUAUUAUUGUUUAGUCAUAUUUUCGUAUUACUCUAUUAUUAAAAAACUGCUAAUAUUUUUUAUAUUUUACAACAAGCUAUAAUUAUGAUAUUUCAUAUAUUAAAAGACGGUGAAAAUAAACAUAUUGGAAUAAAUUUAAGGGUUCUUAUAGAACUCGGUGAUAAUAUACCGACCGGAUAUUAUUUUAAAAUUGACGUGUAAAUGUGGGAAAUUAUUAUUGCUUAUAUAAAAAUAUGCUAACAAGUUUAAUGCUGUUUUUUUAAAAUAUAGGCCUUAGAGUAUCUGGUUAAUGGAACGUUUCUUAGAGUACAAUGUGCGAAUUAAAUAAUAUAUAUUUAUAUGCAAAUUUUUUAAAAGGCAAAAUUAUUGCUCCAGAUAAUACGAGUAUUUUUUUGAAUUAUUUUAUUAAAAAUUAUCGAAUGCUUGACCGCAUCAGCUGUUUAUUUAGGGUCCUUGUAUUCUACCGUUGGUGGGCGGGAUAGGAAAUGGCGGGAAGAUCGUCCGGUUCGAAGGCCCCGGAAGUGCUGUCGAAGAUCAGAGGUAAUUGCCCGACGCAUCGGAAACUGGGGGAAGGGGAACGGUCGAAGAAAUUUUUUGUGGUUGUAUUGAAUGUCAGAGGUGUUAAUUUCGGAUGUGCAUGGAGGAUCUCUGCAGGCAUCGUUCGCUCCUUGGUCGUGGAUCUCUGCAACGAGCGCCUUCCCUCGGUUGUGCUUGAUCGGUAUAGGACGUAUUGCAUGGAUUCAUCCGGUAAUUGGUACGUUCGUUUCAAUCACUGGACUCAUUUUUGUACGGCAAGGACUCUUUCACUCUAAUGCUGCCGCAUGAUUUGGUUUGCAUCUGCACGUUUCACGACGUGAAUUCCUGAUGACCGGGGAAUUUCCCACGGGAAGUCAACUUUUCCUUUUUCAUGUUUUGUAGUUUGGAGUUUUUGUAUGUGUUUCUUGCCCAAGCUUAUCGUCGAAUGGAAUUCGUGGUUCUGGAACCACGACUUUACAAUGCUCGAUAGCAAAUACAGACUCCGUCGAGUUCUGCGCUCUCCGUUCUGUGUUAUCUGAAUUCUCUCUCUUUCUCUCUCUGGAAUUCGUGGCUCUGGAAGCAUGACUUUACGAUGCUCGACGGCAAAUACGCACUCCGUCGAGCUCUGCGCUCUCCGUUCUGUGUUAUCUGAAUUCUCUCUCUCUCUCUCUCUCUCUCUCUCUCUCUCUCUCUCUCUCUCUCUCUCUCUCCCUCCCUCCUCUCUCUUCUACCCCCCUCCGGUUCGCACGCUCGGUCGCUGGCUCCGUUCAAUGGAAAGGCAGGAAAAGCUAUCCCGCAGGAUAUCGGAAUAAGAACGGGGAAGUCAGGAAAAAAAUCCCAUCGGUCGGCUAAACAUUGACGUGAUUAGACAUGUUAUCCACUAGGAUUUGUAGUCUACGUCAGCUCUAUAAUUGGCAAAAGAAUCACAAGUCGUGGUGACUAUGGGGAUUUCAAUGACCUUGCGCAGAGCUCAUUGAAAAUGAAUUUGUGAAGUGAUAUCUAAAUAUAAUCGUCGUUAAGGUCAACUUUGAGUGCUCAUCUGGAGGCCGCUGAGGACAAAGCCUUGAUUUAACGCCCAUUUACUUUUCCGUGCAGCCAUUGCAAUGAAAAUAUUUCCCAUGGAAAGGAGGCCAUCUCAUUUAACAAGGAAAGCCAUACCCAGAGAUUGGGUGAGUAAUUUUUUGCUAUCGGACAUUGACUGUUCUAGCCUGUUUAUUUAUGAUUGUUUUACUGUCUAUCAGAUAUCAUGCUUAGGGUGUUACGAAUCAUCCAGCAACUCCUGCAAGAAAACAGGCAUGGAUCAAAGAGGGACAUAUAUUACAUGCAUCCGUCCGUGUUCUUGGGUAAUUUUUAUUUAUCGCUUAAUGCCCGAGCAGCAUGAACUUAAUUUUUCCCGCUUUCAACUCUAAGGCAUAUGAAUAUUCGUUGAUUUCUGUUUUUCAAUGAAAACAUAGAUCCAAAGAUGAAAGUACCAAAUAAGCAAAUGGUCACAAAUGCAAGUGCUUGCGGUCCAAUACCACUAUAGGUCCAACCUGUUCUUAAACGUGGAAAAACCAAAGGUUUUUUUCCAAACAAACGGAAACCAGUUAGCAUAUGUUAAAGAAUAGUCAGUAAAUUCUUCCUGGAAAAAAUCCAUUGAUUUCAACACCGCCUUGAAAUCAGCCUGUAGACUAUUCCGAAUCUAUUGGAGCUGGUUUUUUAACUGACCCAAAGACUGGGCAGAUGAAUUUUUUCAAAGGUUAUCUUUCUACAGCUAAUCUCAAUCUGAGAGGGGAGAAUGGUUCUAUCAUACCUUGGUAAAAAUGGAGAUUUUUUUUAUUUUAUGUUCUUUGGAUGUCAUAAACUCUGAAGAAAAGCUUAAAAGGCUAUUCACAUGACACCCUUAUUAUAUAGGUCAAUCGGAAGCUGAAUCUUGCCUGUCGUGUUUGAGUUUCAUGGUUUGUUUCUGUUUUCAAUCACUGCUAAGCUUGGAGUUCGUGUCGGUGGAUACCGUUGAGUUUUUACAACAGUUGAUUCUACUUUUAACUUUUUUAAAGUACACAAAGACAUACAUGAAACCGAAAAAUAACAUCUCAAGUCCUGGCAGUUUCCCGCAUAAGCUACUUGACAAGCUCUUGGAGUGAAGCUUUUCUUUUCCUGUUUGUUUUCUGAAUUUUUUUGCUGAAAAAAUUGGUAUUUAGUUUUUGCCAAGGCAUUUUACACAUUUUCAUUACUUGAGAAUGGUGGCGGCCUGUAAAUUGAAUAGUCGGUAUCAUUUUACUUCAUCUGAUUUUAUAUGACAAUACAUGAUUGCCACACGAUUAUACCAAAAAACAGAAUUAAUGAAGGCAGUAAAUGACAAUCAUUCUAGCUAGGUCAUAUGCUAUCUUGAUCCAGUUGUGAUUCAAUGGUUUUUAUGUUUCAAUAUCUCUAAUGAUCAUAGGUAUGCGUUUAUCUGUGUUCUCUUUUUUGUAAUCUCGUGCUCGAUUGUCAAAAUUGCUUGUCAUCUCCUGCAACUUUAUCUGUCUGAUGGACUAUUCUUUUUUGGUUGCCUGUCACAGAGCAAAAAGUUGUGGACCAAGCUAUCAAGGACAUAUGCAUCCUUUUGCAAUGCAGUCGUCAUAAUCUUAAUGUGGUACACAUAACUGGAGAGAUGUAUUUUCCUCUGUCUUUUGCUCUUUCAAAGCUUUGAAAAUGUUCGGAGAUGACAGCAAAUGAAAAUAAAUUACACACGAACAGAUCUAGAAGGAAAGGACCGCCAAUGAAAUAUAUUAUGAGUCUGGAAAUUUUUAUGCCGCAAUGGUCCUUGGCAUGGUUCAAGAUCGAUUUGUUUGAUUUCAGGUGUUUUAAGGUUUCUGAUUUGUUAAAUAUUAUAUAGUCACGUGUAAAUGAAGUAAACGGAAGUGCAGUGCUAUGUUCUUAUGCUCUUGUUCACUAUUUAACUAUUGAGGCCAAUCACCAUUUAUAUCCAUUUCGUUAAAAAGGGGAAACUACAAACUGGAUAUAUAUUUUUUUCGUCCGUUACAUUUUUAUUUUCUUAUCGAUAUUCAACUUCCCAUAUUUUAACGUGGAAACUAUCAAAGUAGCACUGUAAAUUCGGUGAAUUCGGAAACAUGUCGCUUAUAGGUUUUCGAUUUAUGAAUUUCAUUUAAACCCGAUUAAUGUCAUAUCACACGGCAUCUUUUGAUGGCAUGAAUCGUAAAGGAUUUAGCUUUAUUACGAAGAUUUUCUUUUUCUGGUUCAUUCAAUUUUAUAGUCCGCCGAAAAUGGAGAUAUGAGAUAUUUUCCAAUGCCACGUAGACAUUUCCUAAUAUAGAAUUAUUUUAACUGAUAUCUACGGUAUAAAUAGAGCAUGACGAUAAUGUGGCCAUGAUAUUCGUUUUCUUAUUCUUUGUCAGGUGCCUGUCGGAAAAGGGUAAGCAAUUACAAGUUCUAUCCUCUUAAUGUCGCUAAUAGACAGUGAAACUUGAUUAUUUUAAGUGUACCACAGAAAAAUAAAUUAUUGAAUCAUUCUGGAUAUAUGAUAAUUUUAUAGAACAAAUGCUUCAUUCUGUGAACUGACAGCCAUCACUUUGUGCGUUUCAAUGUAAACGCACGAAAUCUAUUUGGCACCCUCACUGCAGUCUAUUCUACCAAGGUGCUUCAAAUAUGAAACAGACUGUAGAGAACACGAUAGGAUUCAUUGAGAGACGAUAACUGAAAACUCACUAUCUCAAUUUUUUUUACUCAUUCAAAUGGUCAAGUGCAAACCUGGGCGACGAGACAGAGAUUUACUGAUUCGCAGGUUGGACUGAGGGACUUUCACAGUUGGUUGGAAAAAUGCUUUCUUUUCUGACUGUCAUCUGCUUGUGCGGGUCAAUUCUUCAUCACUUGAACCAAGACCCAGCUUCGAUUACGCAUGGAGAAUGAGCUUUAAGCAAUUACUUUUGCAUAUUUGUUGUGCAAUGAUUUUCUUUUCUCCCAUCCCACCUACGAUGAUGAGUAUUUCUUAAUUACGACUAAAUGACCAUGCACAUGUCCUGGUUUGACCAUGCAUCCCAUCUACAUUUUUCUUAAUUUAUCCAUGCUGUGAACAAUAAAGCAAUGCAUAAUUGGUGACACUGGCAGUGCUAACGUCGAUUCUGAAUGCUUUUCAUACUCUUGAUCUGCACGAUCAGAAAAAAUAAAUAGCUCUGUGCAAUUGAGAGGUCAAACUGUAGUCCUUGACGGGAUUUCAAAAGACCCUGUGACAGAGGCUUUUAUCCUGUUUGAUUUAUGUUCGUUCGUUUUUCAAACAUAGAUCUAAAGAUUUUCGAAUUCUUUGAGCAAUCGACGUUGCGACAGAGAGAAUAAUUUUGAGAUAAAUCAUAACUUAAGCAGUUGAUCUCUGUAGAGGUGCUCUGCACAAACGGGAGCUACUAGGUACUCCAAAUGGGAUAGUCAACGACUAGAGUUUUUUCAGGGGAAUGAUUUUCUCAGGAUAAAAUUUGGGGGUAUCAUUUUUAAAACAGGACACCAUCAAGUAUAGAACAAAAAAACUCUUAACAUUGAAAACGAUAGGAUAUCCUAUUAAUUUUGUUUAUUGUUUUCCUUUUGGUUGGAAUCUAGAUGAUUAUUUCAUGUCCUUGUUUUCCAUUUUCGUAACCUCGUAAUUCUUUUUCUAGAUUGCUGAUGGGCUGGGUGAGAUUCACAGAUGGUGAUAGGAGAUUUGAUUGCAUAAAAAGCCCGAACACUGUAAGGAAUGAUCGUGGCUCUAUAUUUUAAUUCUUCAUUAUAUGACUGAAGUUCAUGAAAGUGUUCCGCGUUGCAGGCCUAUCCUAUACCCGUGCAUGUGGAGGAUGUGGAAGGUACCCAUACAUGAACAAAGUUUUGUCUAUUUCAUGUUUGAGUUUCGUUCUAUGGGCUUUUUUUAGAAAGUUAAAAUCACGGCCGAAAGACUUUCCGCCCGUAACAAAUCUCCAUUUUCUUGUCAAAUACGAUGAUGGUGAUAUUUAUCUUCAAAUAUAAAUCCAAAUUAUUCCUAUCUCAUAUUUUCAUUCUGCAUGCAUCUUCCUGGCUUCAUCGCUUUGGAAAACUUUAAAAAGUAUCCCAUUGUUUUCCCUCCUCAGAUCUCGUGAGUGUCGCCAAGUAUGUACUUGUUGUAGAGAAGGAAACAGGUAAAGCCUCCAUCACUCCAGCCCAACUGGCUUCAACCUCUAGUGGCCGCAAGCUUGGAUAUUCAGGCUCCCUCUUUUGAUAAUCACCGCAGUGUUCCAGCGGUUGGCAAAUGACAAGUUUUGUGAGAAGAACCAAUGCGUAGUCAUCACAGUAAGCAGACAUCUAUUUCUAGCAAUCGCUACAUCAUUUUUAUGUACCACCGAUCACCGUGAUGCAAAUAAAAUCUGCAGGGAAGAGGCUACCCGGAUGUUUCCACCAGAAGGUUUGAGCUGAGCUACUAUUGUCCUUUUUUUUUUUCUCUUUCAAGAAAAUUAUUGGCUUCUCGAACACACCUUUCCUGUUCGCUUCGUUGUUUCUUCCAGGUUUUUAAAACGUCUCGUCGAUAAUCUGUGUUUACCCGUCUACUGCUUGGUGGACUGCGAUCCGUAUGGGCUCGACAUCCUCAUGACAUACAGGUUUGGUUCCAUGGUGAGCCCCCUCUGGUUCCUCGUUCUGUAUAUGUUCAACCACCCACGUGGCCUCGUUCUUUAUGGAUCAAAUAAAAAAAAAAAUGCCACGAUGUGCAAUUGUACAGUCCGACAAACACACCGUUCUUCGUGAGCUUUUCCCCCCCCAAAAUAUUAGUAGAAACUCUUGGAAAAUAUUAAUACCCCACCUGGCACUGCCUAUUCCCUAGCAAAUGGCCUUCGAUGCAAGCUUGAUGUGCGUCCCGGAGGUUCGCUGGCUGGGAGUCUUCCCCUCUGAUCACAAGAAAUACUCCUUGCCAGAUCGGUGUCUCCUUCCUCUGUCUCCUGAAGGUGAGGUACAUGGGGUGGCCUGGUCUGCCUCCACUGGGUUUCAUAGUUUUUUCCACAUAUCCGCAAUUGAUCUCGGUGUGAUCCAUCGUCAGAUAGGAUGAAGGCUGAGGCCAUGCUGCAGAGAUGCUACUUGCAGAAGAAAGCCCCUGAUUGGAGGUUCGAUUUUACUUUCUCUUUAUGGCUAAGCUAGUAGGAAGCUACUGAACAGGCCGGCCCAUCUGUGGCAGGUUGCAACUGGAGACGAUGCUGCACGAGGGGGUGAAGUGCGAGAUCGAAGCUCUGUCCGUGGCUUCGUUUUCCUUCCUGUCAGAGGAGUACAUACCAGGCAAGAUUCAUGGUGGAGGGCACAUCUGAGUACAUCUCUUCAUGGCUGCGGUAAGCUCAUCCCUCCCCCGCCUCCAAGAUAAAUGGCCAUUAGGAAAAUGAGUAGGACCCCACACCUAGGACGACGACCGAGCAAGCACCAGGUCACCUGGGGUCAACGCGCCCGAAUGGUCAACAUCCAGAUCUUCGAAUUCCUCCAUUACCUGCGCUAUGUCCUCUUGAGUGAUUUUCCCCAUCUCCUUGAGCUUAUAUAUUAUGAAUUCAGCCGCCCUGGUGGAGUAAGGAAACAGAUACCGAGAGAUGGUGACUGGGGAAGGAGGGGAGAGAAGAAAGAACAGAGCUUCAUCCAGGUGAUAGGAGUUUUCUUACCCGACGGCCCCGUCCUGAUCCAUGUCUGCCACUUCGAGGUCCACGAAGGUCAUCCUCCGGUUGAGGACCCAUUCGGCAAGCAGCUGCUGGGUCCUUUCUGUUUUCCACUCCGCGAGGUAGAGGAAGAACUGGGCGAGGCAGAUUGUGCUGGUCAGGAUCCAGAUAAUGGCGAAAACUCGCCCUUCCAAGCUGGAGAAGCUCUUGUCUCCAUAGCCCAGCGUCGUGAUGGUGGAGCAGACGCAGUAGAAGGCGUCAACGGGGCUCAGCUUCUCGACCUUCCACAGGAAAACCUCCCCCGCGGCCAUCAACAGCACCAGGAGGGCCGCAGUGUUGAGGAACUUGUUCUUGGCUCUGUUCGCCCCAAUCUCCUUCAUGAUUCUGCUCUCCUGAUGCUCCCCCGGAAGACGCAGCGCCCUGGCCAGCAAUGCCUCUUGCUUCUCCACGAAGUAGUCCGCUGCCUUGCUCAAGAGAAACCCUACCAGGGCCAUCCCAGUGAACACGAAGGCGCAGGCGAGGAGCUUUGCCAGGACGCUCUUCGGCACGAGGUCUCCAUAGCCGACGGUGGUCAUCGUCACAAUGCAGAAGUACAUGGAAUCGAUGACAGCCACGGUCUUCGUGCCCCCGAUCUGGUUCUGAACCACUGAGAAGCAGACUGUGGCCGCUCCCAAGUAGAUGACCAGGAAGGCCAUCACUUGCCUCAGGCUGGGACCUCUUUCACCCGGAAAGGAGUGCUUCGAGACAGCGGGUGGGUUGAAGUUAGAGUGUGUGUCUGCCGACGGGGCGCUUCUGCAACGCCUGAAUCUUCUUUUAUUUGGCGUGAUUUUGAUCGGAAGUUGAUCGCGGGGAGCUGAUGAUUCAGGGAGCAGAGGCUGUUUAAUCAUGUCAGCAGCCAUUGCAGGAUACCUCGAAGGUGGUCAGUCUCACGUUAUGGAUUGGGAUGACCUGCAGGUUGAUCGAACGCCCACGCUGGUACAAGUACGAUGAAAAAACAUGGAGAUGAUCUUAUUUUGGAGUGGUGAAUGUGGGGGAUACCAGUUUGCGGAAGUGCAGGGGUCUGCAAGGAUACAGCGAUCUUUUUAGGAAAUCCCUCGGUUGACUUUAUGUCUGCAACAUGAGAUUUCCCAGAAGCUAUUGUGUUAACACUGGUUUUGGAAGCUAUUGAUCAGUCAACGAGAGGGAAAAAAACUAAAGAGAAAACUUAAGGAAAAGAAGAGGCUGUGAUGAACACAGCUCGACGUGUCUUCCUGCUGUGUCAAGAACAGAGACAAAUAGACUCGGUGUUAGCUACUCCGGGCAGGAGCGGGGUAGAUCUUGAGAUCUGUUGAUGGGUAAAGUCAGAGCACUGAAGGUAUUAUUUUCAAUCUGGACCCCGCAUCUUGAUCAUGGUGUAUGCGCUGCCAUACCUUUCUGUUUCUUAGAACUGCCCUACUGCGACACUAACAAGCCAGGAGAAGCUGAACCAGGAAGACGAGCCAAAAAAAAGAAAAAUAAGAAAUAGGUCGGACGAAUGAAUUCUGCAUUUUCUUCGCUGAGCUUCGAGGUCAAUGGUGUACCGACAGGAAGAAUCGAAUGGCUUUCACGGUAGGGUCAACUGAGACUCAAUCGAAUGCCAUCCGGGCACCAGAAAGCGCUCCCGGCCAAGGCGUACCAGGAAUAGAGAAAGACGGAGACCCCAGCGCCCUGGUACACCGUAUCUAGAAGAUGAGCGACAGGCCGUCCGGCGGGGAGAGAAUUGACCUAAAUGGAAUUCGUACCGUCAGAAAAUCGACAGCACAGAAAGCAGAACGGAAGAAAGCGCGAAGAAAAAAACACCCCAGAGAGAGAGAGAGAGAGAGAGAGAGGGCAGAGAGUUCACAUGAAGUAACUGAUUGAUGCCCGGCAGACGCGAGCUGCUACCUCCGCGAGAGAAUUCUCUCCCCUCCGGCUUCCGUCAGAAAAUUGCCACCACAGGAUGCAGAAGGGAAGAAAGCGCGAAGGAAAGAACAUUAGAGAGAGAGAGAGAGAGAGAGAGAGAGAGANNNNNNNNNNNNNNNNNNNNGAGAGAGAGAGAGAGAGAGAGAGAGAGAGAGAGAGAGAGAGAGAGAGAGAGAGAGAGAGAGAGAACCGGAAAUCCCCGUCAGGAACAGUUCCAACCCAUCCGUCGGUGUCCACCUUCCCUGAAAGCAUCUCCGGGUGAACAUCACUGUUUACGGGCCGCUCGCCCCUACCGGCAUCGGUUACCCACACCAAGAUGGUGACCCUUCGUGAGACCCCCCCAUCUGAUGCGCCCUCUUGAUGUUCGCCGUUUGGCUUAGCUAGAUUGGGAACACCUGGAGCUGAGGGUCCGGAGCCAAUGUCCGGCCGCGCCGCGCCAUCCCAACCUUUCCUCGAGCAUAUUUUAAUUUUUUAGUUGACGACACGUACGACUUUUCCGAGCAAAGAUGGGAUUUUUUUUCUCGUAUGCUGGGCCAUCUGACGUCAACGACCCUGGUUUCGGAAGACGACAACUCGCGUUGACCCACACAUGAGUAAAAAUGUCCAUUGCACAAAGGACCCACGAUUUCUAUCGAUAGAUGUUAAGAGAAAUCGGGGCUGGUGAUCCUUCCUCGUCAGCUGUCCGGAGUGAUGAUCGUUCAGUACUGCUAUUUUUCUCAGUAAUUAUAUAAUACUUGCAUAUUAGCGAGUUCUUCGUGUUUUCCGUGCCCGCAUCGGCACAGCUCCCAUCGUAAUCUCCUUCAAGAAGUCGAAUAUGUCGACGCGUGCCCAAUAAGAUUUCUCAGGAUCUACUUCUCUCUCACUGAACCAUAAUGACUGCAGAGUGGAGAGAAUGAGGGUCACCCGGCUACCGCCGUGGUGGGGGGGAGGAGUUCAACUGAGACGAGCGUGGUGGGCGGGCUUUCUCUCACGGCGGCUGCCCGCUGCGCGCGUACAGUGCCGCCACCUAGAUCGGAGUGCCCCCGGUUUUCUUCAGGAUGGGAAUGGCGGCGGCAAGAAGAACGGAACGAAGAGGAUGCGAUAGCUGCCGCCGUAUUAGGAUUUACAGACUUCGGAGGCCUGUUCUUCGAGUAAUGGUGCCGAAGACGAGAGAUGCGAGACAGGAGGUCUUCCCCACCCAGCCGGCACUGUGGACUUUCCUUACUUGCUCUACACAGAGAGAGACAGAGAGAGAGAGAGAUUGAAAUUCUAUGGGUUCUUCCCUCCCGCGGCAGAAUGACAGGAUUGAUCAGUAAAAGGGAGGGGGGGACCCGACAGGUUGUAAUCUCAGCUCGUUUGGCGAUAAGUGUGUCCUUGGCUGUUCUCCCCAUCCUACUGUAUGAGAUUUGUUCGGUUCUUAUCUUCUCUCUUUUUAUCACUACCUGUUCGGCGGUAACGGUGGUUUCCGUAACGUGCAAUCCAAAAUAAGCUAAUGCAUGAGAAUCUAUGAUGAGUACAUCUCAUUCAACGCAUUACAAAGUCAACAUACUAAGCAAGAGAAAAUUUAAGUGAUAUUGAAGACUCACUAAGCAAGUCAACUCAAUGAGAAGUCAACGUAGAACAUGGCAAUGAUCAAAGUGUGAUCUAAGAGCUUAGAGCUCAAAUCUAAGAUUAAUAUUAAGCUCAAGACUAGCUCUAAGGAGGACAAUGUGGCAGUUAUGAAGCACUACUUCACCCUCUCUCUCCCCUAGUCAUUCAUUGAUGCACCGUCCUCCUUUCUAUCAGUAUUCUAAUGAAAACUUUUAAAAGAGGCCACGAGAUGUGAGGGAAUCAAACUAAUUUAGUGAAUAAUUAACAAGCUUUGUCAUUUUCUUUUUCUUCACCUAUCAAUUAUCAUCUCACUUUCUUUACCAAUUUGAUAUAUCUUUGAUCAAAUACUCUCUUUUUUCCCCCUUCACCCCUUACUUCUUAUUCUAUCUAUCCCUUACUUUAUCUAAUUAUUUUUUUUGUAUCUACUAUAGAUCAUCAUCAUCAAGAACAGUUAUAAAAACUUUGUCAGAUCAAAAGUUAAUCAAUAUAUCAUAAGCUAUUGAAAUUCUCUUGCCAUCUCGUACCAAAAUCUAAUCUUAGGUUCAAUUCUCAUACUUUUGAUUUUUGUGAGAAACAUAUGAUAGCCACUAAUUUUUAUUUUGAUUGAUCAAUAUCCUUUGAUCAAGACUUGAUCUGCUCUAUUAAAAUUUGAACAUCUCAAAUUAAAAAAAAUCAAGAUCAUAUUUACUCAAAAUCGUAAGGAAUAUUAAUCUAAAAUCUAUCUCCUUCUAUUGGCCUUAUCUUGUGGAAUCUUCUAUUCAAAUCUCUAAACAUUGUGAUAUUAAAUCCUAAUGUUCUAACCUAUUCCAAUUUGAAAGAUUACAGGUUGCCCCAACCACUCUGAAUCUCAUUGUCCUUGACGUCAUGCUUAUACUGUUGACUUCGAGCAAUGAGCUUAGAAUCACUACUCUCUCUCUCUCUCUCUCAAAUGAAGACGAUCGCUAAUUGAGAACCUUCAGUCGCGUGAUUGCAGGUAUCUGAUCUGGUAGCAUGAGACCGAUUCUGCACUGUUGAUUACGAUCCAUGCAAAUUCAUGAUUCUUCCAAUUAGCCGUCGGGCAAGGGCCGAGUGGUCACCGGCGCCGGCGGCGGUGCCGGCGACGGAUGAGGAGAAGACGGCGGGGGAGCGCUCCAGGGACGACGUGGCGGUGUACCGGGGGGGGGGCACUGCGCCGUUGCUCAACGGGAUGCCCACCAACUCCGUGCAGAUCCUCAACGAGCCUCUCCGGCUGCGCCGUCGCCGACAUCCAUUUGAGCUGCGGAUGGUUCAGUUCCGCUCGUCUGGUCAACCCCAGCGCCUUCCAUCAGAUGGGAUUUGAGGGCUGCCAGAUCUAUCAUUUUAAAAACAGUUUCCAAAUAUAUGAAAAAUAAAGUAAUAUGUUCAACGAAUAUUUUACAAUUGCCACAGUGUAGCAAUUUUCCUUUGAAAAACAGUAAGAUGGAGAAGUUAGCAGGGGGCCGGCGCCAUUCGGCAAAUCGGAGGUCUCUCGUUCGCUAGCUGGGGAGCUCAGGUGACGCAGCGAGGUCUCCACUGUCCAGAUCUCCCACCCCAUCCCCGAAGCGGGAGUUGGCAAGGUGCGCCGCUGCUCUGGUUCUCGCCGCUCCGUUCUUUCGUUUGUGGAUUUCGCCUUCGAUUUCCGCGCUGCGAUUCAGGUUAGGGCAUGCCGUCUCUCUGGGCUCUUCCAUCGUUGCCGUUUUCUACAAUACUCAGCGGAGAUGAGAGAAUCCUUCCAUCGCUCACCGGAGGAUGAUCCGUUCCCCUUUUCGGAGAGGUCGAAUCGCACGGCGAGUUGCUGGUUUAGCCUGUGUGCGUGAGAGAUAGAUAGAUAGAGAGAGAGAGAGGCGGAUAUGACCUGUUCUAUUUCCGAUAAUCUUCGUUUUGUAUUCGAAUAUUGUCUCGGCCACAGAAGGAUUGGAACCAGUAAGAUACCUAUCCUUCUGGUCUUCCGUUCUCUUCUCUACUUGAUCCCGUCAUCAGGCAGACAGAUCUGAUCACAGGUUCUCCAUUCUUGUGAAUUUUUCCCAUUAUUUCACAACUCUAUUGUUCUACUGCCCUGGUUUCCAUUUUCGAAGCAGUGCCUCAUCUUCAAUCCACAAAAAUGCAGCAUAAUCUAGCUAUCUGAGGAAAACCACCAUCGCAGAUUAUCCCGCGGUGUGUGGAAACUGGUAAUAAAGUGAUUUCAAAAGCUUUCAUCCGUUCUUCUCACAUCUCUGCGACCCUUCGGUGCUGCUUCAUCCAGCUUGCAGUGAAAAAAUGUAUCACUACAAGAACUUCUUAUUGAAGUACGUUCGGGUUGCAAGGCGUGGGCCAGAACCCUUGACGAGGAAGGAUAUGUGGCUAUCAAGAGCUGCAGUUCGGCUUAUGAGCGGGACGAGCGACGCCGAUUCAGAGAUUGUCAUGAAUCGGGUGCUAGGGUUGGUGAAAAAGUACGACAAGAUCGACGCAUCCAAGGUAAUCAUGUCGCUGUAAAAUCCUCAACCCUGCUUUGUGCAUGUUCCAUGAUGUUCUAGCUCUGUCUGAGCGAUUAAUUAUCUCUCGGAUGUUACUCAUUGCGCUGAAAAACAUAUGAUCAUAUGAAUGAUUCCAUUUAUUUCGGAGAGAACAGGUGGGUGAUCUGCCAGAAGGUGGCGGCCCUACUCACAUAUCUACCAUGGCGAUUGCUCUCCCGAAUCAUUGGUCAGAUAAACCAUAGUCUGAUAUGUGCAUUUAAUGACGUAUGUGGGGAUGUGAGAUCAGUAAGUUCAUGCCCAGGACUGGUCGGACAAUGCGGACGACUAGUUUCUGGAUGAUUCAGACCAGUGAAGAUGGUGAUCCGCCGUCUCUUCAUGUCGAUCUUCCUUCUUUAGGGCCUGGUCUCUGAUGAUUGCCAUGUCUUGCAGGUGACGGAGAGGGCGGAUUUCCAGAAGGACCUCGGUUUGGACAGCCUGGACAGAGUGGAGCUCGUCAUGGCCUUCGAGCAGGAGUUCUCCGUCGAGAUUCCCGACGAGAGGGCGGACCAGCUGGCCUGCUGCUCCGACGUGGUUGACUUCAUCCUAUCCGAAGCCAGAGGCAGCCCCGGGAAGAACCCAGCAGCUUGAACCUCAAAAGUGCCCUUUUUGGCAAGAAUUCCAUUCUUUGGUAGCCCUUUAGGAGAGCUGGCGACUGUUGGACACCACCCCCCCGGGCGAUCUUUGAUGCAGAAUGUGGGCAUUGUAGGCCGUCUGAUCCGUGCCGGACCCACUUGGUCUCUCUAUCUCUCUCUCCCCCUCUUUCUCUCUCUAAAGGGUAGAAUAAAGAAGUGCAUGCGUCGCCCAAUCCGAGGAGAAGCGUCGCCUUGCGCGAGCUCUCGCGAGGCCAGAUGCGCUUGUUAAGAUAAUCUCUGAGAAUUAGACGAGGAGGAAGACUCCAAGAGCUACGCUGAUAAUCGCCGGCUGAGUUUCCAGGGGCGAGGCUCAGAACACAGAGGGGGGGUGCCCACAGAGCCUUCUCUGAGGGAGGCCAUGGACAUGAGACAAGGGCAUUCAGACAAGUGUGGCCUCACUGGGAAACGGCGACGAGGGGGCGCAGCUGAAGGAUCAUCAUGGCGGAAGAGAAGGAAGGGGGGGGGGGGGGGGGGUUCUCGUGCAAACGCUCCAGUUUCUUCACCCGAGCAUCAAGGAGUUAGGNNNNNNNNNNNNNNNNNNNNNNNNNNNNNNNNNNNNNNNNNNNAAACGCUCCAGUUUCUUCACCCGAGCAUCAAGGAGUUAGGGUUUCCUGCCUCCCUCUGUAAAUUUUCUGAACGUGGGCAACAAGGAAACGAUGCUGCAGAGAUGAAAUGAGCAGUGGAGUGAUGAUGGGUUGCUGCAGGGGAAAGGCGAUCCAUCUCGCUUGACACAUUUUGGCGACUGGGUUCUGAUCGAGCGGCAGCAGAGAGGGCCGGCGGCUUGAGCAUUCCACAUGGGUUUUCUGAAGCCGCAGUGAGAAAGAUCUCAGAGAGGAGACGCCCUCCCCUGCUGGGAGAGGCAUUGACGGCGAAUCCAUGCUUCUGCUGGGGUUAUUUUAUUGGAUUCUGAUCUCCAUCAGACGAUGGGCUCUGCGUGGCGGGCCACUCUGGGUUCUUCCCUCCGCCUGCCUCUCGUUGACCAGGAGGGGCUUCUGGGGUAGCCGCGGGCAAGAUAAUAUCCUGGCAGAGACUGGUUUUUCAGCUCCCGGGUGUUCGUCGUCCUUGUGAUUGGCCGAGUUAACCUGGAGAAAUCUGGAAAAUGUUCUUGCUUUCUCAAAUAGGUCGCGUUGAGGAUUUGUGUUAAUGGAAUAAGAUGGAUAAGAGAAACUGGACAGUGGAGCUGAGGGAGCGGUCCACAUGGCUUUCCCGAUCUCGAAGCUCUCUGUGCUCCGAAACCAGCAAAACCAUGGCGUCGGUUCCUCCGAGAGAAUCAUUGGCAGGGAGCAGCGAGGACCACCAGCUGGUCGCUGGUGUAGGGGAGGGAACGCUUUAAAGGGGAGCAGAGCUCCUCCCUUCUUCCCUGUUUCUACCCGGAGGCAGGUCGGAGGAACAGAAAUGGCCGCUUUCCUCGCGAUAGCUUUCACCUGGGACCCCUACACGGUAUGAGAUCAAACGGGUUUCGUACAUAAACAGGAUCGAGCUCUUGAUCUCACCCUUCUGCUGAUUCUUCUCCGCAGGAAGAGCCCAUCUUCUCGGCGACUGCUUCCAGUAGAAGUUGCUUCUUGUGUUCUUCCCGAGUCCUCUAGCACCAGAGGGUUCCCAACUGUGUUCUUCCUGUAUUCUUGACCCUCUUUCUCGCAAUCUGUAGAAGAAGAACCAAAGGCGCUAUGGGUUCCGCUCUGCUUCCACUUUCCUCCCUCUUCCGCAAGCAUUUACCACUUUCUCUUCUUCUGGUCGCCAUCGGCAGUGGCGGGUACCUGCUCCCUUCGACAGCUCUCAAUCUCCUGGUCGUGGUUCUGUCCGCCUCUCUGGUCUUCGUCCUCUCCAGGAGAGAUCAGGUCCAGGGGACCGAUCGGGUGAAGGCUCCAUGGGGAAUGAGGGAUAAUGGUACCUUCGAACCGCGGAAGCAGAUCCGUGGCGCGGGAGAAGAGCAGAUUCCAGCGCUCGAUGUCCGCACUGGAUCGCCGAGCCCGCCCCCGCCAGGGAUGGCGGCGAACUCCGACAGCGAGGCGUCCGUGGAGAGCUCCAUCUCCGACGAGGAAAGCCUGAUCGAGAUUGCCCUCCCGAGCGGCCACUCCGUGGGAUCCCGAGACACAUGUCGUCCCGGUUCUCCCCUGUUCCUCCCCGAGCUCUCCGCCGAGUUGGUCGUCCACCAGCGGGGGCUCCUGGAGCUGUUGACGGAGAUCGUCGAAGAAGACAAUCUGAUCGAGAUAGACCUCGCCGCCGGGUCCGUCAAGUGCUCCAGGCUGGGGAUCAAGGCAUGACAUGCUGCUGCAGAUUUGGGGUCUUAGGGUUUUCCGACGGAUCGAGAGGACGACGACGACGACGACGACGACGGCCACCCGCCUCCUUCCUCCUCGAGCUCCCGCUGCCGUCUCCCCAUUUUUGGACUACGCGCCUGCAUUUUUAUUAAAUAGCUGGUAUUUAAUUUUACGUAAAUAAUGUGCUUUUUUGGGGCCCGGCUUGCUUCAAUCUUUUUAUCGGGCCGGCCCAAAUAUGGCGGAAACUGGCCCAAAAUGAAUAAAAACGCUUUUAAUGGGCCAUAGUGAGGCCCAUGGACCAAACGACCCGCCCCCGCCGUCUAUAGGGGGCCGCGGCCGAGGUCACUGGAGAUGGGCCCAUAGGGGAGGUUCCGACGACGGGCUAGAGAGUAAUGGGCCUGGGACGAUAGGGUCGCCCGCCACGUGUCAUAAAUCUGGAGAAUAUGAUUGAUUGGUUCGGGAUAUGAUCGACGGUCCUCAAAUGGCACGAGGCCCAUACUUAUCGUGACGCGAACGAUCGUGAAAUUUCCACGUGGCGUGCAGGUAGGAUAUUAGAUAUCCUGCCCAGGAAACCGGCCACGCACCGAGAAGAGUAGCAGCAGUCCACUGUCGUCCAUCUCCCCCUUCGUCUCCUUCCUUCCACCACCGUCGCCGGGCUCCGAGCGCCGCCAGAGGGGAGGAAAUCGACGGCGAAUUGGGCGAAGGUUUUGGUCCGCCGGUGCCUCGGGAACCCUAUCUCCCCCUCGCGGCCGUCGGCCCCGUUGAUCCAUGGGAGAAUUCGGAGCUCGGGCCCCGCGAAGGAGAUGACACCGCAGCGGGAGAGCUCCACCUCGCCACGGGGGACGGAGAUGAGAUUGCAGCCCUCGCCAUGAUUUUGUCGCCGGAGACCUCCUCUUCCUCGUCCUCCUCCAUUUUUCUUCUUCUCGCCGGCUGCUGCAGCGAUAUCUUGGUUUACCGUCGAAUUCUUAUUGCGUCGAAUUCUCUCUUGCUCCCCGGAGUUGGUCCGCGUUCCGAUUGUAGCUCCCAAACCAGUCCGUAGAUAGGAACCCUAAUUUUCUCCGCCCAGCUGCGAUCUGCUGCUUCGUUUCGUCGUCUGAAUCUGCGGGAUUGUUCUCGCUGCGAUCGGCGAUGGCGGACUCGGACAACGAGUCGGGGGGGCAGAACAACAGCAAUGCGGCGGGGAACAGCGAGUUCUCGUCGCCGCGGGAGCAGGAUCGGUUCCUGCCCAUCGCGAACGUGAGCAGAAUCAUGAAGAAGGCGCUGCCGGCGAACGCGAAGAUCUCCAAGGACGCCAAGGAGACGGUGCAGGAGUGCGUCUCCGAGUUCAUCAGCUUCAUCACCGGCGAGGCCUCCGACAAGUGCCAGCGGGAGAAGCGCAAGACCAUCAACGGCGACGACCUGCUGUGGGCCAUGACCACCCUCGGCUUCGAGGAGUACGUCGAGCCGCUCAAAUUGUACCUCCAGAGGUUCCGCGAGAUGGAGGGGGACAAGAGCGGCGGCGCGGCCGGCUCCUCCUCCACGUCGCAGCCCCAACACAAGGACGGCGGCAACGGCGGAGCCGGGUCGGGCGGCGGCGGCGGCGGCGGCGGAUUCCCCGCUGGAGCCGCCGGCGGAAUGUACCCCGUCGCCGGCGCUGCCGGAGGCGGCAUGGUCAUGAUGGGCCAACACAUGUACGGGACCUCGCCGUCAUCGGGGCCGUACCAUCAUCACCAGAUGGGCAUGGGCGGCGGCGGCGGCGGCGGCGGCGCUGGCGGUGGCGGUGGCGGUGGCGGCGGGAGGGGGACCUUCCCCGGCGGCGGGAGCUCCUCACCCGGGGGACUCGGCAGGCAAGGUAGAGUGUAAUGGACGGGUUACACGGCUUCGGCUCUCGUCCAUGAACUAGCUCUUCUUUUUCCUUUUCUUUUCUCUCACUAGGCCUCGAGGAUGAACGUCUGGAUAUUCUUUGAGAUGAUAACUCCGAGCGGAGACCAACCCGAGCGACGAGGACUGACUCCCUUGAAUUCUUCAUCUCUGGGAUGAAGGUUGAACUAUGUAUCAUAAAUCUAAUCUAUGAUGAUGAUCCCUCCUCAAUUUACCCUCUCUUUCUCUCUCUCUCUCUCCUCUAGAGGAUUGAUGCGCCCAUUCAUUGAUCUGAGGGAGUAGUAGUAGUAGUAGUAGGCUGGAAUGAGCUGGAGAGAGCAAGCUCUUAGCUUUUAGAAAAGUGAAGGCCUUGCAGGUGGCCCGCCGGAAGAAGAAGCGUCGCCGUCUAAAACGGUGGCGCCCACCGCCGGCGGGAGGCAGGCGGAGAAGCUGUGUGGGAGGAAAUGGCCGGGACUGUAGCGGCGACCGCACCUUUCUCUAGGAAGGCAUAUCGCCAUGCCACUUACAGUACCUUCUUCUCCCCCCCUCCCUGCAGGAAAAGCAAUAGCCGAUAAGCCGUCUUCUAGAGAGAGAGAGAGAGAGAGAGAGAGGAGGGAGGGANNNNNNNNNNNNNNNNNNNNNNNNNNNNNNNNNNNNNNNNNNNNNNNNNNNNNNNNNNNNNNNNNNNNNNNNNNNNNNNNNGUACGUACGUACGUACGUACGUAGAGAGAGAGAGAGAGAGAGAGAGAGAGAGAGAGGGGGAGACGACGACUCACACUAUAAUGGGACGGUGGGGUCUGUCUCCCCUGAAAGUACGCCAUCUCUCUCGGGCUCUGCCAGACCCUGCGUUCGUGGGCACAAAACGAUCGUCAGAAGCAUACUCUGAGGGGCCAUGAACCAGUGAAGGCUCACCUCGAGAAUCGCCAUCGCAGCCUCCUUGUCCAGCACCUCGUUAUAUUCUCGGCAGGACAGAGACUGCAGGAGGAAGAAGAAGAAGAAGAAGAAGCUUCAGGAGGACAGCACACGAAGACAGAAGCCAUUCCAUUCAAUACGCACCUGAACGCAAUCCGGGCAUCCGGCGCCAACAGAGCAGCGGCAAGAUCUGAGGAGCCUCAACGCGUCACUUAGGAGCUCCCUGAAGAGGGGCUGCAGCUGGGCGCGCAGGGAGUUCCAAUGGGGCUCAGUGACCAUCCCGGCACAAGCUCCUCACCGAGACAAGAUCGCGUGGAACGUACCCGCAUCGAGAAGCCCAUGCCGCCGGGAUGCUGAUCGUACAGCAGCAACCUAUCCGGGAUAUCGCGAUUCUCGUGGGGAUUGGCGCAUUCGGUGCCCAGGUCUGAGGCAUUGCACAUGAUGUACCUGCAGGAAUAAACGCCCCCAGACUCUCAGAGAGUGGCCAGAAGUUCGAAGCGCCCGGGAGAAGCUGGCGCAGGCUUACAGAGGCGCCAGGUUCAGGAGGGCAUGAGACGCAGCGUGCUUCCCGGCGCGAAAUGAGAGGCUGCGCGCUUCCACUGAAGCUCUUAUGGAUCGGGGGACCCGGAUCCAAACGGCCUGUAACAUUGUAUUUGAUAUUUGAUUGAACGAGGCAUAGACAGCGAAGAAGACGCGAUAGAGAUGAUGCAAGGGGCUACAGCUGCCCUACCUUUGACUCGUAUGAAUAUGGGGGAAGAGAAAGGUUGACCGUGUCGAAAAUCCGGUUGCUACCCCGCCAAAUGCAGUGAAAGCCAAACCAUUUGGUCGUCACCCGGCAUGGAUGGUAUCGAGCUGUCGCUCUCGCACUCUGGGUACCAGGGGCUUCUGGUGGAUAGGCCUGCGAGGUAGGAAGAUCAUGGAAGAUUUAUAAUGCCUGAAUCGGGUAAAUCCCCAUGGUACAGACGUUGGUUCUGAUGCAAUUUCUGAGUUGUUGGUACAAAAGUAGAUUCUGCAGGCAAAGACUAGGCCUUCAACAGACAUCUGAUAAUCCAUCCUUUGAAUACACAUUUUUUUUCCUUCUUUGGGCAGAAUACUUAAAAUCACAUAAAUAAAUAAAAUUGAGAGAUAGAUAGAGGAUAAAUUUUUAUCGAGUGACAAAAAAUUACACAGCAUGGCAUUUGGUUGUAAACUCUGGAAGAAAACGUAUAUCAUCACCCAUUUGCAACCCAAACAGGCAAUGCCAUUAAAGUUUACGCUCCUCAUAAAGGUGUCUUGGAUGCCUGGGGCAUCCGCUCAUAUAAAUUCACUCGUGUAAUUAUGUAUUUUUACACAUAAACUAGAAAUUAGAGGGAUAAAUGUAAAUGGCACAGAUUAAUUGGGAGCUGGGAGAUGACAGAAGUAAUGAUCAACAAGUUCUCUCUCUUAGUUGCAAAGUUAAAUUGAAAAAAACAAAGAAUUCCUCCAUAUUAUUCACUGUAUCACACGCAUCAAGUUAAACGUUUACGUACAUGGUCGCCUCCAUAGACGUGUACAUCCGUGUAAUCUCUCGUCUUUGUAUAAUACUUCAAGUCAGUUUUCUGGCAGAAAGCCAUCUUUCUAGAUAAAUCUAGUGCUUUUACUAGAUAGGUGAUUCCUUGAUUGAUGUAAACAGCUCCAUCAUAGACCUAGGAGAUAAAACGGGUGGAUGUCCACCGAUGAUUUCAGAAAUGAAGACAGCAAGGUAACGACUAUUUACAGAAUAAUUCUCCAUAACAACUAGUUAAAUAAUAACAUCAUCUAAAAAAGUUAAAUAAUAACAUCAUCUAAAAAUUAAGUACACUUCCAUACAUUGAACGACUAGGCGCUUGCAAGUGUUGAGGUUUCUCACAACAGAGGGAUAUUGAUUUGCCAGUUCAAUUCGCAAGUAUUGUCGCACACAAAACACGUUGGUCCGUCAACAUGAUCAAAUCAAAGUACGUGAAAAAGUGGGAAAGAAUCUUUGAUGUCCAAAGGUUGUGACAUGAACUAAUCCAAUAUACGAGUCACAAAAAGUUCAAGAGAAGCCAAGUGAAAUCAGUAAAAUAUACUCAUUAAAUACAUAUCAUUCAAUACAAAAAUCCUUCAUUUGAUCAUUCCAGACCGUUAACAUUUAUUUUAUAUAUCUACAUAUUUUGUCUUGAGCAUCAACAUAGGAUAAAUUAAUAUUUUCUUACAAUCUUCAGUAAAGUAAGUAUUUUUGUGCAGCUCCAUUUUAUCAUGGCACCACUAAACUUAAUGGACAGUAUGUUUCAACCUAAACUAGCCCAUGGUCUGUCUGGUCUAUUUCGUAGGAAUACGAAUACCCGAAUUAGCAAAUAUCAUUUUCUUCCCAUAACUACAGUCGAGAAACAAUUUCUUCAUAAUAGGAAGACGAAAUUAAAGAUUACUCAGAACUAUAUUGCAUGAGCAUUAGCCUUUAUGAUACCUUGUGCAAUUGUUUUACCACGAAGAUUAUACAAAUAUUUGAAGACGUGUUCAAGAAAGCUAAAUUACCUGUCAGAUUUUGCCAAUUUACCCAGAAAUUUAAGUUGGAUUGACUCAUGUUGAUUCGACUUGCAUACACCUGAUUGUUUUGAAUUUUUUUCUUUUAAUAUUGAAAAAUUUAUAAUUGCACAUGAAAUGAGUGUCGCAUAAAAGACAAGUUGUAUGCAAGAAUCACUAUAUUUCCAUUCAUUCCAAACUAGAAGCCUCACUGGCCACAUUUCAUGUCUAAUCAGUCUUAUUGACCCCAACUUUAAGGGGAGAUUGUUUGCUGCCACAGAACCUGCAAGCCAAUUGUCUCCCUCUAACUCCAAUAACAAUCGUCAUCCCCGAUUACUAACGUUAGAAUCGAAGUUUUGGCCUCACCCUAAUACCAAAUGAAGGCCCUAACUAGUAAUGGGAUUUACAAGAGGGAAUGUGAAUUGUUUCAUGAUGACAAUGAGUGCAUAAUAAGACUCACUUUUUCACAAUGACAAUCAGUGCAUAAUAAGACUCACUUUUUCAAGAUGACAAUGAGUGCAUAAUAAGACUCACUUUUUCACGAUGACAAUGAGUGCAUAAUAAGAUUCACUUUUUCAUGAUGACAAUGAGUGCAUAAUAAGAUGUCACGCAGUGACAUCAAGACAUCUAGUGAUUCAGAUAAAUCCAAGGCUUAUGUCACUCUCUAAGCCACCUGUGAUAAUUCUAAGUUUAUAUUUAGCAUAUUUAAAAUUAAUUUCUAAGGGUGAUAGAGUUAAUGCACAAGCCUUUAUUGACAGCAAGCUUGUUUGUAAAAUAAAUAAAAUAAAACACUUACAGUACAUUAAAAAUGAGGGAUAGAGUUAACGAUGGUACAGUGAAUGCUUCGUGAUGAUCCUUUUGUAACAUUAGCUUUGAAACUUGGAUUUAGAGAAUCUGUUUCUUUAUCUCUCCAAGUGGGUAUCACCUUCACUCAAUGUGUUACAAAGCCAACUAUCGUCUACACAAGACGACCUAGACCCCCUCGUGGAGGGGAGACCACAACAGAAUAAUGUACUGGGGCUUAUAAAUACAGUAGAGGCCAAAAUAAGAGGGGGGAGAGAAAUCAGAGAGUAGAGAGGGAGAUCUGUCCCUGGAGAGGUCUGAUUCGGGCUCUCCUGUUCCCUGAGGAUUGAUCCGACCUUAGGGACUUGUCCUACUAUCUGUGAACCUCUUUUGCCUUUCUAUUUUCUACUUUCAGUUAUUCUAUCUGAUUCUUCUAUACAAUAAGAAUUGAGUUCCCUGUUGAACCUCGUAUAAGGUAAGGUUAGGGCAAGAAUUCACUCAAAUCUCAGGAGGUUCGUAACACAAUGCUUGAGAAAGCUUGAAUUAUGGGGACGUGCUCUAUCUUCAAUAAGUUGUUUUUGAGCCUAGUUUUAAUUAUUAUCUCAAGAAAUAUGGCUAGUGAACCUUUCGGUGGUUGACACUUACUCAAGUCAAGUGUUGAUUGUUGAGUCUAAUGAAUAUGAUAUGUGCCAUUUCUCCGAUCUUCUUAUGCCGACACUUAUACCUAAAUUUUCUAGAACCGCCUGCAAGUAUGAACCACUUGUAAGGUAGUGUCAACUUCUGAAGAUUUGGCUGCCUAUUUUUCCAAUGUGUCACAACCUCUAUUGUUUUGACUUUUUAUUUUGCCUGCACGAAUCAUCACUUGAAUGCUCAGCUUUUGGUAUGCUAGUAUGUGAUGGCGUCUGUGGUACUGGCUUUUUUUCUUCCUGAAGGUAUCAACUCAUUUCUUAUAGGCGUAGAGUCAAUGUUUUUACUUUAAAUUUUACCUACGUGUGUUGAUAUUUUUCUCAUUGGGGUCAGCGCAUUAAAAGGGUAAAGUCUUAUGGACUCUUAUGAAAAAUCUGAUCAAAAUGCUUUAGGAAGAAUGUAAUGAACUCAACAACAUGCAAGAAUAUAUUCCCUUUCUCUUCACUCAUAAAACAAAAAACAUAUGAACGGCAGUAUCAUGAGUAGUAUUGCAUGGGAGUUUUUAUGUAGGGGCGAGAGUGACAGCACAACAGAAACAAUGCACUAGAAUGAUAAUAUUGUGAACAAACAUAAAAGUUCAGUGGUUAGAAAAAUUUCGGAAGUUGAAUUGGGAAAAAUGCUACCUGAAAAAAUGCCUUGCUUUCCUCUAUUUCCUCCAGAGUUUCAUUGCUUAGCAUGUCCACAACAGUGUAUUUUUCAGUUUCAAUUGCUCGGAUGCUUAUUGUUAACGAAGGUUGUUUCUAACAAAGAAAGGAAAAAAACAUAGUAGCCAAAUUUGAAGCGCAUAAUUUCAAGUGCACAAAAUAUGUGAAGGUGAUAUUUUUUACACACGAUGUACCUCAGGUCCAAUGUAGCUCCAAAUGUUGCAUGAUGAAUUGAAACUUAAAUAACCCCGACUUUUGAGGGCAACCACUACAUUUCUCAAGCCAUUACCAAAAUAUUUCUCAUCGAACUGCAUACAGAGUGGAUGCUCGAAAGCAGCACAGGUAAUAUGCUGUUCAAGCGCCUGCAGAACAUAAGAAACGCUGACAGUCUAAGAUGGCACACUUGAAUUGCUUCUGUUUCAAAGUAAGAAAUGAGCUCACUAAUCUUAGAAAACAAACCUGGGAGUUAUACGCAUCAACUUGGCAAUUCUCAAUUGGGUUUCCAAAUAAUUUUUUCGGGAAUUUCAUGAAAUAUUGAUCAAGUGGACCCUCAAAUGCAACAUAUAUUGACAGUGAGGACUGCAAUCUUCUUCCAGAUCUCCCAGCUUGUUGCCAGAAGCUACGCCAACAAUUAUCAGUAGAAUUUUUAAUUUUUUUUUUGGCAUAAGCAUAAAAGCUAAGAUCAUCGCAUAUUUACCUAGCAACACUCCCUGGAAAUCCAAGAUGAAGGGUAGCAUCAAUAUGUCCAACAUCAAUUCCUAGCUCAAGAGCAUUUGUCGCAGCAAUACCACGAAGUUUCCCUCCAAAAAGGUUCUUUUCUAUAUUUCUUCUAUCCUGUUCUUUCAACACAUCGUAAUAGUGGCAUUGUGAAAGAAGAAGGAAGAUGAACUAUACAGUCAGGAAAUGUAUUCUAUACUUUAACUUUUUAUUUUCAUCCAAAAAUUACAAGCUUGGAAUUUUUAAGUGUAGACGAUGUUGUAGAACCAUCACUGAUGCAUGAUCUUCUUUGUUCAUAAAAAGGUGAAUAGUAUCAAUAUAAUCAUUAAUGAAAAAAUUACAGCUGUAACUUUUUCCCAUAUCACCAGCUGUAAUUCCUAUUUUCUCUAGAUCGUUUCUAAAAAAAGACUACAAGUUAUAUAUGGAAUGUUAUGAUACUUUACAUAAUUUUGAUGCAUGAUCCAUAACCAACAAGAAAACAGCGGUGUGUAGAGACCUGUCAUAAUGCAUGAAGUUACCAUAACACAUGAAUUAAAGGGACCAUUCCCUCUGACACACAAGCUUCAAGCAUCAGUGAUAUUGCAGAAAUGCAAUCGUACCAAUCUACUAGCUUCUACCCUUGAUAUUUUUUUCGUUGUUCCUUUCCUAAAAAUCAACAGAAUGAAGCUCAUCUGGCAUCAAGGCUUAUGUUUAUCUUCCAUGGAAGAAACUUCCAGAAACAUUAACCUAAAGCAACAAACAUGCUUUUCUCUGAAGUAAUAUCUAUGCUGUGAUAAUAUUAACCUCCAUGCAGUUAUUAAUCCAAGAGAGCACAAACAUUUGCAUCUUUGAUACACGGACUUCAUAGCACCACAAUUGUGUUAGCAAAGAUGCGUGUCUGUCCUAAAAUAAGUUGAAUAACUCCCCAUCAAGAUUACGGGUGUGACUUGAUUGGUUUAUUCAGUAAAAGUCAAAUCAUACAACCUUGUUUGUGUCGGAAUAUCCAGAAAGAAAAAAAUGCAUAAAUCCUGUGUUUCACUGCAUUGAUGUUUCAAUGAAAUGAAACACAUCCUUGGGCUAUGGAGAUACAUCAAAUUAAUUGACAAAAAUUAACGCCAAUAUAACUACAUUUUGGUGGGAGUGUACCAUAUCAUAUUAGCCAAAAAUGUAAUCCAGUAUGACAACAAACAUGAUAAAGACGUACUUCAACCUAUACCCCAAUGAGCAAGGUCUUACUCGAAACAUAUGGGCUCCGAUCUCUCUACUCUGACAAGUGAUGAAUGAUAGAUUUUUUUGUCCCAGCAGCACCAUCACAGAGUUGAGUAUUCGUGACACAUGGGGGCACGGUUGUUACCCACUAAUAUGACAUGUGUCGAAGUUCCAUGUCAUGCAAUGAUGUGUUAGGUCCAAAUCUAAACACAUCAAACAACAGGGGUCACCUAAUCGACAGAUCUGUGUGCGGCUAAAAGUCAUGUUUCCUAAGCAUUUUCACUCUGUUCUCUAGUGUAAAUGCCAAAGACACUCCUAAAACGAAGGAACUAUAUGAAUACAUCAAUCUCUCUUUCCCAAAGACGAAUUAAAAAAAAGGUUUGAAAAUCAUUUAUAUGCAUAAUACCAUGUCCAUUUCUUAAUGCGAACAUGAAAAUUUUCUUUUCAACUAUACGAAGCUUACAUGAAAACCCUGAUAGCAAUGUCGUGUUGAUAACAUGAAAUGAAAAAAUUCUCAUUUUAGGGAGAUACCUUGGCAGUAUAGCCAGCACGAUAAACAGAAACUAAAUCAACCAGAUCAGAGGAAACCUCGCCAAGAAUUUUGCGCCUAUCAAAACCACAGUAGCAAACGUGUCACAUCUCAAAAAGUAAUAUCUCAAGAAAAUUAGAGCAAAAAUAUGGUACAAAAUUAGGCAUCAAAUCGUCAAUCCUGUGCAGUUUCAAUGGGAGACGACAUACGCAUAGCAGAGAAUAAGUUCACAGAGUUUGCGUGACUUGCAAAAUGCAAUACACCGGAGACCAUGUUGAACCAUUUCUGCUAAGAGACAUGAAACCUCAUAAAUUGGGCUGCAAAAAAUAUUACUCACAUUAGCAACACAAUACCAACACUAAGAAACAGCUAACCAAACAACAUCGACAGCAAAUUUCUGCCGUCAGUUAUUGACAACUAUUAAGAGAAGGAACCAAAGUCAAAAUAUGUAAAGAGAGAUCACAGGACACAAUAACCCAUGACCCUAGAAAAGGUAAACACAAUCCAAUCAGUAUAUGGUAUUAAAAGCAAGAACUCUCAUCCAAUUAUUAUGACUAGUCGUACGUAACAUCUUUAUACUAAAAGGGUCAGAACAGUAUUAUAUUGGUUAGUCUAAGAGGAAAUUCGUCGCUAUAAAAUCGGUUAAAAAACUACCAUAACCAAUUAGUUUAACUUCGAUGUCUCAAAAACCUAAAAAUUAUAACAGAUACAACAAUUUCUCUUGAACUAUACACCCACUUAUGUUAUUCACAUGACGAUACGUGAAAGUUGGCUCACAAAUGAGGCGUAUUAGAAAAAUAUUUAUUGGUUGGUACAAAAAAUAUCUUGUGGUUGCAAAGAGGUCAUAGACAAGUGGUUUUGAAUCGGAUGUUCCGAUAAACUUAAUACUAAGAGCAGUGGAAACUUUAAGAUAACAAUUUUAUUAGUGAUAUUUUUUCCAACUAACUAUGUCAUUGAAAUUAGCCAUUACCACAUGACAAGACCAAACACAGAGAAACUGACAAUCAUAUUAUCAGAGCAGAAUUAAAUAAAAGGGAGCUUUUAUGUUUGCCCUAUAAAAAUAGCCUAGUAUGUCUCUAUUCUGGGUAGAGUGUGAUAGACAUCAACGCACAACUUGGGGUAUGUAAACGUUUUAAGGUUUCUGUAUAUCUUCCAAGGGUAUUUGACAUUUUAUCAUCUAGGGAAAGUUUAGAAUGUUAACCAAUAAGCGUAUAGUUGCCAUUAUUCUAUUUUUACCCUAAUAUUUGAUAGUGAGGCACAGACUUGAAAAAGUUUUCCAGAGCACCCCUGUCUUUGGGCACUUGUUGUCGUUUCAAAGGAAAACCAAGUCAACGAGGCAAAUGAGACGAGAGAGAAACCAAGAUCCAUUCAGAAACCAGAUAGAUAAAAGAGGAGAUUUAUACUAGCCCAAGGGACAUUGUGGUACACUGACAAUGACUGGGGCUUUGAACACCACAAACUUAAGGUGAGACUGCUGAUGUCUCUGCCACGCCAUGGAUUUCAGAUGAAUCAAAUGAACAAAAUAGCUCACUAAGAAAAGUGGCAUUUUAAAACGGUCUGUGUCGAUGUCCUUACUAUUAAAAAAAUAUCACUUAACUCCCUUCUUCAGACUAGCAUGUUGAAGUAAAGGACCAUAUGAAAUUUCCUUGAGCAUAUCAUUAUUUUUCACAAUGUUGCGAAAGCAUGGCUAUACAAUAAGUAAUCAACAUAUGUCUAUUUGAUUUAAAUGCUACAAAGUUUCUGAAGUGCAGUUAAAAACUGUGAAUUUUACAAUCAUGAUCAAAUGAUAUCCAAUUAAAAAAAUAUUAAGCAUAUAAGGUUUCCAACUAUGAGCACAUCUGGUCUGUCUAAACUUAAAAAAGAUUACCUUGAGCGUCUGCCGGUCGCUUCUUUCUGAACAAAUUUUUUCUUCUUGCUUCCUCGAAUCAAUGAUUCUUGUUGAUUAUACAGCUUUCAGGUUUCCACCAAUCAUAAAAUUUAAAAAUGGAUUUACGAAGAAUGCAAACUUUGAACUUAGAUAUUAUAAAAUUCAGAGAAGAAAUUAUACUCGGGAUACAUACUGGAGGGUUCCACAGGAGAAAAAGCUUUGGACCACAAGGACUUCCAUCAUUUGAGAUCAACUCCAAGUCUUGUAAGUUUGCAAGUUCCUGUACCACAGCAGACGAUCACAAAUCAGCAAACACUCAACAGAUCAAAAGCGAAGGUUCCGCAAUCGCAAUAGGAAAUAUAAGAGGUCGUGGUCAUUUCAUGCAGAAAACAGAUUAGUUUUAAGUCGAUGAUUGAAGAUUCCUAGGUAUUGAUGCUUGGAAAUUUUCUGUUGACGUCAUGAAAAAUCGAUAUGAGGAUUUGUCGGCAGACACCUUGGGAAAAAUGGAAAACAAGGAUAAAUUAUUCUAACACAUUUCCGAUUUCUACCACCUCAACACUUUGACUUGUAGGUAUUCAAAAACCCACUUAAAAUAACGUACUCCCUAUAAAAAACUAGGACAUGCGUCUUUGUUAGGCCUACGGAUAUUAAAUUAUCAAUAGUAUCAAAAAAUCGAGUUGGUUCAUGCAUCAGAACAAAAGUCGGUCUGAUAUAGCAAACCAUGGUUCAUCAUUAAUACAGGUAUAGAAUGCAACCUUCAACGGGAUCAUAUGUACGACCGCAGCUCAUUCCCCCAAUCUUGAGGGACGGAAACGGUCAAUCCCCAGCCACACUGACAUAAAUCAUAUGUCCAACUUUUCCAGCUCACCAGAAAAUAUUCAGUUACUAACUCCCACAUCAGAGAUCAAAAAACCUAGGGCAUCUCAGUAACAAUCGAGAAUCAAGAUUGGCUUUUCCACUACUUGUACAAUAAAGUGCGCAACGCUCUAAGAUUAGCAUUCCUAAGACAGGUUGCAGAGAUUGGAUCCUCUUUAAAAAGCUUUCUGACAACACAGCUAACUUGGUCUAAAAAGAUAUUUCGUGUUAAGUGAAUCACCAUAUUUUCAUUAUUGAGAAAUGCAGCAGUAUCUGCAUCAAUGUUAUUCUAAAUGCUUAAAUGCAACUAUAAAGUUGAAGACUUUCUUUAAUCUGUUUUGUCAUAAAGCUUACCAGAGCAUGCUCUUGAGGAUUUGCAGAAGUCGCCGUACAAAAAAUAAAGGAAGGAUCCCUCCCAUAAACUGCAUCAGCAAAACUACGCCUUAGCUUCCUAAAAUAAGAUGAAAUCAUCUAAGCAUGGCGAUUUCUUCGUAAUACUAUGAAGCAAUCUACCAUGAAAGCAGAUGCGACGCAACCUCCUUAAAAUAAGAGAAGUAUGGCAUCCAAAUGCUCCUUUAUAUGCAUGAGCCUCAUCAAUCACAAUAAACCUGAUUGAAAGACGGGUAUUAAAAAUUGUGAAUAUGGAAAUUUUCAAUGAGUUUGGUGUCAACAUUUUCACAAGAUACAAAAAAAUAAGAUAUGCUAAAAUUCCAGACGUAUUGACCAAGAAAACAAUUUUAACUGGACACUACCCCUCUCUUUUUUCUUCUUAUGAGGAACCGUGCCUAAAAAAAACCUACCUUCAAGUAACUCUAGAAAAGUAAAGGUACUCUAGCAAAGAAGUCGCCCCCAAAAUCCAGGGUAUGAUGCACUUGUUCAUUGAGAAAGAAUGGAAACAUUAUGUCGAAGUGUAAUAAUAGAAUAUCCUGUAUGAUACCUCAGAUUGGAUAAGAUCCGCUUAAACUGCCCAUGGAAAGGCAAGACUGACACAUGCAGCAUAUCUGGAUUCGUGAUCAACUGCAUGGAUGAAAGACAACGAUUUAUUUAAAUAGUUAAAUAUAUGGCAGGGAGAAUACUACAAUUUCUCGCAUGAAGGAGAAAGCAUACGAGUCUCGCAUUGUUCCGAAUAAAUGCACGAUCAUUUUGUGGUGUAUCACCAUCGUAAACACCAAUAUCUAGGUUUUCACCCAGACCUCUUGCCAUCUCCAAUAAAGCUCUGAGCUGAUCUUGAGCCAAAGCCUGCAUCAACAAAAAAUUAACUGCCUUCUAGAGAAUACAAGAAUACAAUAAGAUACGUACAAAGGAAAUGAAGGCCAGUACAGCUGUGUAUACAGGCAAGCUAAGGAGAGGGUUGCGAAGUGAAACUUCACUGGACAUUUCGUCUCAAUUUGUUAGACAUGAACUGAGAAUGAGCUGGUAGACAUGAACCUUUGUCGGGAAGAGAUAUAAAGCACACGAUGAUGUAUUUCGACUUAGUUCUUCAAAAACUGGUAUGUUGUAGCACAGAGACUUUCCACUAGAAGUUGAUGUUGCAAUAACUAUAUUUUUCCCAGAAAGUGAAGAACGAAUCGCAUCUGCCUGCAAAUUAUCCAGAGCAUGAGAGUGCACCUAAAGUGAUGCUGAAUUUCCGAAAAGUAGGACAACAGAACGCAACCUGAUGGCUAUAUAAUCUGGAUAUCCCGAUUCGUUUAAGUGCUGCUGUUAUGUUUUCAGAAAGAUCACUAGGAAGUUCUGCAUAAACUGCUGCUUUUGCUGGAAACUCUUCCACAUGUACUAUCUAAGCACGGUGAGUUUCUCAGUAAGAUAAUCAGAUAGUUUUGCAUUUCCACAUGGGCGCAAAAAGAAACUUUACCGACCUGGCCAUGAAUGCCUAAGCCCUUUUGCAGAUGCUCAACCAUUUCUAAAGGCUGCAAUGCGGUUGUUCCCUGCAAAUGUUUAACCGUUUAUUAUGCACAUUCUUCAUACAUAAAAUCACCAGAAUUACAGGGGAUACUCAGAAAUACAUCCAUAUUAGAGCAUCAAACGUGUUUCAGAGUUAACCAUCUACUAUUUCAGUAGAAAGAAAACGUGACACAGAGAGAACAACACGGGUGGCAUCUGUUGUCCAUUUCUUUAUCUAAUAAAACGUCAACAGGAACAAAAUUUACCCGGCAAAGACAUUCUGCAUGACUCUCUGACGAUAGAGAAUCGUUCUUUGCCACUCUUAGUCUAGAUCCUUCAGAGAAGUCACGUCUUUCCUUUAAAUCAAUGAGAUCUUCUAGAGAGAGAGAAGACGGCAUCAUGCUUCCCGAUGUUAUCCUUCCCUGCAUAUUCAAGUCUAUAACAACCGGGAUUUGAUUUUUAGCAUUGUACAAUGCUUCAAAUAGGCACUCAAAAAUCAUGCCCGAAAUAUCGAAGAUUAUCUUGAGGUCAGAAUGGGUUCAAUCAAAUUGUGGUGAGAAAACCAGCAUAUCCAAAGAGCAGGAACCUUCUACUCUGAUCUUCCAGAAAUAUGGGAAGUAAAGGCAUCUCACUGUUUAAGCGAUAUAGAGACACAGACCAUAAAUGAGGUGCUAAGAGAUAUACAAAUGUACAAUACAUGAACAAAUAUAAAGUCUGAACUGAAAGCAUAACAAAUCACACAAUACAGAGGGGUUAAGGGAUGUAAAAUAUUUGAGUACAGCCGCAACUCAACUCUGAGAUAAAGCUACCAGGCAGAGUAUAUCCAAGUAAGGUGUCAUGCUGAGUCCAGAGAUAAGUUUCAAUAUCAUAUGAUUUUUGUGUAAUAAGUGAUGCUGGGAACUUGUUUUUCAACAGCAGAGAACUACCUGGAUAACUGAUGUUUUGUUCCAUACCUAUCAAUGUUAAUGGUUGCUCUUGUAAUGAGUAACCUCACGAAUCAGAAUGCACAUGGCAUGCAUGGUAGAAUCACUAUAUUAAAUAAUACAAAAGUAAAUAUGUAGGAAUAAAGAUGAGAUAAUUUCACUCAUUACCUGUUAAUUUGAAUUAAACUAUUCAAUAACCACUGCAUGCUCUUAAAGCCAACGAUCGUUCCCAGGCAAGAUGUAGCCUAUUCAUGUAACCCAUGCGGCAGAGUUGAAAUGUUGACUUAAACGUGAAGUGACUAUUUGUCUUGGCCAAUAUAAUGAUAAAUAUUAUCAUAAAGACACGCCCAGUUCACUGAUUGGCAACUGAUUUGAAUUAGAUGAUCCAAUAGCUUUUAACUACAGUAAAUUGAGUUUUUUAUCCAUUCUCCUUCAUUUUCAGGGACAGAUAUUUCAGACCCAAAAUGAAUUGGCUACCUUCUCCAAACACACGUAAAACUGUCUUUUCAUUCAUUGAUCAUACUUAUCCAUCAACUAACCACAGAAAGCAGUAGAAAUUUUACACCCAUAUAUUGAGCAAAGUGCAUGACGUAAAGAUUUUCGUAAAAUGAUCUUCAUCUCUUCAUGAACUCAUUAUGGGAGCCUGACCUCGCAUCCAACCUGUACUUUAUUCGCAGCUGUCUUAUUCCUCAUACUUGUCCAAAAUUGAGUCAUAAUGUAGCUCAUAAAAUAACUUCAAAUCAAGAAAGAAUUGUUUUUAGAGUACAGCUUGACAAUCACCAUGGAAAAAAAUAGCGGAAAACCCUAUUAGGAACCUAGACUUGGGUUAUGAAUAAUAUUUUCUAAGAAGGAAGCGUCUAAAACUCCAGCUCAAUACACGUUGAAGAGGAAAAAUCUUCCUCGUUUGUCACGUCUUCUGUCAUAUGUAAAGCUUUCAUAUUGAUGUGAAAUAAUAUUAAUCUACAUGAGAACCGAAGAAUGUUCUCCAGGCAUAUUCUUGGAGGAUUAAGAAUUUCCUUCAUAACAUUUUGCAAUAAACGCACAAGUAUAUGUAAUCUCAAAUCUAACCCAUUUUUCCAGACAAGGACAACAGAGAAAAUUCUAAAUUCUGCAUGACAAUCUGACCAACAAUCUCUGAUUGGAUUCCAGGAAAGGAGGGUCCAUAAGGAUUGGUUCCGCCACAGAAGAUUGAUCCUUCCAAUCAACUGAAAGUACUCUAUGUACGUCAAAGUGUUAUGUAAUGUCUAAUUCAGUCGAAAAUCUCACUAACAACCGCUGAGUAAUACUCGUUAUGGCACUUCCAUCAGAUGAGUGAACCCAGGUUAAUAAGAGAUGGGAACACUACAGAGACUCCUUCCCCUAUUCCCUAAAGAGGCUCAUGAACAGUUUCAGACAUUAAACACGACGGAUGGGAGCCAAAGGAAGGUAAUAGAAAGAAAAAGGGGACUAAACAUUUUUUUCAUUUCAUACAGGGAGAAGAGCGGGGAUACAUAUAUAUAUCUAUAUAUAUAUAUGUAUAUAUAUAUAUGACUUUCGAAUUCCCUUGUCUUUAUGUUUUAGAUAAUAUGUAUAAUUGAGCCCUCUUUUAGAUGUUAUAUACAAGACCCCGUCUAUCAUGUACAUUACAAAAUCAGGUAGUUAAUGACCCACUGCUAAUCCGUACGAGGUCCUGACAAGGCAUUACAAUAUGAGGUGAGCGUUCUCCAAGCAUACAAAAUUGUCUACCAUGUUUAUUUGUCCUUUCACGUCCCCGUAAUUGCCCAAAUUUUGCUAACGAGUUUUUAACAUAUGCAACAAACUAGACAAUAUAACGAGGACAUGGAUGGAACAUAUGAUUAGUACAAUCAAUUAUUUUAGUAUGAAGAAACGGGUACACACUGCAGAUGGGUUUGUUGUCUAGAGAGAGAACCUUUUUUCUAAAGACCAAUAUCUUAAUGAGCACAUCAGACAGAUCGAACAUAAAGGUACAACGAAGAAAGAAGAACAACUUGAAUCAAAUACAAAUCUAGAGUUACAGUCAACUAACUGGCGCAGAUCUGAUCAUUGUUAGUAAAACAUCUUUGAAAGCGUUCUCCCUCUUUUCUCUGGCAAAAAUGGUUGAUGCGUGGGAAGAACGAACUCUACCUAGAGGGAUGUACACACAAAGACAAAAAAAAUGGAUAUACGUUACUUGUAAAUAAGAAGAUCAUUGGUCAAAGAAAACUAUUAAGGUGGCGGCAUUGUACAAAAGCCUUACUCUUACCCUUAUGCAUAGAGUGCACAGAUAAUUCAUCAGCAUAAUCUAAAAUAACAACAGCAUCCCUAGACUUGGACAAGAAAGUUUUGUGAUUACCAAGCAUCACCACCUAUAAAAACAACAGAUCUGAAGUCAAAAAACCAAAUGGGUAGAAUUUAAACGAACUGGUUUAGUUUGAAUGCAGUACACGAUGCAAUAUCUCUUAAUAACUACGAUUAGCAAGUAGAUUACCCUUUAUAAUUAUCAUCCUGCGCUUCGGUGGAAAUUGCCUUUAUAAUUAUAAAUCCCUUUAUAAUUACCAUCCCUUGAUUUAGCUGAAACUAACAAGGAUGAUAAUAUGUCGACGAUAUAAUGCUUGAAAAAUUUCCCAUUUCAUCAGUUAAAAAUUUCUCAACCAAGUUGAUUUUAUAUCUUCCAAGUAUUGCCACGAUAUUUUUGAAUUCAAUGAUCACCUGCAAAGCAUAGACGCUCAGCACCACUUUAUAUUGAGUCACCAUCAGCCUUGAAAGAUGAAAAAUAAUUUCACCAAUUUUUCGGAUCUUUCUUUCGGUGUAACUAAUUCAAUCUGAAGGAACAAAAUUAAUAAGAAAACUUGUUAUACUUGAUAAUUCCAUUAACUUAUUUGGGUCUAGAUACCAUCACAUCUAUUGGAAUUAUGCCCCUUCAUCGGUGCUCAAAAGUUUAAAAAAUUUAGAGGGCAUUGAUAGGAUAAGGAAUUCAUCACAGGUGAUCAUCACAGAAUCAGGAAAUAUCAGCUAGACUGAAUCUUUGAACUUUCAAACCCCUUAACAGAAGAUAAUACGAUUUUUCUUUUACAUAAAAUUUUUCACAGCAAUUUCAAGUACUUGAAUAACUAUUAAGAUGGGUGGAUAGUAUUGAAGGUGGAUAGGAUAAUUGUAAUCCCGAUCUAUGCAGUAGAACUCUUUCUAGUCAAUUGAGUUUAAAAAUACGCACAUCUCUAUGACUGAUAUCAGGCAUUUAUUCACAAUUAUUACCCUUGGAAAGUUCAUUUUGAAAAGGCAAAUUUAUUCCAAACACAAGGGACGGAAAAAGUAUGCUUGAAUGAUACGAAAACUCCACCAGGGGAUUCAGAACGGAUCGUCUUUAUGGAUCAAUUCCCAGUCUUAGAUAUGGAUUGAUUUCGGCAAGCCAACAAAAUUUUUCUGAGGUUAAGUUUCUAACAGUGUAAAUCUAUCCUUGAAGCAUCCAAAUAGAAAAACAAGUUCUGUUUUCAUACUCAACAAUAAAUCUCGCACCACGAAGGUAUGAUUCCUAUAAAACGUGUGUGCUGACUCUCAGGAUAUGUUCUGGUGCAACAAUGCAGAGUAUAAAUUUCUUCAUUAAAUCUCUAAGAGCUUCCACUACGAUUAUCUUCCUAUUCCAGAUUUUUUGCUUUACCUGGAAGAGUGCUACUUUAACUCUUCUGUUCUUUUUAUGAACAGCAAGAAAGAACUAUGGUAGACUGUGAUUUCUUCAGUCUUUCAUCCUAUGCACAACAGUAGCAGUUCUAAAAAUACAAGGUGCUCUGCAGGGGUUGAAACAUAACCGAAUCUAUUUCUGUACUGAAUUCUGGCGCAUAUAUGCUACUUCUGCGAGAAGAAAAGGUCCCUACUCAUCCUAAUAUCAUUAAGAAAUGCCAUCGAGAGAAAUUUAUUCGGCAUAAAAUAAUGAAAUUAGCAAAUAAUAUUAAAAAAGAUAAUGUAAAAGAUAAAAAAAAUUCAGAGUCCUAAUGAAGUAAGAUAGUAACCACCUCUGGGCAAAAAUUCAGAAGAUGCUCCACAUCUGAGAUAUUAAUGUCCUCCAUCUGAGGGGCACCCGGCUGCUCCAGUGCUUGCCUUAGACAUUUCCACUCGAUGCAUCUGUGUUGCAUUAGUAGGAUACUAUGCGCCGCAUUCAGAAAAGAGAAACAUUUCACUAGCCUCUUCAUCCAUACUGGACACAUGCACAGGUCUGCCUCCCCAGAUCUUCGAUAGAAUUCCUCGGAAAAAAAGCACUUUCUGCUGUCGGGAUCUGACAAACAAUCAGCAAAACCAGAAACUGGAGAAGAAGAACUCUGACCACUAGGUAGUGAAUCUAAAACAUUUCUGCUAUUGUGCAAAAUGUUUCGAAGGAAAAGGAAACAAGACUCCUCCCUAUUACUUUUGGUUGCCGGAGAACUACCCCCUUCCACAUUAUGCUUCCCAUGAGAUAUAUUGCCCUCUAUCACAACGUUGUGGAUGGGAGACGCAUCGGGAGGGUCCGACAAUGAUCUGAGGUCCUCCAUCAUAUCCAGCCAAGCUAAAUCUGCAUCAGCAGAAGUUUCAACUUGGCUGCACCAUUUUGUCGUCUUGGCGCUCCCCCCGGACGGGCUCUCCGGCGGUUGGCAUUCCCUCGUUCUCUUCGAAAAAGGAACCAGGACCAAGAAUUCACCCUGAUCGAUCAGAUGGCUCGCUAUAGAGCUUCCAGCUCUCAGUUGCGCACCCUGGAUCAGUUUCACAUGAGCUUUCAAGGUUUGGGGGAAGCGGGAAAAACAAACCGUCAACGAAGCCAAAGGCCGAUCCAAAACGAAUUCCAGCGAAGACGACCGUCGAGAAAAAGAGAGAUCGUCAAGAAAUCAAGCGACACAUCCCACGAACCUUGUAGAACAGGCGAAAAUUCAGAGACUCCUUCGCGGGAGGGAACGACUCCUUGAGAACGGCCUUCAAGUCCCCCACCGUGGCUUCCGGUGAGAUGCGCACCACCGUAGACGAGCCGUCGAGGCCGCGCACUUCUAUCGCUCUCUCCUCCUCCAUGCCGUGGCCCUCCGGCGAGCCACUCCAAGCUCCCUUUCAAGCCGAGCACGAUGCCCAGCCGAUCUCCCAUUCAAACCCUACCCGCGCAUUUUUGGCGGGGGUUCGUGGGAUAAAGGGAGCCGUUGAAGCCGGUGAAGGCAUCAGUCAGUAAUGGCCCAGGUGUAUUAUGUGGGCUACGGCCACGUGUAUCUCAACAAGUACAGUAAUGGCUUCCAACCCCCGGACCGUCCGUCUAGAGUAUGGUCCAGCCGUAUUAUGUGGACUACGGCCACGUGUAGUAAUGGCUCGCCAUCCCCCCCCCCUCUCUCUCUCUCUCUCUCUCUCUCUCUCUCUCAUCUACAGUGCUACGUUACUGGAUCCAGCUGUUGUGCCUGCGGCGGCCAUGUGGAUCUCUGGACGUCAACUAAUGGGCUCCGACUUGGGCUCCUCUACGUUCCUCGGUACGACCGCAAAGUCAACUCCUUUCGGUGAGUCCCCCAAAUCUCUUACUUUUAAUCCGCAUCUUAAUUUUCCAGCAAUGAAUGCCGGUGAAUUUUUUAAUAUUAAAAUUUGAAAAAAAUAUAUAUGCAGGUGGGAUUUCAUCGGAAAUUUCAAAAUAAAAUAUUAUUAAUCGCAAGACGCAUUGGGUUUCCUCAAAACUCGGAGCGCGCCGCCUUUUCGCGAGGUUUUGACGCUCCAAGGGGAGAGUUGACCGCGGAGGCUCCUCUCCGACGACAGACUAAUGGGGAGCAUGCCGCGGCGGGACGCUUGCCUGCGGGGGGCGUCACUCAGCCGGAAAAAUGAUGACGUCACUGAUGAAAGCCGACCCAGCUGGUCCGUAAUCUGUCCCGCAGUCGGCUCGUUGAGUCAUCCGAGUCGUGGUAACGCAACGUGUCGACUUCCGAGGGGUCUGCGCUGAAUUUAGAAAAAAGAAGAUAAGUUGUGGAUAUUGACCCGUGCCGUUAGUCAAAUCGGCUUCCCUUAUUGAAACAGGUCGGCGGAAUAAAUAAAAUCCCGUAAAGAGAAGCAGCUAUGAUCUAAUCAAGGGCUCAACAUAAUCUAAUAAUAAUAAUAAUGAUAAUGAUCGUCCACAUUCGGGAGAGGGCUGCUUUGGCUAUUUCCGUGACGAGGACAGCGUACGAUUCGCAUUGGACGGUACCGGUGCGCGUCCACGUAGGGGCAGCCAAGUUACCAUAGUGUGCCUUCGACAAAAAGAUUCCGUCUUUGCUCGCUGGCAAGGAUCCGCAUGUCGGAUCGUGAACCGAUAUCAAACCGUUUGAUCCGAACCGUUGUGCGGUCCCCACAAAUUACCCUCCUCCCCAGGUCCUCGGGUUCCGUUAUCCGACCGGGAUCCGCCGCCCAGAUCAAUCACGGAAGCGGUGGCCCAAAAGAACCCCGAGUCCCUUUCAGGUCGAUCUCGGAUCCCCGCCCGGAUACGAGACCUUUGGAGGCAGGUGGCCUUCCGAUCAGACCGUCCACACGAGUCUGGGAUCACCAUGAUCGAACGGCUCGCAGAACGGGACCUCGAUCGUAACUCCACGUCACGGUGGGCUGGCACCGCGGACGCAUGUGGACGGCAGAGAACGGCGUCUCGGGCUCCCAAUGGUCGAAAUUAAAGAUACACGUGGCAGUAAACCCAUAUUUGACCGUACGUUUAAGCACUGUUUUAAAUGAUACUGGUGAGGUAUUAUAUCACAAACAAGGUUGACCGUACCUUCUGACCGCGCAAUGCGGCCACGUCGAUGCAUCGAUUGGGGUGUGGAACCCGGCAGAUCUGACCGUCGGAGAUGGCGAAAGAUUCGCCGUACGGAGGCAGCAGGCGCGCUUACCCUCUUCUGCUCCCGUUGCUUGCCGGAUCUCGAGGCGCCGGGCCGGAAAUACCGGCGGCCGCAACGGUCACAGGUUCGGCGCCGCCGUGGGAUGGGCGAGGGCGGCGGAGCCGCCAUAUAAUAUGCGCGUAUGAUACGUAUACGAGGAGAAGUCGCGUCACCGGGGAGGGAAUAUUCCGGGAAUAAACCUCCCCGACCCGAAUUAAUCUAAUAAUCCUCCGGAGGAUUUUCGCUAAUCGGCGAUCUGAGACAGGCCAAUUCUCGUAGGGGUGGACCCAUCCCAAUCGGCGGCGUUGUAGAGUCAACGGGUCAACGUGGUUCACGCCGGGUGGAAAGAGAGACGCUUUUGCGGCCAACCAACCAGUUUCGCCGACUGCGGGUGGUUCGGAUGGGGGGGGACCAGGAAGGGGGUGUGGGGCGUAGAUCUUGAAUGGCGGCGGGGAGGAUAGAGGGGGCGGGGGAAGGGGGGGGGGGUGGACGGGCUUUGACAUUGCGAGAUUCAGCGCGGCAUUUUAGAGAUUUCCCCUCCGUUUUUCUUUUCCUUGUCUUUAGAGACGCGAUUGAGCCAGGGAAAGGGGCGCUAAAUAUGAGUUGGAAAGGAUAAUUAACGCAUUUUUCAUCGGAUGGGGCUGAAAACAAAAAAAACUCGAUAUACUGGACACGUAACGCUGCGGAGACACGUGAGGCCCGAAAAGCACUCCGGAAAAGUCUCCAGGACGAGAAUCGGCGCGAUAUGGGGGUAUCUUGAAGGAUGGGUGAAUAGUUGGGGGUGUUCGUAUAAUUUUGUUACCCCGUAGAUCGGGCGCCGUAAACAUUUUCAGAGGUGGUGAAUGAGUCCUCUGGGACUCGUUUUAUCGACAGACUGACGAGGAAGAGGAGGACGGCGUUUUUUGACGGCGUUGUUGACAAGUCGCGCAUGCUGAUCUGCAGACGGUGGGGAGUAGUAGAAAAGGGAGACGGGGCGGACCAGUCGCUGGAGAGGGCGGCGCCAGAGUUUUAGAAGGGUGGGGGAGGAGGUAGGAGGAAGGAGAAAAGCGUGGAAAGGGGGAGAGAGAGAGAGAGAGAGAGAGAGAGACAGACAGACGAGGAGGGANNNNNNNNNNNNNNNNNNNNNNNNNNNNNNNNNNNNNNNNNNNNNNNNNNNNNNNNNNNNNNNNNNNNNNNNNNNNNNNNNNNNNNNNNNNNNNNNNNNNNNNNNNNNNNNNNNNNNNNNNNNNNNNNNNNNNNNNNNNNNNNNNNNNNNNNNNNNNNNNNNNNNNNNNNNNNNNNNNNNNNNNNNNNNNNNNNNNNNNNNNNNNNNNNNNNNNNNNNNNNNNNNNNNNNNNNNNNNNNNNNNNNNNNNNNNNNNNNNNNNNNNNNNNNNNNNNNNNNNNNNNNNNNNNNNNNNNNNNNNNNNNNNNNNNNNNNNNNNAGGAACAGGGAGUGGGAGGAGAGAGAGAGAGAGAGCGGCAGACAGGAGGAGGAAAAGGGCAAAGUAGCGUCGUGUUUCCAGCAGGAAUUCCGCGGCCUCGAAUUGGUACUGUGUUCGGAAUCUCCACGUUCUCAGAAGCAUUUGAUCCCCAGGCGCCUACAAUGGGUACUGCCUUUAUUGUUGCUUCUAGGCAUCGGGCUCGAUAGCUAGGCCGCCGUUUUGUGCUCUGUUUACACCGCCGUUUUGAUCCUUUCUCAUUUCUUAUUGCUCGAUUCCUCAUUUUGGGUGCCGCCUCGUACUCUGACGCCCCUGAUUGGUGAGGUUCUUGCUUGCUUUGUUCGUGAAUUCACCCAGUGUUUCUCAUUCCCCCUGUAUCUACCUGUUCCUGGCGGCGCUCAUCUCGUCACAGUUUCUGUGAAUUCCCGCUGCCGAAUUUCCCUUCCCGAUGCGUCUUCUGCCUUGUUUAUUGUGGUUGAUGACGGAGGAUUCGCUUCUGAUGAUCGGCUUCCUCUUGAUUCCUAAUCGUUAUUGCCGCCCACUUCGAGUGGAAUCAAGAUGUGCUUCGGUUUCAGUCCCACCCCCUUUUUUUCUUGUUUCUCCGAUCGACUCCCUGUUCUUUCCUAAACCCUACUGAACUGAUUCCUGUUCUUUCCUGCAGAGACGCACCAGAGUUCUUCAUGGGAUAUGGAUGAUGAAUACGAGAAGUUAGUUCGGAGGUUGAACCCGCCGAGGUGAUUUAUCCACCCCUUGCCGAUGUGUUUUCCAAUGAUUUCCCAUGAUUUUUCCUGAGAUCUGGUUCUUCCUGUUCUUCGUCCCCCAACCAGGGUCGUCAUAGACAACGAGUCAUGCGGGAAUGCGACGGUCAUUCAGGUAAUCUCCUCCGUCGAUUCAUUCCGCUCGCUCAUCAUAUUUUUUUGGUCCACUCGUCUGCAUUCUUCUCAGUUCGUCGUCGAAAUCCCGCGUGCAAUCCCUCAGGUCGACAGCGCGAAUAAGCACGGAAUUCUUCUCGAGGUAGUUCAGGUUCUGACGGAUCUGAAUCUCGUCAUCUCCAAGGCCUACAUAUCGUCCGACGGAGGAUGGUUCAUGGAUGGUAUCAUCUUCAGGACCUCGCUUCCGAUUUCUUCACUGGUCGUCUCCUUGCGUCGAUUCGGUCCUCACCGGGAGCGAUCUGACACCAUCCUCUUGGGCUGCAACAGUCUUCAACGUCACCGACAGAGAAGGCAAGAAGCUGCGGGACGAGGCCACGGUCAACGCCGUCUCCGACUUCAUCCGCAAGGUACUGCUGCUACACGGAGGUGCCGCAUUCCCGUUGACCUAGCAUCUUUUCCCCCGGGGAAGGUCAGGCUGACGGCGGCGGGGUGAUUCUGUGCAGUCUCUGGGGGCGGACUCUGGUUAUCUGCCGUCGAAGAGGAGAUCGGUGGGCGUGGCGGCUUCGAGCGAGUACACUUCGAUCGAGCUGACGGGGACGGACAGGCCUGGUUUGCUCUCCGAGGUCUCUGCGGUGCUGAACAGCCUGAAAUGCAACGUGGUCAACGCCGAGGUGUGGACCCACAACACCAGGGCGGCGGCGGUGAUGCACGUCACCGACGAGGCCAGCGGCGCCGCCAUCACCGACCCGGAGAGGCUCGCCAAGAUCAAGGAGCUCCUCCGCAACGUCCUCAAGGGCAGCAACAAGAACCGCGGCGCGAGGACCGCCGUCUCCCUUGGGGCCACCCACACCGAGCGGCGGCUCCACCAGAUGAUGUUCGACGACCGGGACUACGAGAGGUCAGACCAGGGCGGCGCCGGCGCCGACGACGAGAAGCCCAGGCCCAAUGUGACUGUGGUCAACUGGCAGGAUAAAGAUUACUCGGUGGUCACCAUUCGGUGCAAGGACAGGCCGAAGCUCCUGUUUGACACGGUCUGCACUCUCACGGACAUGCAGUACGUCGUCUUCCACGCCAACAUCGGCAUCGAAGGCCCCGGGGCUUAUCAGGUAGCUUGCUUCCUGCUGGCAAGCUAGCUGCGUUCUUCUUGUUCAGCCCUGGUACUUAUUAUUAUUUUUUUUGCUUCCGAUCACCGUGAAGGAAUUCUACAUCCGACACGUGGAUGGAUCCCCGGUCAACUCAGAGGCGGAGAGGCAACGAGUGAUCCAGUGCCUCGAAGCGGCCAUCGAGAGGCGGGUGUCCGAGGUGGGUGGGCUUCCUUCCACCUCCUUCCUGUCUUCUUCUUCUUCUUCUUCCUCUCGAUGACGCCCUGGAUCCUUCUCUUCUGUUUGUCGCUGCUGCUGCUUGAUUUUUGCAGGAUCUGAAGCUCGAGCUGUGCACCGGCGACAGGGUCGGCCUGCUGUCCGACGUGACGAGGAUCUUCCGCGAGAACAGUCUGACGGUGACGCGGGCGGAGGUGACGACGAGGGGCGGCAAAGCGGUGAACACCUUCUACGUGCGGGACGCCGGCGGGAGCGCCGUCGACGCCAAGACCAUCGACGCAGUGCGGCAGGCGAUCGGCCUGACGGUGCUGCAGGUGAAGGGGAACCCGGAGCAGCUCCGGCCCCAGCAGGAGUCCCCCACGCGCUUCCUCUUCGGCGGCUUGUUCAAGUCCAAGUCUCUCUGCAACUUCGGGCUGCUCAGGCCCUACUCCUAGAUCUCUCUCUGCAACUCCGGCCGUGGAUGUACAUAUCUGUUCUCUGUUCCUUACUCUCUCCAGCGGCGGCGGGGGAGGAGGGGGUUUCUCUGAGUGCCCUGAGAAACCCAUCACAAGUACAGCAGUCGCUGGCCGCCGCGCUGCCAUUUGUUGUCCAAGGGGACCGGCCCGUGGACCAGACAUAGAAAGAACCCACCCUAAAGCUAUCUGUUCGAUGCACAGUGAACCAUGAUCGUGCUUGUUCUACACUCCUGUAAAUAUGAUGUACAUACAGAUGCUUUGAAAAUGGAAAUUCAGCUCAGCCCCUGUACAUAAAAAGACUUUCCGGGACACUGGACUCUUCUUCUUCCUCUUCUUCUUCUUCUUCGUCUGCUUCCGACAUCGAAAAUGAUCGAUUCACCCAGGUUCCUGUCAACGCGGACCCAGUAGAAAGUAGUUCUCGGUCAACACGCUAGUUUGAUCCUGAAGCGCCACCAUGGUGGAAGCGACCCAGGUGGAUCCAGGAGAGGCUUCGGUUUCUCCACGGAGGAGCGGUGGGCAUCGGCCCACUGACAACGACGACGACGACGACGACAACGACGACAACGACGACAACGACGACGACAACGACGACAACGGGAGCUUUAUCCUCUCCCUCUGCUCCGUCUUUCACUUUCCGCUCGACGUGGCCCCCGCGGGCCGCCGCCCGCCCACCUCCGUUUUGGCUCCUUCCGGCCGAAAGGUGUGGGCUGCGCCGCCGGAGAUCAUGUUUAUCCGGCGAGCAAGCGGUCACCGCCGCCGGUUUUUAACGGGAUCCCAAACCCCCCCCGCCGAACCUGUCGACGACGACCCGGAUUCCGGCGACAGCGGACGGCCUGGCCGUGUGGUUUUUCUGACCAGCCCAAGCCCAAAGAUUUUGGCGCUCUGUUCCAAAACUCAAGUUUCUGAUUGUUUGAUACGGAAAGAAGAACUGACACCGAUGAUUCUACACUGUAGUCGUUAGAAGCGACAGCGCUGAAGAUGCAAAUGAGGACGUCAUCUAUACAGGCUACUACGGAAGCUCGUCUGUUAUUCCGACCGGAGUUUCUGCUGUGCUGCUGCUUAUUCCGAAGACGGCGACUGGUCCGUCCAGCUGAGCAGGGGCGGUCACGGAGUUGCGGCCGCGCCGCCCUCUGAAGAAGCAGAAGACGGGGGAACGCCCGGGAAGAAGGGGUUCUGCGGGAAGGGAAACUGCGGCAGCUGGACGGAAGGCGGCGGCGACUGGAAUGGGUUGGAGGGGAGAACUGACGGCGGCGACUGGAAGGGGUUGGAGGGCAGAACCGACGGCGGCGACCGGAAGGGGUUGAUGGGGAGAACCGACGGCGGAGACUGGAAGGGGUUGGUGGGGAGAACCGACGGCGGUGACUGGUAAGGGGUGGUGGGGAGAAUCGGCGGCAGAGACUUGUAGGGGAUGGUGGGGAGAACCGGCGGCGCAGACUGGUAGGGGUUUGGCGGAGACGGGAAGAAGAAGACUGGGCGGUCCUGCUUCUGGUCCAUGAACGAGGCGGCGCUGCGGGUGGCCUGCGGUCGCGGCACGUUCGGCAGUCCCAGGUUUGCCAAGCUGGGCAGGGUCGGCAGCUGCGGAAGCGUCGGCAGCUGCGGGAUAGAGGGCAACUGCGGGAUAGACGGCAACUGCGGGAGAGACGGAAGAGAAGGAAGCUGUGGGAGGCCGGCGUAGGUCUUGGAGGCGCCGAGCCGGGGGGAGUCGGCGAGGCUAGGCUCCUGGUAGCAGAGCUUCGGCUGCUCAAGGGGCUUGAAGGUGAAGAACCCGGCGGAGAAGAUGUGGAGACCCGGCUUCGCCGACUUGAGCCGCAGGGAAGACGAAGAAGGGGUGGCGGAGGACGCCACCGCGCAGAAGGGCUCGCUGCUGCUGACCAGCUUCACCGAGCAGGACUGUAUGCUCCGCAAGUGCUUGCUUAUCCGCGGCGGCAGGCGGACGGCAAACACGCCGUCCUGGUCGGUCCUCGACUCCGCCCUGAAGAUGGGUUUCGCCGCCGCUGCAGCCGCCGCUUCUUCCUCGCCGCAUUCGACGGCGACGACGGCACCUGCAGGCAGAACAGAGCAGAGCAGAGCUCCUCCAUCUCAGGGGAGAUUCAAUGGCCGUUCCUUACCAGGAGAAGCAUGCAGAGCGAAACCCACCUGAGAUGAAGUGACUGGUCCUGGAGAACUCCUGCUGGAAGCAGGUAUCGCAGUAGACGGUUCCCACCACCACCGCAUUUGGAAGCCGUGGAUUGCCAUGGUCGGAGGAGCUCGAGCCAGGGCAGAAGAAGAGGCCGAUCGCGAGGAGCAGAAGAAGGCAGGGGAUUCUACGACCAGUCCCCAUCUUCCGAGCUUGUCUAGUGAGUUCGGGGCCCUCUGAUCCGGAUAUAUAGAACGGCAAAAGCACUCCGUGCCUUCCUCUUCCUCCCGUGCUUCCCGAGGCUCUCAUUGCAGGGAUCAUGGGGAAACCAGGGUAGCUGCAAGCAGACGGGUUCGAAGAGAGAGGCGAAAGAAAGGACGAAAAGGGCGGAUCAUCUGAAGAAUCCUCUUUACAGUGAGAUCACAUCAUGGAAAUUCUCAGGAUCGCAGCCUCUUUCAUUCCGCCGCCAUGGCCAUCCUGCCGUUUCUGAUAAGGGAAGCAAAUGAGCUCACGGGCUCCGCCGCGGGGAGGAGUCACGGGGGAAGCUUGACAGGAUCAGGAGCCACCGCCUCCGCAGGGAGAGCUGAAAAGGUGAACCAUGGAGGACAGAUGCCCUUCUGAAGGUUUCAGAUUUGCCAUCACGAGCUCGAGUACGAACAGCAAGAAAUUCUGCAGUCCCCCUCUGUUUUUUUCCCAUCGAUCAUCAGCAGCUCUUCGGCUGAGCUACAAAAAUUCUUCCCAUAUAAAUACAUCUCACAGAAGAAGAUUUCACCAUCUCAAAAGGGAAAAUUGAAUUCUGCCCGACGGGGCGACGACGUGCGACGAUCAACCCUGCUACUACCAAUCAGAGCGGCGACUGAGCAAGACAACUGCGGAUGUCGGGGUUGCUAUAGUCGACGUAGCGCUCCCAGAGAGGCCUGUACCUCGCGAUGGACAUCUUCAACCACGGCUUCAUCCUCCCGCUGAAGUGGACGACGGCCGCGCUCUCGAUCAAUCGAUCGUCGAUAUCCGGGUCGAACCCUAACCCUAGAACAUGCCAUCUCCGAUCCAGCGGCUCCGUCAGGCCGUGAAACGUCAGAAGACCCGGAGCCAGGGUUCCAGUCCUCCAGAGCACGCCAUUGGAGUUCCGCUCUUGCCAGCGAUGAUAAACCGCGGUCAGGUCGGCCUUCCUCCACGCCACCAGAUCAAAAACGUUCAUCCCAAAGGACCAUCCGCAACCCUGCGGGUCAAAUCUCGAGCUGAUCAGCGGGUCUGAGAAAUUGAGGUACCUGUGGUACCUGUGGAAGGCCUCCAGGCAAGUCUCGACAGCCCCAUUGACGUUCCCUCGAAGAUCCAGCGAGAACAAGGCGGACAGAUCCUUCUGAACCACGACAUCGUCGUCGAGGAAGACCACCUUCUCCAGCGACGGGAACAUCUGCGGGAUGUAGAAUCGCAGGUGGCUCAGCGGGGGAUCAAGCUUCGGGUUCCCAAGGUGGCCCCCCGCCAUGGAUUGUUCGGAUUGCAGAAGCUGCUUCACCGUCGGUGAGUAGGAGGCGUUCAACCAGGAGAACUCCUCCAUGCUUCGAACUUCCACUGUGCAGCCUCUGCAGCUGUUCACGAGGAACCAGGCCCCCAUGGCCCUGUAGUUGGCACUGUCCGUCACCACAUGGAACACGAGCUUCUGGGGGUGAUCCGCAUUGGAGACGGUGGAAUUCACCACCACUGAUGCGGCCAGCAGAUUAUCAGAGAACACACAAAAGUGGUGGAGGCUGUUGUCCGCGAGCCGAACUGGGUUCCUCCGGUCCUCCUCGAGCCUCCUGAGGGAGGAACUGCUGAGCCAGUCCACCGUGAGCUUCACGCUCAGGCAGUGUAUGUAUCUGGGCACGGCUUCGGAUGCCAGCUGACCGAAUUCUGCGCUCUGAACCGUUGCCGCGUUGACCCGGGCUUCCAGGGCCUGGAUGUGGUUCUUAAGCGUCACUAGGGUGGUCGCAAUGUCAAAGUGGGACUCUUGGGCCUUGAGGAUCAGCUUCGCCAGCUUGCCAAUGACGGGCUGGGCCUCUUCAAGGGUGAUCCGUUUUUCUCCGAUGGCGGCCUGAGAGAGAAGGCGCUGGCAGUUCCUGAUCUGUGAACUGAGACCCCCGGCGAGCUUCAGGUUUCCAUGCUCCUUGGCCACGACAAGGUAGGCUUUGGCGAGGGUCAUCUGUUCGACCAGCUGCCGGGCGAAAGACGUGGCACUCGACAGCUCCCCACUCAAGUCAAAGGCCUCACCCUGCGACCUUCUGCUCAAUCUUCUAGAGUCCUGAGAGAAAGAACAAACAAGUGGGGGAGAUCAUGAAUCUUCAUAUAUAUUAUAUAUUGCCUCCUGAUGAAUUCCAAGCGGGGCAUUUGGCAAAAUCAAGAAUUCAGCAGAUAUGAAGCUUUAGAAAGAUCCUUCUUUGAAAAAAAUUAAAAAAGGCAAGAAAAUAAUAUCACGGGUUGCAUAAGAUUGGAAGUAAUCUGCAGGCCUAAUCUCCGUAUUAUGAGCAAGGAAAAUUACCGAAUAUGGACACAGAAUAAUAAUUCUUAAAAACUUAAUGAGCUUUCUCUUCAGAGAUUUUCCGAUAAAAUUGCGGCAUUACAGCCAAGAUUAUUGCGGCCCAUCAGCAGAGAUGGCAGAAUUCAGCGAAGAAAGAAAAUAAACAAACAGCAGGAUGUCUCAGGCCAAAGCAAUGGUCCAUGAAGCCACCGGCAGAUGUCAGGGGAAUACAUUAUUAUUAUUUUUUUAAGUUAUCUGCAUGGGUGUGCGCUCUUUGCUGAGAGGCAUCGAUGCGAUCCGAUCAAACUGUUGUAUGGCCCCAGCUCCAAUAAGAUGAACAGGGAAGGGGGUCAUCUCUUCUGCCUCCUGAAAGUAAGAGAAAAACGGAUCCAAGCAUGCAGAGAGCAGAGGACGAUCAUGGCUUGACAAUGAUGAAAUAGGAGAUCGAAAAUUCAGCUACUCUCAGGUAAUCUCGCGCAGAGAUCAUGAUUUUCGGAGAAAGUAAUCCAUAGCUGAAAAGGAAAUGACACGGUAAAUAACAAUAAAAAUUGGGCAUCUUAGGAUAAAUAAACCAUGUGUAUGCGUAGAUCAUGAUUCUCAUAACUCUCAUCUCUCUCUCUCUCUCUCUAAGUGUUUUGAUGCAAUCAACCGUGUGGUAUAAAAAUGCAGCCAAAAGCAUAGUCAUACUUUGGGCAAUCAGGUCACUCGGGCAACUGCAUGUUGAGCCGGACAGAGCUCAUGCUUUUCAGCCCUGACAAAUUAGAGUUCCCUUAUCAAUGUAUAAAGAGUCUACUGGUAUGAUUUCUACCGUAAAUUCCUAAAUUAAUAUAUCAUUGGAUGGAUGCUGAUACGUUGAAGCCAAGCAAUGGAGGAUGAAGAACGUUCCUUGAAUAUUACCCAUCUUCACCGAGGCAAUGCAAUACAUCUCAUUUUUAGGGGAAUCAUAGGCAACCAGAUUAGGUCCAACUCUUUGUCCAACCAAGCAGGCACUCCUCCAGGCUCCCUCCCUACCGUGGAUCAGCCUACUUCUCUCCACUGAUGGGGAAAUCUACAGGGCCAGGCUCGAGCUCAAGAACAGGUACACGCUUCUUCUCCAGUUGGUCCAUGGCAGGUAUCGUAAAGAUGACUAAACCAUGCGAAUCUUUCUCAAUAUUCCGGGUAUCAGUCCAGAUGCAAGUAAUUUUGGAUCCUUAAUGAGAAGCCUUAUAGCAUCCAAGAAAAGCCCAUCUCACAGGACUGUUCAUCACAGGGCAACGAAGAAUCAACGAAGAAAUCUUCUUUGAAUUGUCAAGAUCAUGGCCCAGGAAAAAACCUCAGCCGCAAAGUUCUUCCCUUUUCUUCUUCUUCUUCUUCUAAAGAAGAUUCUACUUUAGAAAUGAAAAUAUAAAUGACACCAAGAGAAAGAUAACUGACAACUGCAUCAAGAACACUUGCUCUUAUAUGCUCUUCCAUCAUCAGUGGAAGAAUCCGGCAACCCACCAGAGAUUUAGGGUGAUGUUCAGCACCGGCAGAGCGACCAAAUAAAUCUGGUUAUCCGCAUUAACAUUGGUGCUAACCUCAAUACCGACAUCUACGUUAGAAGCCUUCCUCCUGUCGAAGACCGACGGGAAAGAUAGCCCAGGAUUGACAAGGUCCCCUCCCAAAUCAUCUACCAAUGAAAAAUGCAUCAACCAAUCCUUUCCAGCGGCCUCAGCCGAUUGAGAGAGGAACAGGGAGAAGUCAAAUAAGCAACGAGCCCACAAGACAAUGAGGAGAAGGAAAUGAAUUCCGUCAGUGACUGGGAGUGCCCUCUCCGCUUACCAGUAUUGGGGCCUCCCGGCGGGGCCGCAUCAUCAAGAUCAUCGUACCCAACGCUAAGAACACCAGCAGGAGGCACCAGAUCCAGCUCACGAACCGCCUUCUUGCGGGGCGCCGGAACUCGGGCGCCCUGCGACGCAUGUCUGGGAUGGAUAAAUCCAACGCCAAACUCACGGCCAAACCAGCGAUUCACACGAGGCAGGGCACCAAUCUUGCAAGGCUGGGAGCCCAAGGCAACAACGGACACAUCUCCCACACCACGGGCAGCAGCAUCCGCGGCGAGAUCAGCAACCGAGAAGAAAAUACGGCUAGGAACAUCCGAAAAUGGGUUUCUCCGCGUCCUCCUCAAGCGGCAAGUCUGCGAGGAACUCCUGCCGAGAUCCGGCGUUUCGAUGCCAUUCCAGCAAGACGGAGUCGCUUUUUAAAAUCAAAAGAAGAACUGACUACACGGCGAAGCACGCGGGUGAAACCGACUGGAGAGGAAGACGAGAGGGAUGGCCGCUCGGGUCUUCGCCGCAACGUGCACGGAGCAGGAAAACAAGCCCAAUACAGGGCUCCCUGCCGUGGGGGCGUACAGCGGCCGUUUUCUCCUUGGAGCCACCCAUAGAUAGUCACGAGAAGGAAAUCCCACACAGCUGCCGCUAUUUUUUGUUCUUAUUUUUCCUGCCAGCAUCAUCUCCAUCAAAAAUAAGGAAAAGCCCGCGGAGGGAUCCAAAUGCCGUCUCUGGGCCGCCGAAAAUCUUGAGAUGGGCUAGGUUUUGGAAACUUUUGAAGGGGCCCCACUUUUCACUGUUAAACGGUCAAGGGCCAAAUUGGGCACAUGCCCAAUAUUAUGGUCAACGGUUACACAAAUUAUUUUCAUUUAAUUUAAAUAACUAUUUUAAACUCAAUGAAUAUUGGCUAAUUACAGAGUACGCAAGUUAUUUACUCAACAAUAUUUUAUUGAAAAUCGUCACGAUAAUGUUACAUCUGAUCAAUUAAUUUAAUCACCGUUGACCAACAGAUGGGAUGCCUAGAUCCAUCCUCCCCCCCGAGUUCUGAUCGGCGUGUGUGGGCGAUCGGUCAGUCAUGGAAUCCCCCAGCUUAUCCGCUCUCUGCCCUUCUUCGCGGCGGCGCCGCCGGAGGACGACCCGGAACACCCGCAGCGGAAGAAGUGGAACAUGACCCCCGCCAGGGAGACUGUCACGAGGAAGAUCACCAGGCAGAAGAACCACGCCGCUGGUAGCCUGGUGGGUUGACUUUGGAUCCUCUUUUCGGUUAUCUCCUGCAAAAACGCAUGUUUUCCACCUGCAUGAGGGACGAAUAAAGUUCAUAAUACGGCUGACCUUCACGGGUUUUUGGGUUAGACGGUACCUAAGAUCAGUGCGGAAUGAGAGAGUCAAAAACGUUCAUGUUUCCGUAAAAGAAUUUAAAGAAAGAAUUACAUAAAGUAUAAAGAGUGGAAACUAUAUGCAAAAUGGAGGAUACUAAUGCACAACAUCCAUUCCGAUUAAAGAUGCACAUAAACACCAAACAAUUUAUAUGAUAACAAGCACUUUUUUCCUUCUCAUGGGUCCACAGCUUCCACCUCCCUAUGAUUAGUAAAAAGAUAAGACUCGCCUUUGGGUUAUUCUUCACCACCAUUCAAUCGAGGAUCAGCUUGAAAAACGGUUGAUCAAUCAGGAAUAGAAAAGGAAAGUUAUUCUCACCAAUGCCCAUAUUAAGUCCUGAUUAAUACUUCCUCACAGUUUAUUACAUCGAAAGAAUCACAAGUCAAACAGACGAGUCAGCAAUGUUCCGGCUCUCUCUCCAUGUCGUUGUUCUUGUUGUUCAAUAUAGGUAGGGUUACCACCUCGUUCUUUUCCUUAGCGUAAGCUGGGUUGAUGUGAACAAAGGAUUGAACCACGUCUUGAAAAGACUUUUCUUUUCAGAAUAGUGAUCAAGUGGUUGACAUGGUUGACUUUAGGCAGUCCUCACGUACACUGUAGAUUUUCACAAGGAAAUAUAUGCAAACGAAGUUAACUAUUAUUUUAUGAUGAAUAAAUACUUCCUGCUUUGCCGUUUGGUUUUGGCGCGGUGUCGGUUAAUCUACUCCUACCGUGUGUGCUCAAGAACCUACUAUUUUUACGUCGAUCAUUCGAUCCGGUAACGCUGCAGUAGAAGGCGUACGUGAAGGGCCAACCGAAAAUAGAAAGAAUGAGCAUACAACAGAGGAAACCAAGCUGCCGAAGCUCGGUCCUAUAUGCACUGACCAUGUUCGGGCAUUAGGGGGUUUGACUUUUGACUGUUUAUGGCUCUAUUUUGAGGUACAUGCUCGUCUUGGACUGAUUAUUAUUACGCUGUUUACUCUCUCUCUCUCUCUCUCUCUCGCUCGCUCGCUUGUUUGCUCUCUAAAGCCGGUGAGAUCCUUCCGAAUCGCACGGGGAGUUGUCUUGUCCCGCACCGGAACAGCGGUUGACUAACAGCUUCUGGUUGCGCAACAGCCGGGGGGGAAUAGGAUCCUUCCUGAAAUCUAGCCCCAUGCAGGGGACGCAGAUAGACGGAGGGCAAGGAUUUCCUCACAUGUUGCUGAGAGUUUCCUUAAUCGAAGCCCGCUGGGAUUCGCCUGAUGCAUCGGACGACAACCAGCUCCCGCAAAACCCCGGAAAUUUGAAAGUUGGCGGGCUCCCUUUGGGACUAUAUAUUUCUAGAGACCCCCUCCCCCUCUUCCCGUCGACUCCCCUCAGGGUUCUCCUGCUCUUCUCCCCCCUCCUCUUUUUCUUGACCCACCGCCGGUGCAAUUCCUGCCGCCUUGCGCGGCCGUCGCAGCCGACCCUUGAAGUUCUUCCCAGACGGGUUCGUAUCCGAUGGGUUCCUCCCAUCCUGGAGAAAGCUUGGCCACCAGGAGCGACACCAACGGGAGCGGGCCGCAGAGGGGUGGAGGCGGCUCCCCCAUGGGAUACGUCCUGACGUCGCCGGCAGCCAUCUUCUCCUGGAAGUGGAAGGGGAUCAGUUUUACACCCCCGCGGCUGGAGUUGCCGCCCCCCGGCCUUUCUUCGCCUCGCGUUGGAUACCCCAAACUCCCUGGCGGAUGCCCCGAGCUGGGACUCAUAGCUUCACCGGACCCUGCCGAGAGGGGCCGAACCAGUCCAGAUGGGAAGGCCGUCGUCUCCCCUGGCUUCAUCCAACAUUUCAAUACUCUCCGGAGGAUGGGUCAGGAGGGGAAGGAGGAAGAGGACCGUGAACAUCUCGCCCGACAGCACGCACCGUCCAGCUCCACCGGUUACUCGCUCGAGACGCUGCCGUUCCUUGUGGAGAUCGUCGAUCGGGUAGUCCUCUACGGCCAGCCUCUUGGCCAGAAUCUGCGCGAGGCAGCGUGUUUGGCGGCCAUGGAUAAGCACGCCAGUGAGCACUGGAAGAGACUCCUGGAGUACGGGGACAAGCAUCGUGUGAGCAACUCGGUGCAAGUAAUUCUGGGCUUCGUGUUCAGGCUCGCGGUUGACGAGGUGGGGCAGUACCUCGUACGCAAGAUUAUUUCAUUCUGUGACGAGGAAAUCCUACAUGUCGUCGUGAGAGAGGUGGUGGUCCACCAGAAGCAGCUGCUGGAGACGGCAAAGAACGCACUGGGGUGGGUCUACCUUGUUAUUCUUCUUCUUCUUCCUCCUCAGCCUACGUGGGGACUAAUUAGCCACUUUUUUCUGUCUGCAGGGUGAAAUGGGUUCGACAGCUCCUCCUGUUGGUAAGGCCGUGGCCGGCCCUGAUCAGCAGACUCACCUUCGCUCUCUUCGAACGCGCCGCCGAGCUCAUGAUCAACAAGCACGGUUCCGGGCUCAUCAAGGAGUGCUUGAGUCGCCUCAGCAGCGAGCAGAACAUGGUACGACGCUCUUAAACAAACCGACCCCUCCCCUUUUUUCUUCACUCGACGGCUGUCCAGAGGCGCUAAAACUCUCCAAAUGUGCCCCCAGUUUAUAUACGCUGCGGCCCUGGACAAUCUGAAGACCGUCGCCAAGAACAAUCGGGGGUGCGUCAGCCUCGUCAAGAUCAUCGACCAUGCACCGCCGGAAACCAAGCACCUGCUCCUGGCUGAGAUAAUAUCAUAUUCCCCGUGCCUCGCCCAGGAUCCCUUUGGGUACGAGCGGAGAUUUUGGCUUCUUGGGUUUUCCUGCGGUCAUCUUCUUCCCCGCUUUUUUGCUUUUUCGGUUUUCUUACACAUAAAGGUCCCCGGCGCCGGCGACAGGAACUACGUCGUCCAGCACAUCUUCAACCUGGGGGAGGAGGAGUACGAGGAGAGGCUCUGCUGGAAGCUGAGGAGCCACCUGGUCCAACUCUCCAUGCAGAGGAGUGGCAGCCACGUCGUGGAGAAGUGUAUGGCCUCUGCUGGCGGGCUGCUUUUCCUAAAGGACCUGGUCUCCCACAAGAAGCUCAUCCAGAUCGCCCAGGACACCUACGGGAACUUCGUCGUCAACGCGGCGCUGAGGAUCUCCAAGGUGCGACCCUUUCGCCCUAUUCCUCCUCCUCUUGGACUCACACCUGCCCAAGAACAAGGAUGGACUAUGACGCUUACUCAACGAGAAUAUGUUGCACCUUUGUGCGCAGAUGGUGGCGCCGCCGCUGCACCAGAGGCUGGUGGAGGCUCUCAGGGCUCGUUCGCGGAGCCUCAGGAACCACCCCAAUGGGAGGCACGUCUACAAGAACAUCGUGGAGGCGGCGGACCACCCCUCGUGAUCACAAGGAUUGAUGAUCUCUCGCUCUCGCCCGUAGUUUUUUUUCUCUCGUUGCUGAUCGAUCGCCUAUUUGUUCGUGUAACUGUUUGCUUGUGGUGUUCCCUAUGUUCCCAUCUAGACAUUACUCUAAAUGUUCGCCUGGUUAGAUGCAUAUAUGAAGCUACGAAUCAUCGUUGUCUGACUUAUCAUGGGUGCUAAUUUAAACGCCAACAUAUACGCCAGAAGCCUCCCGUCUGUCGAAGAUCAACGGGAGAGGUAGCCCAGGAUUUGCAUGGCCCCCUCCAAAAUCAUCUACUAAUGAAAAAUACAUCAACCAACCCUUUCCAGCGGCCUCAGCCGAUUGAGAGAGGAACAAGGAGAAGUCAGAUAAGCCAUGAGCCCACAAGACUAACGAGGAGAAUGAAAUGAAUUCCGUCAGUGACUGGGAGUGCCCUCUUCGCUUACCUGUUUUGGGGGACACCCGUGGGGCCGCAUCAUCAACAUCAUCGUACCCAACGCUGAAAACACCAGCAGGAGGCACCAGGUCCAACCCACGAACCGCCUUCUUGCGGGGCGCCGGAACUCGGGCGCCCUGGGUCGCAUGUCCGGGAUGGACAAAUCCAACACAAAAAACACGACCAAACCAGCAACUCAUCCGAGGCAGCGCACCAAUCUUGCGAGGCUGGGGGGCCAAAGCAGCAACGGGCAUAUCUCCCGCGCCACGGGCAGCAGCGUCCGCGGCGAGAUCAGCCGCCGAGCAGAAAAUACGGCUAGGAACAUCCGAAAAUGGGUUUCUCUGCGUCCUCCCCAAGCUCCUAAGUCUGCGAGGAACUCUUGCCACGAUCCGGCGUUUUGAUGCAAUUCCAGUAAGAUGGAGUCGCCUUUUAAAAGAAAAGGAAGAACGGACUACAGGGCGAAGCACGCGGGUGAAACCGACUGGAGAGGAAGACGAGAGAGAUAGCCGCUCGGGUCUUCGCCGCAACGAGUACGGGGCAGGAAGACAAGUCCAAUACAGAGCUCCCUGUCGUGGGAUUUUACAGCGCCAUGUUCUUCUUGGAGCCAUACACAGUUGCCGCUAUUUGUUGUUCUUAUUUUUCAUUCUAACAUCAUCUUCAUCAAAAGUUAGGAAGGCCCGCGGAGGGAUCCAAAUGCCAUCCCUUGGACACCGAAAAUCUCGGGAUGGGCUUAGUUUUGGUGGCUUUUAACUGGCCCUCUGUUCAUCAUUAGAUGAUCGCGGCACAAAUUAGGCCCAUGACAAAGAUUUUGGUCAACGAUUACACAAUUUUGUUUAUUUCAUUUAAAUAACUAUAUUUUAGCAAUUUUCCGAAAAAGGGCCGGAUACACUCUACAAACUAUAUGGAUUAAACCGACAAUGAAUCUUGGGAGAUUACAGAAUGCGUUACUUCCUCAACUAUUUAUUGAAAAUCGUCACGACAAUGUUACAUCUGACCAAUUAUUCUAAUCGUCUGUGACCAACGGAACGGAUGCCUAGGCUCCCCCUCCUUCCUGAGCUCUGAUCGGUCGGUCAUGGAAUCCCCCAGCCGCGCUGCUCUCUGCCCUUCUUCGCUGCGGCGCCGCCGCCGGAGGACGACCCGGAACACCCGCAGCGGAAGAAGUGGAACAUGACUCCGGCCAGGGAGACUAUCACGAGGAGGACGACCACCAGGCAGAAGAACCACAUAUCGUCCAGAGACGACCACGCCGCUGGUAGCCUGCUGAAGCCCCACCGCGGGAAGGACAGGCCCAGCUUCUCCAUCAGAAACUCGCCGGAGCUCUGCCGGAGAACUUCCCGCAGGGCCCCCAGAGUCUCCAUCUCGCCCAAGUUAAAGCUUCUCAUCACCUCUCUCUCUCUCNNNNNNNNNNNNNNNNNNNNNNNNNNNNNNNNNNNNNNNNNNNNNNNNNNNNNNNNNNNNNNNNNNNNNNNNNNNNNNNNNNNNNNNNNNNNNNNNNNNNNNNNNNNNNNNNNNNNNNNNNNNNNNNNNNNNNNNNNNNNNNNNNNNNNNNNNNNNNNNNNNNNNNNNNNNNNNNNNNNNNNNNNNNNNNNNNNNNNNNNNNNNNNNNNNNNNNNNNNNNNNNNNNNNNNNNNNNNNNNNNNNNNNNNNNNNNNNNNNNNNNNNNNNNNNNNNNNNNNNNNNNNNNNNNNNNNNNNNNNNNNNNNNNNNNNNNNNNNNNNNNNNNNNNNNNNNNNNNNNNNNNNNNNNNNNNNNNNNNNNNNNNNNNNNNNNNNNNNNNNNNNNNNNNNNNNNNNNNNNNNNNNNNNNNNNNNNCUCUCUCUCUCUCUCUCUCUCUCUCUCUCUCUCUCUCUCUAUGUAUGCAUGUGUAAAAGAAUAUAUAAAUAUCUAGAUCUAUAUGCCCACGGAUGGUUGUUCCCUGGUCCGAAGGAGGGCCAUUAUAUAUACCCGUUCGUAAAAGGAUGGGAACGUCGGGGGAUAAGCUGCGGUGUGUUUCCUCAAUAAAUAACUCAAAAAGGGAAACAAUGGGAUUCGAGUGGCUUCUAUUCUCGUAGAUAUGCGGAUUCCUCCUUGUGAAGCUUCCUGCCCUCGUCUAGAUGCCCCGAAAUCAUCGCUCAAGCACUACGUGGACAUGUUCUCGUCAUGGGAAGAUGCGGUCCACGUGGUUGCACCGUGUUUUAAAUAUCUGAUUGAUUGAUUGAUUAAUUGGAGCCCCGAGGGCAUGAGAAGUUCUCAUGCUGGUAGCAUGUCAUCGUGAAUUAAGACGGAGAGUGCUCUUCUCUAAGUUUGAAUUCUUCAUGGGUUGACCGCUCUGUUCAGCCAUUGUGGACGUCGAUUCCUAUGGUCUAAUGUCUUAGCCAUGACGGUUGGACCUCACAAUCAGUAGGCGUGAUGAUAAUACCGAAGAAACUUUGAACAAGUCAAUGUUUUUUAAUUCGCAUAUUUUCCGAGAUGUUUCUCAUCGUUGGGCUCUUGGGUCCCUUUGGAUAUUCCAGAACUAAGAAUAUUGACUCUACCGUGUUAAUGCGACCUCCUUACUACGAAGCAGCAAACACAUAUUUUGAAGCAAGUACAAUGGAUAGUUGCAUCAAGUAGACAAAUUAUUAGAGAAACGUGUCGAAUUUCUUCGUUGGUUAUGCAAGUUGCUAGAAUUCAUCAAUAUACAACCUAGCCUCCGUAAAAAGAAAAAUUAGCUUUUUAUGAUUACAUUGCCUUGGAUGAUCCACAUCUCCGGGUCAGGCGCUGAUGAGCACAUUGAACUAUCCAUGUGGCUGAGAGCCCUCACAGCCCAGGCACAACGACGCAAUCGAUUGUGUGAUCCAGGGGCACUGCUCACGAUGUACGAACUGGUUGAAUCUCUCUCUCUCUCUCCCUCUCUCUCGCUUCCGCUGGAAGCGCGGCAAAAUCUUCAAUCUAAUGACGUUCUCUCGUUGAAGUUCACAGAAAAGAAUACGGAGUUAACGGAUUAUCAUUUUUUUUUGCUUUUUGAUUUCUGCCCGGUUCGAUAAUUUGAGGCUCGAUACGGAGGAAACGUGAAUACAGACCCUCAGAAAUGACCGUGAGUUUACGCUGUGUGGAUGCGACUUCCGAUUUACGGAACACCGAUAACUAGCAUAGCUUAAUACGUGGUGACCGUUGACAUAUGGUAACCGGGGGGAGGCGGCUGCGGCCAACGAGGAGCGUUCUCAGACGUCUGCUGGUAUCCUCUUGAUCUUCGAGGUGGAGCACCCGCAGCGAUACACGAAGUACAUGAGGCCCACCACGAAGAGAGCCACCGCGAGGACGAUGGAGACGGCGGCGAUCCACGGACCACGAAGCGGAAGUGGCGGCGCCGCUGGCCCGUCCUCCUCGAGCUUCUGCAGAAGAAAGUCGCCGGAGCGCGCAAGGCUCCGAAGCAGCGCCUUCUCGUCCAUCUCCCGCUUCUCGAGCGAGGGUGGAGGCAUCAUCUUCAGCAGUUCCUCGAAAUGCCACCCCAUUUCUCUCUCUCUCUCUCUCUCUCUGCACACCCAAGUUCUGAGCUUCUCCACCGAUCACUAAGACGCGCUGUCCAGAAUAAAUAAUGAAAAUUUCACCGAAUCGGUUCACUUAACUAACGCCCAGGGGAAACGAAGUUUCCAAUCAUUGGAAACGAUGGAAGCUCCAAGAGUCCUCUCUUGAGCUUUUGCUCAUUUUUCUCGAUCUUUUAUUGCACGCGCGCAUCGUAUGUCGUCGUCCGCCCCCCUAGCGCCACAGAAAAUCGAAUUAUCUGAUUCACAAAAAAAACUUAUUCUUGAUGUGACUACUCGGGCAAAGUAUGGUAAAAUCUCGGUUUAGGAUUUUAGGCAUUUAUAAAUGACCUCAGGCUUUUCUUCUCCGAUAAAGGACAAUGGCAUUCCCUCUCCUCUCUUGCAAGAUGAAAAACGACCACGAUCGCGACACGGAUCGAUCGACAGCACCAUGAUGACGAUUUAAUAGUUGCAGGAAUGGACAGAUACAGGUAAACUCUUGGGUCUCUGCUUCAUUUCAACAUGGAAAGCAGCGCGUGAACUUACAGGCGGCGAAUCAAAACCCUAGUAUCAGGAAGAAAGCUCUCAGCAAGUGCUUUUCAGCAUCCAAAAAUAUUUUGAGCUGAUGCAGAAGCCUCUUGCCCUACACUCGAAGAGCUUCUUCUACCGUUUAUUACAUAGAGAAUCUUUUACAAAAAUUCUUUAUUUCCAGACACCCACUUCAUCGAAGCUUCUCACGUCUACCUACUCAUAACUCCAGCCUUCCUCCCAGCGGCAUUCAUCAGCAUGGCGGGAUGGCCACCAUCUCCGAAGCAGCCCGCCUGGUAGCAGUAGUAGUAAUAGAGGCCACCCAGGGAGAGGAUGAUGAGGAGGAGCAGGCUGAUUGCAGCCACAAUCAGCUCGUGCUCGUACAGCGUCGGCGGCCCACUUCGCGGCGGCAUCAGCAUCUUGGUCGCUCCCCAGCCGCCCUUCAUUCCCCGCUCGCCGCCCCGGAAGAAGACGUAGUAGAUGACAGCUACCAGGGUGAUGACCACGAGGAGGACGGAGAGGAGACGGAAGAUCCAGUCGGAGUCUUGCGGCGGCCCGUUCGCUCGGUUCUCAGGCGGUAGCAUCUGCUCAAGCUUCUGCAAGAGGCUGCCAAGGGUGACUAGGAAUCCCCUCAAACCCUCCACGACGAAGUUUUCCCCACCGCCUCGUCCUCUGACGUCGUCCAUGGAUGACAUGAUCAUCAUCUUCUUCCCAUGCAUCUGCAGAAGGCUCUCCAUUUCCCUCUCUCAGUCAGUAGCUGUCAAUCCUUGUCUUCUCGCCGGCUCCAAGCUCCCACUCUUCUGCCCGGCUUCUCCCCUCUGCUCGAUCACCAACCUUCUUUGGAGUAUAAAUAAUUGAGUGUGGUGGCCUUCGUCGGGACUGACCCAGCCCUCACCAGAAGACGAUUCAUCGAUAUCGGUCUGCCAUGGAUCGUCGCGUCUUGUGCCGGCGGAGCUUGCAUUAUUUGUACCAAUAUAUUCCCCAUUCGACCAAGAAGCUUACUGGAAAGUUCCCACUGGUAAAUGAUGUCAAUUCAGAGAGAAUCAGAUCUUGGCAUCCCAGUGCGUUGGCCUGUUCUUGGCGAUCAAUCUCUCCGUCUUUGGCGCAGCCUUAUCAUUAAUUUACCGCAAAUCUCUUCUGCUCCACAUGAGGAGCAGACUCUCGCCCUCAGGGACUCCCGUUCUUCCAAAUUUAUUUUGUAAUGCGAAUAGAGAGCACGUGAGAUUUAUGGAGGGUGCCUUGAACGAUAUAAGAAGUACAUUCCUUCAUGAUUCGUCUCUGGGUGUCGGAGAAGAGAGAGAAAGUGAUAAUUUAUUGAAAAAUAAUUUAUAGGCGAAAAUAGAAAGAGCCCGGUUCUCCGUUCUUCAGGAGACCCAUGGUUUAUUUUUUUCCCGUUGGAUAGGUCCGGAUGAGAAGCUUAUAAACGAAUUAAUCAUUAUACACGCCACAAGAAUGUGAUGAAAACGUUCCAAAAGGUCAUCACUCUGUUCGUAGCUAUUCUUCCACAACAUCAUCACUCUAUUCGCAGUUUUUCACCCAUAAGUUUGUCACUCUACUCGUUUGAGCCUCUUACCGUCGUGCUCUUAGUCAUAAGUCUACUAGACUCGUCGAAUUCAGACCAGAUUGGGAACAACUCUUUUUCCUACUAAUUAUUUAUUGAAAUAAAUUCUUUUUAUGUAUAUUGGAAAACAUUGCCUCAUAGUUUCAGAGAUCAGAAUAAAAACAUUACUACGAGGAAAGGAAGAGAAUACCGACUUUCACAGCAGUUUGAAGGGGAAAUUUAACUCUAGGCCGUGGAGUUCCGCUUCAAGAUGUUGCAUGGGAUAAGAUCCUUCUGGGAGGAGUGACAGCUACCAGGCUAGUAGUAACCGCAAUUCCUUUUUCAUGCUAUUCCACAACUCUUCGAAAUUAUUUCAAGUAAAAAGUAUUAUUCAAAUAAAAAUAGGCAUGGAGCUCAACUCGAUAUCUUUCCCGUUGAAACCUGGCGAUCCCGAGUACAAGGAAACGUGUACAUCCCGAGUACAAGGAAACGUGUACUGUGGCUCUUAUUAUUCAAACUCUGGUGAGAUGGGUUUCGCCGGGCGAUUGCUGGGGUUCUUGAUAUGAGAUCUAUAAGAUCUGUUGGUGCCACAACGCAAGAGCUACGUGUAACUAGCUCAGUUUUAGCUUAAGGUAACAACAAUGGCCACUCCAAUGUGAACUUGAUUACCAAAUCCAUUGACGUGCAACUUGAUGAACGGUUUUCCUUGUAAGCAAUUUUGUUCCUGUUUGGUGGGACCCAACGCUUCGAGCUACAUCUUGAAUUAUCUAAAACGAUUUUGCAUCACUGUUGUUUAUAGGAAUAGGAAACCCAUAUGGAUAUUGUUCCGCACCCACGUAAAUUUCCAAGUAUUUCCUCAUAAAUGAUUUUAUGAGCGGUCAAAAGGCUCAUACACGUUGUACCACUUCUUGAUUUCUUGCCCGCAUACUUUUAUUGGUUCCAUCCUCUGGCAGUUAGCUUCUUGCACAUUGUACUGUGGUCAAACAUUCCCUUAUCUGGAUAGGGUGGGUCCAUUUCAUGUAGCAUGAACAAACCAUUUUCAUAGCUCAAUUAUGAUUUUCACGAGAUUGGAAGGAAGUGUUAUGCUCAAUCAAAUGCAACACUUGCUCAUGCACGCCAUCGUUAUCCUCCAAGGUAAUGUCGCUCCCUAGUUAUCACUACACGCCUCAGGUAUUGACUAUCCUGGGGUGUUGAUCGACAAGACGGCCCAUGCGCCGAACCCACUCUCCUGGUCUCGGAGUGAGGAAGGAGAUUCCGCGAAGAUGACGGUGCUGCCGCCAAGAUGAUAAGGGUACAAACUUUAUCUACAUCGGGAGAUUAAUAGCUAACUGUAAGGAUAAAAAUAUAGGCAAAGAUGGUAUUCGCCAUUAAACCCAACGUCCCUAUCUGCUCUCUGAUACAUGAAUUCAAGAGUUUAUUGCUGCUUAAGACAGACAUGAACCGGUGCAAGUUCUUUCUCGUCGUGAGGAAGGAUCUUCAAACUGGGAACGCAACGGGAAAAACUGCCAUGGCGGCGGCGGCGUUUUAUUAUUCUCUUCAACUCAGACAUUUCCAUUAUUCUUCAAGAGUUACGUAGGCUUCGUGGGUUACUACCUGUUGGGACGAAAAACCUGCAAAAACUCUAGCGGCAUCUCCCGUUUUGUGGGGCGGCCGGACGUGGACUCCCUGCUCGGGCUUCUACUGGCUCAUCAUCAUCUUGGCCUUCCUCCCUGCGGCUCCCGCUGCGAUCUUGGUCAAUGCAGCUCCGUAGCAGCCACCACGGAAACAGAACAAGUAAUAGAGGCCGGCCAGGGAGAGAACAACGAGGAGGACCAUGGAGAGGCUCGCCACGAGGCACUCGUGCCCGUACAAGGAUGCCUCCUGCUGCCCGCACCCUCCGUGCUCUCUGCAGUUGCCCCUGCGCGAGAAGAUGAAGGCUAUGACGCAUAGGAGGGCGAAGAGGGCGACGAGGAUCGCGCCGAGAGGAAUGAUCCAGUCGGUAUCCUGCGGGGCCAUCGCCGGCUGGGUCUUCAUCAUCAGCAUCAUCGUCGUCAUCUUCAUCCUCCGCCGGAGAGCCCUUCUUUCUCUUCUUUCUCUACGGGGUAUACGGACUCUUCUCUACGGGUGCAAGUUUGGGUUCAGUAUAUAUAUACACACCGAGAGCAGGUACACCUGCAGUGAUCUUUCCGCGUCGUCAACAGAUGAUAAAUGCUACGUCCAAUCUGGUGUUCGGAGUGGUAGGAGCCCUUCGUCCCCCGAAUGAUUUUGAUUCGAUUCCCGGUUAGCCGUCGUCUCUGACACGUCCGAGGAGGCUCGUUGGCUAGCACACAUCUCUCUCUCUCUCUCUCUCUCUCUCUCUCUCUCUCUCUCUCUGUUCUUCUCUGCUAUCGUUCUUACGACGGCACAAGAACCCACGUUGCAAUUCUGAGAAUCGUGAGAGAAAACAAAGAAAAAUUCAAGUUCAAAUUAUAAUGAUUCAUCACUCCCAGCUGUCACAUAAUGAAAUGUAUUUUCAUGAUUAUUAUGCGCUCGCUAGAGACGAGAUUGGAAAUAAUUCGGCAUCUAAAUCAUACGGAAUAAUCUAAAAGAAAUGUGUUCUCAUGUAGGUCAUUUUUGCUCUAUUCAGACUGAUACAUUAUUAUCACUACUCUUCACCGUAUAUUACCCCACCCAUUAGCAGAAGUCAACCAAAUUCAGAAGAAAAAAAAUCGAAAGUACCCAGUCGUCUAGCAAAAGGUCAAUGUCCGGGGAGAUCAAUAAUGUGGAUAACGGAUAGGACAGUUGAAAAUUUGCAAGGGGCAACAAAAACCCAAGAACAAGCUACACCGAUGAACAGCUGACACUCACGAGAUCUCAAGUUCAAAACGUAAUAAAAUUAGUAAGGGUUCCGCCAAGUUUGGGGAAAGACAGUGUUAGAGGCCAAAAAGAGAAAGAACAGAGAUCCGAGAGGUGAGUAAUAAAUAGAUAAGGGCUUCAUAGAAGUUAAGAGAUCUUGCUUCUUAUGGGUAGUGAAUAUGGUGUACAAUGAACACCAUAGUACCAAAAACCAUAUUUGACACAAUAUAAGUACAUCCGCUAGCUUUGAAACAUCCACAAGUAGUGAAGAUUUAGAGAGAGAGAGAGAGAGAGAGAGAGAUAGAGAGAGAGGAGUCUCAACCACAACCUUCGGAAAGGGUCCCAAUGCCGGAAUGUAUAAAUAAGGUUAAGGUUCCGAGCAACAUCAAUGGAGGAAAACUUGUGACAAGGAGGCAAUCGGCAUCCGGAAACAAAGGGACCAUCCUUUCUGCGGCGCGAUGGGUGGCUCCGGUCUCCUCCAGCAAUGGCCCCGUGAAAUGAAAGAAUCGCCUGUGAAUCGCUGCGUGUGGAGCAGAGAAGCCACAAGUCAGGGCUUUCUCUGGGUCUGGCUGAUCUGAAAUGGAUCACAGCCUACCCCCCCCCCCCCCCCCCCUUCCGGAAGAAAAAAUUACACCUGUUAAAAGACGGUCAACGAGUUAAAAACUAUGUAAACCUGCCGCGCAGGACAGAGUUAGUAUACUAAGUCAAACCCACCGACAACUUGCCACCUGAGGGAUGGAGCAGCUCAUCUCCUUCCUUUCUUUCCUUUCCCAAGCUGCCCCGAUUUGUAAGCGUGCUCCUGUUCUUGGAGAAAAGCUCUGGCCUUUCCAUACAUCUCCGCCUUCUCUUCCUCCGCCAGCACUCGCUCCUUCUUCUUUACCUCAUGCAGGAAAUAGUUGUCCUUCCGGAGCUCCCGAAUCGCCCCCUUUGCUUCCUUCUUCAAAAGCUUCUUCAACUUCUUCCGUUCUACCCGCUCGCGAUCCGGGUCGUAGUCCCUUCCCUUGGCAAAGCUGGAAAAAAGACCGACGACCGUCAGAGCAUGACACCUAAUCCAAGACUUAGCUUGCUUAUUACGUGGGCACAUCCCUGGCGAAACGAUCUGGCAGUGGAGCUUGAAAGAUUCCAAGAGAAGAAGACGAGGAAUAAAUUUUAAGCAAGAAAUAAAAUAUCGCCAAAUAAAACAUAUCGCAGCUGGAUAUGUAGAAUGCAUACUCUUCUUCAAAUUUCGGAUUUAAUAGUUUGAUUGGUGCAGGCUUUUGCUUCCUCAUUUGAAGGGGUAGCCUCGAUGUCUCAUGCUUGUCAGCUUUCUUCUUGAUCAGAUCAGUGAGGGCCUCCAUAUUUCCUCGUAGAAUGUCUGGAAUGUUGGCCUGUUCAAUUACUUCAUCCAACAAUGAGGACAUCGGCAUGAAAAUCUCAGGGAAGGAGGCCAAAUUUUCAUAGACGUUCACAAAUCCCCGCAAAGUCUCGACAACCGAUAGGAGAAUACUCGCCCUGCAGUAGUGCAUGAAGCUGAUUAGAACGUGACUCACUAUAGCUCCCUUGAGCACAUUGCUUGCCGACUGAACCAGAUCUGAUUUCCUUUACCUGAAAUUAUCUGAUAAAAAGAACGGAGAGUCCGCUGGCGUGCUCAUGAUCGAGAAGAAAUUGACAGGAUCAACAGAAGAUACACGGUGACGUAAAUAUAGCCAAGGUUUCAAUGUUUUGAAAUCUGCAAAAUAAAGCUGUUCAAAAGAAAGUUUUCAUUAUCAUAAUAAAAAAACGUAGAAGGGCAUCUAACAAGUUGCAAAAUGAAACACUUUAAUCUUUGACCAAGCGUCAGACGCAAAUGCUUUACCUCAGAAAGCUUUUGUGAUCCCGGUUUUUCCGUAGCAGAAGUCAACAGCAGUUGCAGAAACAUUAAAACCUCUGGGUAAAUCUUCUGAGACUGUUCAGCAACCUGGAUGGACCAUGAUUAAUAUGAGAGAGAAGCAAAGGUCCUCGAUAAUAAGAUAAAAAAGAAUUCGACAACCUAUGCAUGUAGCAUAAGGCUGAAGUUAAUGCUCUAAAAUUUAACCGAAACGUCAGCUAAUGUCAGCCGAGAACAAAUAAGAGGCGUAGAUUUAAUAAUCUCCAAACUGGUUCAUGAAGGCGUUUAUUUGGAAUAUGAAGGCCAAAACAACUAUGUUAAAUGCCACCAGAAGGUUCUAUAAGAUAAUUGAUAACAAGAAAUAAUGAAACGAGGCGCAUACAGAUAGAAGCAUCGAGCACAGGAAGGAUCCGACAGCAGUGUCUCGGCCUGUCACUAUAGGACAGCGCAUCAGGUACUCGCACAUCAACAAGGUAGCAGGUGUCAUGACAAUGUGACGAAAAUCAGAGCAGGGGAAAGUCAGGGACCAUAGCCGCAAUAAAAGUAAAGUCUUCAAAGAGGGCCAGGCGCUCUCUUCUGCAGACGUCAGUAAAGUAAGCAAGUUAGAAAACAAAGCAGGAAAAAACGACUGAGAAACAAACAUCGUCUUGGUACCCUAUCACAUACCUGGAUUUUUAACAUUCUCACAAAACUGAUUUCGUAUACGCAGAAGUCGUUCUCUAGCACAGAUGGCCGCGAAGUAUGGGGUUUCGGCCCCCAUUUCCACCAAGGGUUUAACCAACAGAUUGAGUAACUUAAAGUUAACGGGAUUUCUGGUUGCUAAAACAGCAAAAUAUUGCAGAAGAACGCCAUAAAAGACCUACAGCAUUGAGAAACCAUCAAUUUUAAAAUCAUUGCAAUCACGUGAAUCAAAAAUAGUGUUUUAGGGGAAAAAGUUUCCCCUAAAUUACCAUAGUAACCAUAAAUGUCAAGCUGAAAUACCUGCAUUUUCCGUCUGUUUUCAGUGGAAAGCCUUAUGGCAUUGCAUACGCGGAUACGGUUGAUUGCCUCAACUAUAUCUGCCUCUGGACGAUUGUCAAUCAAUGAGCAGAGCUCUCUGAUGUUUUUUGGUGCUUCGAUAAUGAAGGGAAGGGAAUCCUUCUCAAUUAAAGAUGACUUUUCAUCAGUAUCCCUUUUACCAGGAGAAAUAUACUUGGAUCCUUGAGAUUUCACGCCAUCUGAAUCAAGAGACUUUAAGUUUUCUAAUUCUGAAUUUUUCAUUUCUUCGUCAUCUGUACUAAGAUUGUCAUCCUCACUUUGCUCCCAAUCUUUAACACGUGGCAUGUCACUAUUUCCUUCAUUCCCGUCACUGUCUUCACCAUCUUCUUCUUCUUCUUCCUCAUCACUACUAUCCUCAUGAUCACUGCUGCCAUCGUCGUUGUUAUCAUCAUUGCCUUUGGUUUCGUCGCUUUCAUCAUCUUCGGAAUCGUCAGAAUUUUUGAUCUUCGGAUCGCUCAUUUUGGCACCAAAUUUACUUCUAAUAAUGUCAUCAAUGUGGCAUGUUUUCUUAGCCAAAUCGUCGGCAGAUAACAAGGAAUCUCCUAGGUCGUCACCAGAUACAUGUUUUAAUUUCUUUGGCGGUGAUUUACGAACACUGUCAUCAUCUUCAGCUCCGUCAUCAUCUGAAUCUUCCAAACCACCCAUUCUUCUUUGACGUUCUUCCUAGAUGAUAUCAUAGAAAUGAGACAUGAAGUUCAAAGAUAUUUAGCGAUCAAUAAAUUAUCUGUAAAAAGGUCAAUAAGGGAUGACUUAUAUAAGACCUCCAGUAAUUCCAGCCUCUCUCUUUCUUCUUGCGCAAUUUCCUCCGCAGUCUUUUUCCGAUCAGAUGGACGAGCACGCCUCUCCAUUGGCAACUCUUUAACAAGCUUGUCAUAAGCAUCAGGUUGCUCCUAGGAUACGAACACAUAGAAUAAGGGCAAGUAUGUCCAUUGUAACCAAAACCAGGUUACCAGCUAUUACACAAAUAAAAGAAGAAGGCAAUGCCAAGUCAGCAUUAUUCUUGAAAUAUACAAACAUUUAGUGAAAAGAAUCAGACAUCAAGAAUUCGAUAAAUAAAGGCAUCUUUAUUUUGUAAAUGCUUUUUCUUUUCGCUGUAGAAAAAAAAAUUGGGUCCAUGAUCAACGCUUCAGUGUUAACAAAUACCUGCAAAGAAGAAUUACAUAAAUAUAAAAUGAGAAUUGAGAAUAGAACAAUAAAAUACUUUCUAUUUUCCAGAUAUUUAUUAGAGGUCAAUAACAUCUUUUUCAUAUCAACAAUGCAAUGAACAUGAUGCUCAACAAAAAAUAGUAAAUAUAAAGGAAUAUUACAGAAAACAAGUGAUUUAAUUGGAUUCUACAGUACCUUCGUUAAAGCUUUUUCUUUUGACUCAGAAUUGCUAUGACCUUUUGUUGGAAGCUCCUUUAAAGCAUUCGCCUCUUUGGGUUGACUUAAAGACAAAAAAGCCUUGGAUUGGAGUAAUGAUGCAAAAUCUUUGUCCAGCUGUUCUGUCAGAUGUUCGUCCACUUCCUUCUCCAUUGCUUUCUGAGUCUGAAAUAAUCACAAAGGCAAAUGCAAAUUCAGUUACCCAUGAAAUCUGCGGCAUUUAAUUUGGUUUUUGUGCCUAGUCAGCGAAAUUCAGCUGUUAUAAUUAAUGAUUAUCAUACUUUUUGUAGACUGAGGAAAAAGAAAAAAGAAGCAUUUAUUUAUAUUUGUGAAUAUAACAUAUAAAUACACAUCCAAAGACGUAUGCGCAGGAGAGAGAGAGAGAGAGAGUAUUUCCUGAAAGUAGAAUAGCUUCAUUUUAAAUGAUUUCUUCAACUUGCAUCCAUGCAACAGAUAAUGUAAAUAACAAUACAUGUGUGUGUCUGAAAAAUUUGUACAUCUUUCAUAAUGGUUUACAUGUAGAUACGCAUGAAAGGCUUUUACCUUAAUCAUUCAUAAGGCACAUGUACUUUGGUAGGAUGAAAUAAAGACCAAGGUUCCAGAAUCAUGCAGUUAGUACUUCUCUGGCUCCCAUCUUAAUCAAUCUGUAUUUAUAUGUAUUAUAUAUACCACCUUUCUACCAUAUGUACAUCUUCAUUGCUAUGUAUGAUCAUGUGUAGAUCCGAAAGGCGACCAGAUAAAAACAAUACGGAAACAAAUGAAAAACAUUUUGAGGAGAACCUUAUUCAACGCAAUUAAAAUGCUGAAAUCAACCACUUUAUUCAACAUCCCAUACUCACAAGAGACGAGAAUUUACUCAUCAUGCAGGAAGUGUGUCAAGUUGAAAUUGUCAGAGAGGUAAUGUUUGAAUUUUUCAGAGAAGUAAAUGGAUAUUCAUCAGGAAAAUAUAAUCACCUUGAAAAACUUGCUCUUUGCAAUUAUCUCCUCCAUAACUUCUUUUUUGGUCUUGUGUCUCUGUGCAUAGAUAAUUAAGAGUCAACGAUUUUGACCAGCAUAUCAUGAAAGCUAUUCCAGAGAAAGCAUAUCCGUGGAACAGAUAUCUAACUCAAAAAAAUUAGCCAUAGAAAAACAGUAUAUUUAGCAACAUGAAUUUUUUAAGAAAUGAAAAACUUUGGUGUUGUUGAAAACUAACAAUAUACAUAUAUCACUGGAAAUUGCAAAGUUGCAUGAUGCAUAUAGUACACAGGAGGUUGGUCGUGUUCACUAAUGGAAUUGAACAUUAACCAGUAGCAAAAGACCCAUCGCAUGCUUUCUUCAUCCAAUAUUUAAUCUUUCCUUCGUACUAUGAAUGCAACAGGAAGAAAACUCCUUUGCAGUAAAAACAGCCGGCUAUCAUCGUAUACACCAAGUUAUAUUUGGGCCCUGUAAAACAGCUCUUCUUUUCAAACCUGCUACCGUUGCGGAACUGUUACCCCCUUGUCAUCAAUUUAUUUGGGCAACAUGAGUUCCCAGGUAGCCACCCACUAAAAUGGUCAACCAAUUUAAGUUGAAUAGAUGUUUGCAAAGAAAAAUUAUUGAAAAUGUAUCGCAAAAAAAUUAUAUAGGGAACCCAAUCCAACAUUAAAAAAGCACACCGCCAAAAAUGAAAGACCGUACUCCAGAAAAUAUUACCAUUUUCGUGCUUUCAUCAUAAGCAGCACACCAGAAAUCCUUUUGUUGCAUAAAACACCAAUUAAUUGGAUUUGUCUUUUAGAAUUCGUAACAGGUUGACCAGCCAAAAAUUAGAUUAGUUUCGCUAAUGCCCAUCCAGCUACUAGCGAAUUGAGAGAUCCGUUUAAUACAACAUUGCACCUGUGACUCUCAAUCUGUCUUAACUUCAUUGAAUCCGCACCUUGUUGAGAAUUAGGUAAGACCUUAACUAAUAUGAGUCAAGAGCAAUGAGAAUGAAUCAGAAGAGAAAAGAGACCGUAUACAAAUUUUUUUAGUAGUCCCAUGACUCCAAUAUCAACGUGAUAGCUAUGUACACUUACUGCUGUGGGACUCCAGUAUCAACUCAAGAGUAUUAUAAGGUUCCACGUCACAAAUGGCCACCCUAAAAUAGCUUUACACGACGUGGGAAGUAGGACAGACACUAAUGUGGCAGAAUUUUGGCAGUAUCCAUAGUAAGUAUACAAGAGAGACAAUGUCCAAGGCGCACGCUGACACGUGUGAAAGUGGGGCAUCAUGACAAUAGCUUGUUUGCUGAAGACAAGUUAUAUUUGCAUGAGAUUUUCAAUGAUGAUCAUACUCAUAGGAUGUGGACCCCAAACACGUGAAAUUCCUGUUCCAAUUCUUUAUACACCUUCCCUGACGGUCUUCACAAUGUAAUUGGCAGACUAAUUUCUUUUAGAGAAACAACUAUAUCUUCAUGAGUUCCUCUUCCUACGACUUUCAUCUCCUCACGUUUCCACCUCUUUUUCAGCUAUUCCUUCCCUAGAGAUCUGACCCAGUUGACAAUGGUUGGUCCUAGUGAGAUAAAGAGAUUCUUAUUUUGUGCAUUUAAGAGGAGAUCAAGCAUCUCCUUGGAACCAUGCAUGGCGUGACAACAGAGGAAGAAAGAAGAGGAGGAAAAUAACUCGUCUAUCCCGCUGACAAUUUAAUAUCAUCCUCCCUUCCCAGCAUACGCCUGCAUGAUCUCCUCCCAGAUAAUGGGGAGGAUGAUACAACGGAACUUAGGGGGAGGCCGUGGGGUCAACUAACGUAAGAUGGUUGUUAAAAAAUACGAUUCGAAACUUGGUAGAUCGUAUCAUCAAAAAUAUCCGUAAAUAUUUUCAAUUCACCCGAGGACAAACUUUGUAGAUCGUGGAAUACUCGGAACUCUGUAGAAAGCAUAAUAUGGUCAAUACAGGAAAAAUCCGAUUCAGAAUACCAAAAAUUCUAGCAACUAACCAAACCUUGACAGUUCUACCAGUUAUAGUGAAGUUAUGCGUGAAUGAUGUAAACUGGAAUCUUCUUGUUUUCUCACAUAUCAUAUUGCUCAGAAGAAGGUGUGUAGCUGAAGUGACAGCAGUUCUUUAAUGAUUUAUAGGACAAACUAAAUUAUUACUGUCUUUACACUGAAUCCCCAAGGAUAAUAGAUAAUUAUCAGGAAAACACAGACAAAAGCAUGAGCAGGCUGAAAAUCAUCAUCAUACUAUUAAUCGAAAAUUUUAAGAAAGACACCAAGAUACUUGUGAGCUAGGCUCGCACCUGCGCAAAAACUGAAAUUUGUCCAGAAUAUACAGGAGAUAUGAUAAUGCACUCUGAAGAGAAACAACGAAAAUAUCUUUCAAUACGUCAACAGAUACACAUAUGGCUCACUACUCUAGGAGUAAUUUCCAUUGCAGAAGUCAUCCCAACAGCCGCAUACAUAUAUGUCACCACUAAUUAUAAUUCAAAACGAACCAACGAGUAUGCAUUUUGGGUCUGAGAAUCAAUGUUGAUUCAGAAGUUAUAUGCCAAUGCAACAGUAAGGAAUAGAUAAUAGAGUACAAAAAUGAUUAAGCAUUUAUAAAAUUGACUGAAGUGGAAGGAUCUGCCAUGUAAAACAAGAAAAUUUUAGGAACUAAACAGCUCAGACAUGGUAUCAGACAUAGUAACAGGUUGAUAAACUACUGUUUUUAAACAAGUGUCGGAUGAAGCAACACAGACAUAAUAAAGUAGAUAAAUUCGAGUUCAUCUCACAUUUUCUUCUUCUAGCAAGCUAGGCUCCGACAGGUCAUGUGUGCUUUGAUAAUUUAAAUGCCUCAUGGCCGCAGAAUCCUCUGAAAAAUAAAAAAAUAUCAAUAUUAACAGCACACAUCGAAAUAAAGGUUUUGAAUCUCAUUUUCUUUCCUUCUCCUGUUCCUUAUAGGAAAGAUGUGGUGGCACAAGUAAGAACACAUAUGAAUAUAAAAGGUGAGCAAUGUAUGCUUAAAAUCUGUGUACUAGAGAAAUCAUUUAGACACUCACUCAAACUAUACUAGAAGGCAGACAAACGAUGCAUUUGCCAGAAAAUAAACCAUUUCAUAGACCCCAUAUCGUGACAACUGAAUAUAGAUUAAAACAUCAUGUAUGCUAUUAGAUUAUUUUCAAAAUUACAGAUUAAAAACAUUUUCAACGAAUUAAUUUCGCAGAUUCCACAGUUUCUGCCUUAAUUACUGGAAGAAACAAACCUACGAAAAAUAGGAAGAAUGGCAUACAGAAUGAGAGUGUGGUACAAAACAAACUAGGAUCCCCUCUAACUGUCUCAGCAUUAUGGGAUCCACCACCAUAAAAUAUUUGCAAGGACUGAAGCAACAAAGUUUAGGUAUUCAAUGGUCUCAGGUUCAGUUAUAGGAAGAACUCAACCUGUAUUAUAGGAUAUUAAGGAUCCGAAGCAUAGAAGGUAGAGAUGUAAGGUAAUAUCCUUCUGAAAGUAGGCGUCCAGGCUGAUACCAACUAUUGCCUUUUCAUGAAUCCCGGUUAUAAAUUAAGGACUAUAAAUCUGAAAAUAUAAAGUGAAAUUCAACGAGCAAAGGGAACUUGAGCCUUCCAUCAAUUUUUGAAAUCAUUUGAGGUUUAAAUCGACUAAAUUAAGAACAAUUUGCUUAAAUGAAAUAUGCCUAUGUCUAAAAUAGACUGACAGAACAUUCUGGCCACUGAGCAUUUCAAAUCAAUCUUAGGCUGCAUUUUAUGCAACAAUGCUAUUAUACUAACACUUAGUAAUAAUUUGCAGCUCACGUUUUUUGAUUGGGAAUGAAGAAAGUUGAAUGAUCAUCCACCAUAUCCAAGUGGCAGCAGGGCAAUACCACUCAAAAAAGAAAUAGGAUGUACAAGAAUAAGGAAAAAAAAACAAAACAUACUCUGAAUAUGGUCAGCCUCAUCAUCGUCUAUAGGAACGUCUUCCUGGAAAUCAUCUACAUCUGACAAAAGCUUCCCCUUGUAAUGUUCAGACUCGUCUUCCUCUCCAUCAGAUAGGUUAUAUUUAUUUACUUUCUUCAAUUUUUGCUGGAAAAAAUUAAAUAAAAAAGGGGCCUCAUGUUAUGUCACAUAUGCAUUAAAUCUCUCACAUCAGGAAAUGGUGCUUUAUCGAAAAAGGAAUAAAGAACAUGCUCUCUGAAUGAAGAUGUCAUUGUUUAAAUGUAUUCUGCUUCAACUAAGGUUUUCUGAGGUUGGAAAUUCUAACCAUCUGUUAUCAUUUGGCUACACUAGUAAAUAUGAAUAGCCUAACUUUCGAUUAGAAAAGAGCUGUGAAUAAGAAGAAACGCCAUGUCUUUUAAAAUGGUUCACAUGUUCUACCCAGAAUCGCAAUUUCUCUCAACACAUUCAACCCAACACAUGUCUUUUAAAAUGGUUCGCAUACCUUAUGAUGAUAAAUGAAUUUCUCUCACUAAGUGGAUAAUUUCACUUAAUAAGGAGUUUAUGAAACUUCAAGAAAAAAAAUCAAAUAAAUACUCAAGAAAAAAAAUCUAUUUCACAUCACACUGCAACAGCACAAACAUCUUCCAAUCAAAUUAAGUGAACUGCUUUUCUUGAAAAUAACUGGGCAUGUUGGAUUUUUGGAAUUUGUUGUACCAUUUACCUCAUAACUAGAUAUUUGAACUAUAGGAGGUGAGAAUCUUAAAAGAACUCGUUCUAGAGGCCAUCCUUAUGUAUACAUCGCAAGUAGUAUAGAUCCAUAAGCGUAAAUAAAGGUUCGAUUUUCUACUUUUUUUGUAAUGCGAAUCUAAAUAUACAUCUCAUAUGAAAAAAAAAUGGAACUGUAGGAAUCAGUCAAUUUUUUCAAUGAAUCCUCCACCUUUGACAGAGGAUACAAAAUGACCUAUAGAUGAAUAACACACGACAAGCGUUUCCGAAUGUUCAAACCAAACUCUUCAAUAUCAAGAAAUUUGACCAGCAUAUGAUACAAGAAAGCAUAAAAUUUGAAAGAAAUUUAAAAUAAGAAAGGAACAAUAGAGGUUCCAACACAAUUUCCCAGAAGUCAUUGAGAAACAAAUCGACAAUCCAUCAGUGUAGCAGAAAUAGAGGUAAAUUAAGUGAAUACGAUUAAGACAUGUUGAGAUGAUUUGAAAGAAAUGAAACACCUAUUAAGAGAUAUGAGCAUCAUUUUCAUAAGGAUUGCAGAAAGAAAAACAGAAAAAGAGAGAGAUGUGGCGAAUAACGGUAUGACUAUUUAAAGAAGCAUAUCUCACGUAUUCAUCAAAUUUCCAAAAAGUAUUGUCGCACAUUGCACCAAGAUGUUCUAGGUUAGGCUCAGCUAUGCUAAGGUACCAACCCUCCCAAAAACCACGAAGGUCUGUACAUUCUCAUUACAAGAAAUCUUAGUUCAUUAUCCCACCUUACCAGAAAUAGCACAAAACGAGGUUCUUCCCUAUAACCUCUCUUUGGGGCAUGAAAUUCUAGUACAUAAUAAAGUAAAACUAAAUAAUAGGUUCUUCCUUCCACCUCUGUUAAAUUUGGCACUUUCUGGACGAUGAUGGCAAUUUUUGUACGAAAAUAAGAUCCAAUAAAGAAUCAGAUAACUUGGAGUUUCGUGCUAUGGGAAAUCAUAAACUUGAGAAAAGAGUAUUGAACUCCAGCUUCUAGGUCAUAAGCUUUUUAAAUUUUUUUCUGUUGAGCGGUGAUAUGAUACAGAGAGUUAAAAGGUACUCAGUCUAAAUGUAGACGAUACAGAGAAUGCUAAAAUGAUUAACUGUCGUAAAAGUGGAAGGGUCAUAUAUUUGAUAUCAUAAAAUUUAUGUCUCUAAUCUUAACUAAAUGAAGCAUAACGAACUGGGUGAACACAGAGUUACCUGACGCUCGCGUUGAAGACGCAGUAUGCCCUUAUCAAAUUCACCUAACGCAUCGUCAGCUUCGCCAAUGCGUUUAUCAACGAACAUGGAGGAUUUACGGCUCUGCUCAUAAUCCUUCAAAAGAGUCUUCCUUCUCUGCCCGAGUCAACACCACAACUAUAUUAAAACUAGUUUUACAAGUGUGAUUAUUUAUUCAUGAGAUUUCGGCGAAUCUAAUUAUAGAGAGAAAGACACAGAGGCAGAGAGAGUACAGAGGGAGGAGGUUUUUAGUGGAAUAAUGAGAAACCGAAGUUGUGGAAAUAAGAAGCAAACGAGAUAUUUGCCUUCUCAACGGCCCGAGACCGCGCCAAGCCAACGCGGCGGUCCUCGCCCUUCCGCUUCUUGCCGAUGACAUCCAACUUCCGACGGGAGUAUAUGUUCUCGAAAGGGUUCUCUACAACGGGCUUGGCUGAUUUCUGAGCUGCGACGCCCGGAGCGGAGAGCAGACGCUUCGCGCUCUUCUUCUUCUUCUUCCCCAUCUUCUCCCCCUUCGGAGUCGACGGGUCGGGGGCGCGGGGAUGCGCGGUGCGCUUCACCAUGUUAGAAACCCCACAGUGCCAGGCGGGGCGAUGGAGAGGGAGAGAGAGACCAAGAGGGUUUAGGGUUUUGUAGAACAGGAAAUCGCCGCUCCCUCCAACGGAAACAAUUAGCACUCGGCACCGGUCUAAAAUUAAAUAAAAUAUAUGAUAUCAGAAAAAAAAAGUAUAAAUAAAAUUAAUUUAACCCGAAUACUUGCCGUCGAUGUCGACCCGUCCAAACUAUUUAUUUAUUCAUUUAAUUAAAUAAAAUUUAAAAAAUUAUUGCAAUAAUUCAAAUGAUGGUACGGUGUUUUUCUCUGGAAAAUAAUUUUUAAUAAUGCUUCUGACCCUGAAAAAGAAAAUGACCAAAUUAACCUUUGUAGCGAUACUAUUGAAAUUGACUAAUAUUAUUAGUGACGUUAUUAUAAAUAGAUGGGUAAAUUAAUUUAUUUGAAAAGUAAAAUAUUUUCUCUUAAAUAGGGUAUUUAAUCUGAAUUUAGGAUUAAUCUAUAAUUUAAUCCUGGAGUUAUCUUCAGUAUUGCUACAGGGAUGUCUCUCUCUCUCUCUCCUACGAGAAGGAAGACACGUCCCCUUUCUCUCUCUAGACUAUCCGAAUCGGAGAGCACGUCGGCUCUGAAACGCUCGCGUUUUGAGAGCAUGUUUUUCAGCAUUCUCUCCAGAUUUAUGCGAGCUGGCCGUCGCGUGCCACCCGGCUGGGCAAACCGCGUGCCACGUGAGAUCUCGGCGGAGCGCACCGGUUGUAUACAGAGCACGACUUAUGUAGAUGGGAGAAUUGCCGGCCCUCGACUCGCCGGGCGGUGAAUAAAUAGUCCGUUGGCUUCCCGAUGAUCGGGGGGGUCUUUUCACUUCCUGACUACGACGAAUCUCAACGUCAGAGCUGCGGAGGCAGCAGCAGUCCAUCGGUUUCUGGAGUUGAUCGAUUGAUCUCCCUCAGAUUCUGCCGGUGGAUAUCUCCUGCGAGGCAAAACCGGGGCCAGGUCUCCGAUCUCUCUCUCUCUCUCUCUCUCUGCUGUUUCUCCGGCUCCCGGGGUCUAUCUCUCCCUCGGCCUAAGGUAUCUUAUCUCUCUUCCCUUUCUCGCUCUCAGUAUAUCUUCGACUAUCGGUUGGUUGAUUUCGGAGCCUUUUCUGGGGCGUCUGACCACGGACUGAUAAUAUUCAGGUCAACGGAGUAAUGAUUUUUCCUAGGGUAAUUGUUUGUUUCUCUCGUCGUCAGGUGCACAAUCGGUUUACGUACUUUUGUUGGGAGGGAUCAUGCAUCAUAGAGAGAAGAUCACAAAUGACUAUUUUCCCGAGUGGACUUGGGGAUCACAAAAUUUAAGAAAUGUUUAUAUUUUCCUCAAUGUAAACCAUUUUCGAGGAUCUAUUUAUUGAAGUUUAAUGAUUACGGUCCCGUGUUUCGAAUUGUUCAUUUGUUUUAUUCUCGCAAUGCCUAUUUUUGUGGCUCCGACUGUAUUGGCAAUUCUCAUUUUGAUCCAUCACUGAACAAAAAGGCCCAGGUGGCUGUUCUUCCUACUCGGUGAGCCUCAUUUGUUGGUAAUAUUUUAUCGUAUCAUUAAAAUCUUAUUUUAAACUCGUCGCUACGCUGUUAGCCAGAAUAAGUUUUGUUGAACUCAAGGUUUUCUUUUAGCAGUUACCUGUUCAUAUUUUAGAACAUAAAAUAGAAAGGAGAAAUUGCUCAGAAAUAACCCAUUCUUUGCUUCUCCCUAAUUUUGCUAGGUCUUUCGCCAGAUUGUCUCUUAUGCAGUUCGUUACGUUAUUUCCUCGACUGGGGGCUUUCACUUGCUGGAAUCCCCAGAUGCCACACAGAGAACACGCGGUGCUUGACAUAGAGCAUUCUCAGUUUUCCUUUCAAUGAUACUGACACGAUCGUAACAGAUACUUCUGUUGGCAAUUUUGGAAUUUACUGCGUGAGAAAUCAGUGCAGAGCAGCAAAGGAAAAUAAAAGAGAAAGAAAAUUUCUUAUUUUAUGGGCUCUUUUUGCUGCUGUUUGCACGAGGACCCAGAGGAUUACACGAAUGUUUCCUCCCCUGUCCACAGACGCUGCUUCUUCUUUAGAUGCCUAUCUGCCCAAAUUUUACGCAUGGUAAAAUUUAAAAUUUCCUUGUUAUUGUUGUCGGUUUUUAUUUGGUGGCAAAACUGGAAAUAAAUAACCUGUCUUCACCUGUAACGAACAUAGUGUUUCAUUACUCUAGCAGAGAAGGUAGCAUUUCUUGACUUUUUUGGUUUUUUUCGGAGUCAUGCAGGAUCUACUCUCUUCAAAUUAUUCCAUUGUAUCGCUUAAAUUUUGAAGCUAAGAUACGUCAUAGUUAACCAGAGGAAUGACUGUUUCAUCUUCAGAAAACAUUGGAUCUAUGCUAUGAACCAAUGUGCAGUUUGCUUCUGAUUUAUAGCCUGAUAUGAAAUGCCGAAGUGUCAGAACCAGGUACCAACGCCUAUCAUUGUGGGACAACUAAGAAUCUAUCGUAGAAAAAUGAAAUCGUAUAAGUCUCUAAAGGUGAAUUAAGGGUAGCCCUAUUGAUUUACAUGUGUAUCGUUGGCUUCAUGUCCUGUUGAUUGUAUUGGGAGCCUACACUCGCGUGUAACAGGGGAAGACGAAAUUCGAUCAGGUUUCCCGCUCAUGGAUCAUAGGAAUAAAGAGGUUAUCCAUUGUUCAACAUAUUUUGUCUUGAAAAGUUGGAUUUCCACCAAUCAUGUGCAUUUAUUCUGACAAGAAAAGAUUUAAGUAUUCGUGGCUGGGGUAUUGUCUGAAUUUAGUUCAGAGAUGAAGUUGCCUGUAAUUUCAGCCUUUUCUUCUGAAGAUAGCAUGCUUACUAAAAAUACUCUACAAAACAUCUGGAAAUCCACUAUAUGUGUCUUUUCAAAGGGUGAAUAACAUAAAUAGAGCGAUUCGAGUAAGUUCUACAUUUGAGAGAAUGCUUGUCUAUUUUGAUGACUAAGUAAAUGAUUAAAUAAAACACUAUGGUCUUAUAGUGCUUAAAAGAAAGUCGUGAAUUGAGAAGAACUUUCCUCUUUGCUGGUGAGACUAUAAUGAGCAAAAGUUUGCAUUUCCAUGUUUGUUCAAAAAUUCCCUAGUCGUCUGGCUAUAUUGUUAUAAGGUUGUUAAUGCUUCUAUUUCUCUAAUUACUUGUUUCCAGUACACUGCUCUUUUCCAAAGGGAAGAAAUACACGCUAUCCAUUCACCUGACCACGGAACUUCUACGUUUUCUGGAGAAGGAGAUGGUUCUAUCUCAGAUACAUAUCGUCCUCCUCCAUGGCCAUUAGCCUACGAUGAUCCUAGAUGCUCCCCUUUACGACAUGGACUCGCUCGACAUGAUAAACCCUCAAGCCAUAUAUAUGAAGAAUCAGAACCACUGAGACGAAGAUUGUAUGACUCUGACACGGAAUCUGCUGAAAUGAUUGACAAGCAGAAUGUUUCUGAUAGUGUUGGGCAAUCCAAACUAAGCCUUUCUGAGUCAUCAGUGGAUCAGACAGCGAGAUAUCCCUCAAGUGAAGUAACAUACAUCUAUCCGUCAUUUGAGGAUGAAGAUUCGUGCCCAAUCUGUCUUGAAGGUAUAUGGAUAUAAGUUUUUGUAUACAUUUGUUUUCAGGCAGUAAUUCAAUUCGUAUUACUACAUAUAGUUAUUCAUCAUCUUUUUAAUCAUAAUUGUGAGACCUACCUAACAAUAACCUCUGCGCUUUCCUUACAUUCAUUACAUCGAGGUACAGUGGAUCCUAUAGUUGUGUCGGAAUUCAUGUCUGAAGGCAGGCUUCAGGAAAAUUCCUAGAUCCAGAGAGCCCUCAAGUAGCUAAAGUUCCUUGUUUCUGCAGCCAGUUGGAAUCUGUCCUAAUGCUAUAAGAUGAAGAUCAUACAAUUACAAAAUUUCUCCAUUAGUUAAAAUCAACCUAAUGCAAAAGCUAUUUAUUGCUGACGCUUAUUUAUAUCAGCAUGUAACUUUGUAUGACAUAUGAAAAAGGUUUUUUUAUUGCAUAAUCUCUUCCUCCAGAGUCUGAACGUUAUGAAUACCAUUUUUACUGUUCAAUUCGCUGAUCUAGAUCUCGUAGUGGAAAUCUGCAUUAUUAUUUUCAGAUCUUACGUUAGUUAAGUGACCUCAUGUGCGCAGGUCAAUCCAAAUCCGGGUUCUUUUAUGUAAACAAGUUAAUUCUUGUGGAUGUAACGUAAAUAGCUAUUUGGUGUUGGUUUGUGCUGGAUAUCAAUAACCUGGUUACAUAAAUUGUCGCUUUUUUUUUGGUGUUUCCCCUCUGUUGGAGAUUGAUAAGUCCAUAAUUGGAAUUUCCUUUUCGUGGAAAAGGAUGAUGCUCCCUUGAAAAUUUCCAAAUAUCCAUUUCCCACAUUCUGAAGAAGAUUUGAAAUAAAAAACCUUCGAAGUGAGUAUAACAUCUUCCAAGUGACGGUCUACCCAAAAACAUCUGAAGAGUCUGCUAAAGAACUCCAACCUACCAGCCAACUGGCUGACAAUACAAAAUAUCCUUUUAAUAGUUUUUUGGAAGGCCCUUCUUGGCAAAAAGAUUAGGUCAUAUUUCUGCUCAAGCGAAUUCUGCAUAUGAAUUUUCAUGAUGGAACAAAUUUACCAAAAAAGUGCGCAUUUAAUUGGAAACUUUUCCUAUAUGGUGCUGGUGUCUGAAUUUUAGCGCCUUGAUUUCUUGUGCAGAGUACACUCCCGAGAACCCCAAGAUAUCCAUGCAGUGUUUUCAUUAUUUCCAUCUAGGUUGCAUAUAUGAAUGGAUGGAGAGAAGUGAUGCAUGCCCUGUCUGCGGCAAGGUAACCUAUUUAUGCUUGACUGGGUCCUGACCUAGGUCCUCUUGAGUGAUAUUUUUUGUGUGUAUGGAUUUUCUUUUAAUUAUAUCGUAUAUGUUCUUGCCACCUUUGACGUUGGGAUCCUGAAAACAGAAAAAUUUUACUGAACCUCGACGAGGGGUACCAGAACGUUGGUGUUACAUAACCUCCCUCAUCUUGAUGAGAUGUUUCCUCAAGAUACUGGUUACUUCGAUCUGCUUGCCGCUAUCCCCAAGUUUUAUGUCGCUAGGCAUAUACCAUGUAGCUUUGCUGUCAAUGUUUGUGUAGAGAGCUUCCAAAUAGUGGAGUGCUGUAUUUUAUUCGAUCUAUUUGAUUAGGAUUCUGAGAGAAGCUUUGAGGACUUUGCUAGGGCCUUUAACGCCAAAGUUCAGUGUAAUGUGACUACAGCCGAAUGGCAUCCACCUCCCCAUUUAAAGUAAAACCUGACUAGAUCGAUGAGUUGAAUUUGCUUGGACUUUAAUACCAUUUCACGUAUAUCUUGACGCGCAUCAGAUAUGAUUGGUCCUCCUUGCUUAGAAGCCUGAUUAGCAGUCAAGCUGGGGCCCUCUUUGAAUGAUCAAAUCAUAGGGUGAUUCACUUCGCUGAUCCCUCAUAAUCAGGACUUAGAAAGUCUCAAAUCCUUGCCCUCUUGUGGAAGUCGGCUGAGAAUGGACAUGGGCAAAUCGUGAUUGACAGCUGCUUUCUUGCUGUGAGCUAUUUUUGCUUGAGUAACUGCCCACGGUCUUUAUUUAUAUGUUAAGAAAUAUAGGUGUAUUUUGGUCAUUCUGGUACUAAGGUUUGUCUCUAUUUAAGGGACAUUAUGAUAUGAGAUAAAUGGUGAGAAAGUGUGUGGAGUUCUAGUCACAGCUCUCUCCCCCUCCGUCCUCUAAGGCGGAGGUUUUAUUCCCAUCUCAUGUAUCUCUUCCUAAAUUUACCUUGUAUAAGUUCAGAUAUCUAACUAUGAAUAUAGAAGCCAUUUAACCUCUGCAACUAUUAUCUAUCCUCCUUCCAAAAUAUCAUCUUACUUCGUCAUAAUUUCCAACAUUAUAUAACCAUGAAACUUAGAUCUAUUACAAAGAAUGGUUGAGAGGGAGAGAGAGAGAGAGAGAGAGAGAGAGAGAUUGGGGGAGUACAAUAAAUUCUUAUGUAACCGUCUGAAUGCAAAUUCACAUACUAGACAGAUUCAUGGGAAUGCAUCGUUUUAUCUUACCUCCUUCCUGGCGUUGACGGUUUCCUUAUUUUUGAUUUGAAACGGGUUACAAACGUUUCUCUUUUUUUUUCUUCUUCUGGGCGGGGUUGACUGUUUAACCUGUUCAGUGGCUGGUGGGGAAUUAACUCUAGAACAUUUUUGCCGUGACCAACGUUUUUAUUGGACUUUUCAAAAAUCAGUCUAAUGUUUCCGUAGAGGUGCAACUUAAUCGAGAAGGCCACUCUCUUGGGAAUUCAAGAUAUGAGUGAUUUUUUUUUCCAAAUUUUUUCGUUAUUUCCAUGAAUGUUUUACCAUUCAUUUAUUGAAAGAAAUCUCCUAGAUGCAAUAUAAUCAGCUUGGGAACUUGCGUUGAAAUUUCUCACCAUCAUCCUUUUUCCAGGGGAUGGCUUUCAGCGAGGCCCCAUGACGCUGGCCAGCAAGCCAGCCGCUCAAGCAUCCCCUGAUGGCUCCUCUCCUAACAGCGAAACUGUAAAGCUUGUGAAUAUGUAGGUCAAAUCGUGAUGGCAUCCCCGCCAUGCCCGCAUCCCUGCUCAGCACCGUUUCACUCGGAGCUUCAACUAUACGUAAAUUUAUGGGGCAAAUCUGUAUAAAUGAAUCAUAUCAUUUUAUUUUUUUUGAGAGAGGAGAGAGAGAGAGAGAGAGAGAGAGAGAGAGAGAGAGGUGGUGGUACUGCUGCCUCUGUUAUGCUGAUGGAUUCCAGUGGGGUUGCUUCUAUCCGAGCUUCAUUUGCAGGCAGAUUAGUCUCACAAGCUUGCCAGAAAUGGGAGAGAAUGGAUGAUGAUGAUGAUGAUGAUGAGUGCACACAAACCAUAGUCCAUAUGGGCUAAUUAUUCUUCAAAGAUCCGGGUUCAUUUACAGCCAUUUUCUGCAUCAACAGCAGCUCCCAUAUGACUGCGAGGUCCUAUAAACGAUGUGGGGCGGCGUUUAUUUCUCCAAGCGAUGGGCCGCUCACUGGGCAGCAGCUUCGAAGGCCCGCAGGAACGUUUCCGGCGGGCGGCCGCCGCUGAACUCUUCCUUUCCGUUGAUCUGAAAGGAGCGCGUUUGAGAGGUUUUCUUUAGUCCUGGGUGGCCUCGUCUGCGGAAUAUAAUCAUCAGACAAGUUACCAGAUAGUGUGGCACUCCGUUGACUCGCUCCGAAUUUCUCUCCACUUCCUCUUGAACCUGUACGGAUAUGAAUGAGAGGAAGGCCUCGAUGAGGUCGAUGAUGACGCUAGAGAGAGAGAGAGAGAGAGAGAGAGGAUGAGAGAGAACCUCCUUGAGCCCCCGGCUGGGGUCGUCGAGGAGCUCUGCCGCACCUUCUACGCCCACCUUGUUAGCAGCCUCCAACAGAACUUGCCUGCACCAACGUCACAAGGCUCUGAAGGGCGUUGACUCUGAAGAACUAAUGGCCCCUCCCCGUCCAAUGUUAUGAAGUGAAUGACAAGGGCGUUUCAAAAGAGUCAGCUCGGCCAGCUGGUCGACGCCCAAACAAGUCAACGCCUGGACGAUCCUGUGCGAGAUAGGGGAGAGGUGAAAUCCCUAGUGGACGUGGUUGUGGUUGUGGGAGGAGCAUCCGGGACGAGCCCACUGUUUUUCAAGGUCGAUCAUGAAAAAUUAAGGGUAUCUAAGUCAACCCAGCUUCUACGAUCUCAAAGUCAACCCGUCUUCUGCUUUGUCAGCCAAAUAAAAAGCCAAGGAUGCACCCACCGGUCGCCAAUAUACUUCCCCUGGGUGAAGUAAUUCAGGAACAGCUCCUCCACGAGAUCGUGCUGCUUCUGAAACCCUUGCUUUCCGGCAAACCCAAUGAGCCUGUGACUGUCCAGGGUGCUCCCCCUGCAAAGAUUAGCCCGCCUCCCUUGAGCUCCCUCGCUUCGCCGGUUAAUGCAGAAGGCGGGGAUCAAGGCGUUGACUCACCACAGCCCGGAGAGGUCAUACUCGUAGCCGAGGCUCCGGAAGACCUGCACAUGAAACGGCAAUGGAGUUCCACCUCUGCCCGCAGAAAGUCAAAUGGAAGCAGGCGGAGGUCGGCUGAGAGCGCGCAGAGACCUGCUUCAUCCUGGAGUUGAUGCUCUCGGACUGGUUUCCAAACUUCUGCUGGUAGAACUCCGACUUCUUCAUUCCGUCUUUGGGCGCGGAGGGGCUGAGCAGGAAGGGGUGCCACCUCACCUGCCCAGAGACGGAGAUCCACAGCGAGGAUCAGAUCACAAUCACAGGAGAGAAGACGGGGGGGCGCGGAGACGGGGGAGGGGGGGCACCUCAAAGUCAAACCUAUCCUUCGAUUGCUCCAUCGCCUUGUCGAGGUUCUUCUUCCCCACGAAGCACCAGGGGCAGACGGUGUCGGAGAUCACGUCGAUCUGGAUCCGCUUCCUACCGGAGCUCUCGCCCAUGGCUCGCGGCCCGAAUCCCCUGUAUCUGCAGGUCAACGGAAGGGCAGCGUAUCUGAAGGAGUUCGGCUUCUCUGCCCGGCGAGGAGAAACAGAUUUGGGCGAUUUGCACAGAGAAAUUGAAACCUAACGAUUAGAAAGCAAGAACAAGGGUACAGGUUCGGCGAAGGGUCGGACGAACGCAGCUAGAGAGAGAGGAGGAGAGAGAGAGAGAGAGAGAGCACGCACCUUGUAGAGGCUCCGAGGUGCUCCUUCCGGGGCGCGAUUAGAGAGAGAUAGAAAGGGCCGAGGGUAUAAGGUCGUCUCCCCGAAAGGGAACCGCGUUGACCAUUACACACAUGGGCGGUGGGGGGUCGUUGAAAAAAGUCAAACAUGGGCCAAUGGAGAAGAGUAAUACAUCGGAUGCUUGUUAGCCGCGCCGACGGCAACGGACUGGCCAAUGGUUACUUCUUACUGGGCCUGAACUUCGUGCCGUGCAGGCCCGCGAGCAGGUGCCCGCUAGUCAGCCGGAGAUCCUAUCGGGACGAUCAUUCUCGAAGCAGACCGAUUAUCUGAUAAUGCAGAAAUUCGAAAAUCGAUAAUAAUAGAACGAAUCGAUGCCUCGAAUGGGCGCAGUUGGUCAAAGCCAGAUCUCGCACGAAGCGAAGAUCUACCAAGAGCGGUAGGAAUCUCUUUACAGAAAGUCAAAGCCGGGUGGGAUUUCAACCGACACGGGGAAUGAGAUCGGACCCGGAAGAGGGGACCGACGCCACCCACCGGUGGGGCUUGACGAGCCGCCUGAACCAUCCAUAGUGUGAGGGAUGCGGCAUGGCGCGGGGGACGAUAUUGGGCAGGUCAACGCAUGCCGACAAGAAGGCGCAUCUCGCUCGUGGAAAGCGCGCCCUUUAUACGAUAUAUUCCUAUAAUUUACAAAAGCUGGCCCGCCCGGUGCUUCGGAGCGAUGCCCACCCCACAUCUCUCACGUACAGAGAUAGAUAAAUGGGCUGAUAGAGAGAGAGAGAGAGGCUAGCUAGAGUUGAGGUGGCUGAUCAUCCAUGGGGGGAGAGAGGCGCCGGCGCGGGGGGGCGGCUGGUUCUCCUCUUCCUCGGGGGGGUGGUAAAUCCUGCAGGGCAUAUUUCCACCACCGAGCCAGGUCAGCUUGUCGUCCACGUCGGACAGAACGUUGACAUUUCGUGGGGGGGGGGGGGGGGGGGGGGGCGUUUACCCGAUGUUGAGAGUGGUGGCGGGCAGCGUGUCGGCCAGAGAGAAGGACGGCGGGGACGAGGAGCCGCUGGUGGCGCUCUGGUUCUGGUGGUGGCGGUGGAGCGGGUGCACCUCCCACUGAGCCCUCUGGGCCAGACAAGCGACCAGGCUCUCCUUCUCCUGGAGCUGCGCUCAGAGGAAAAAAAGGAGACGCGUGUCACAUGCGGGCGCCGCCAGCUCAGAAUCGAUCCGCGUGGCUUACCAUGGUCUGCAGCGUGUUGUUCUGCUCUUCCAGCGUCUUCUCCUGCUCGAGCAACAGCUCGGGUUAGGGUUUUGGAUCAUAAUACCAUGCUUCGUGCUCGUAAUCACGAGGGAAAGAGGGGGGGGGGAUGACGUAAGGAUGGAAAUAUGGCUGACUUGAGUUCGUUGCAGGUUGAAAAUUUGACCGGGAUAAUUUCUGAAAAAUUGCACCGAAACGACUUAACCUCAAAAAAAUUCAGGCAGAUUAAAUCCCAGUUUCGACGUUGGCUCAUGAGAGGAUAUGGAGGAUUAAUGCAGAGUCGGAAAUAAACAGACAGACAGUGCCUUCUCUGUGGCCAUGCUCCGUGAUGAGGAUCUGAGCGUACCUUUCUCUGAAGCUCCGCGAUGGAAUCAAAGAGUAGAACGUUCUACAGAAAAAACGAUGGGUGAUCCUCCGGUCAGCGCGCAGAGAAACCAGACAUUAGAAUUACUAUUUUUCAAAAAAAUAGCAUUUAUUAUUUCCACGCUAAAUAUGCGCUAAAACUGUAGAUCAAGUCACAUUAUUGGCUUGUGUAUUUCUGAAAGGCGGGCACCUUUCUUGAUCUUAUUUCUUUGAGGCCCGCUUCCAGCUGCAGCUCCAGCUGCUGGAGGUCCUUGAGUUUCAAGCUUUCAAGAUCUUCACCCAUUAGAUGCCUGAAAAUGCCGGACCCCAGAGCAACAUAUUUUUUUAGGAAGAAAUAUAUUCUUCGUGAUUGGGUAGUUUUAACUACGUAUCCAUACCUUUGGUUCUUCAGCAGACAUUCAAUCUUGGCCUUUUGUUUGCCAUAUUCAAGGAGCCAUGUUUCCUACACAAAUUCGGUCAAGCCUGAUAGUGUUUUUUGAUGAAGAAUCUGUAUCUAGAUCUUGUUCUCAGAAAUGGUAUGGUUACUUCCUAUGCUACCAAGUCGACCAGGUGUUGCAAGUUCAUAUGAUAUUGAUCGGUCUUACUACAUACCGAAUUCAGUUUUGGGACGGGCAUACCUGUAAUUCAGGAUCUGCUGCUGCGAGAUCUCUUUGUGUACAAGAAUAUCGUUCGUAUCGUUGGAGAAUCCUUUCCAUGCUGCUUGUGAACAAAUCGACAUUAAAAACUUAUUUAAACCUCCAACGGAGUGCACAAAAUGCAUCAAAAAUUUAUUUAAAACUUCAGUCCAAAAAUUGCACGAGCAAUGUAUCGAUGUUGAAGCGGGCAGAUACUCUUUCCCAUCGUCUACCGCAAGAAUUUAGUCCCCUAUUUUUCUGUCUUUUUUAAGAAUGUAAAAUACCACGGUAUGAAAAGUCUGAUUUUUAUUUUUUAUUUAAACAAGACGCUCCAAAAGUCCAAUUUUGAAUCUUUAGUUUCUCCAAAUGAGUUUUGAUAAGCUAAAGAUAUCCAGGAUAGAUAAUUUCUAACAGAAAAUAUAGAGAUACAUCCUUACAUAUGCGUAUGUCUGAAAAAAGUGAUUACAAUACAAGACAAGACUCUAGGAAUGCUGCAUGAUGGAUGGCGAGUUCUAACUCGGUUAUACAUCUAAGAGGAUCCCCCAUGUCUGCUCCGUUUCCUGGAUAUCAGACAAGUCCCGAGGCUCAUCCUGCCUGUUUUUACUUAAGCUUGAUCCAAAAAGGUUCUUUUUUAACGUUAAAAACAACCAGUGACGAUGUUUCUUUGGCAAAAAUGGAUCUGAAGUCAAAAGAAAACUCGAUUCUAGUAUUUUAAUUACUACAUGAGUGCACCAUCCCAUAAUGUGAAUAACUCAGUACGGCUCUUCCUUGAGUCAGUUACAUCUUGCCAAAUUUUUGGACUUAGAUAUAGAUUUAGUUACACUCUACAAAUCGUUCGUAGAAUUUACACAGAAGUGUCCUCUUCCAGAAAAUAGAUAACAACACUAAAUAGAUGCUACAUCACGGUGCCGAGAACGCUAGAGUAGUAGCACAGAGCAGCGUGGAUGAUAGUGGCUAGCUUUUGUCAUGAAAGGGAGGCCAAGGCUGAGAAACCAAUAAAGAACCAUAGAAGAUAUAUUAAUGAAAACUAAAAUAAAUUUCAUGAAUGUAUCCACAUGCUAUGCUGCAACAUAUAUUUCGCACAGAUACUGUAUGAACAAGAAGCAACUACAUACUACUCUGCCGUUGAUUUUAAGAAAAAAUUGAACAUAAUUGCUAUACACAUAAUGUGAUUAUAAAGGUAGGAUCAAAUUUUUCUGUCGCUACCUGAAUAUCUACUGAUCAUAAUUUUUAAGGUUUAUAUACAAAAAUUCCAAUAUUUCAGUACACUCUACUGAAAAGUUCCCAAGAAAGAGAUUGGAGUGAAGGAGCACGCGGAGUUCAAGCUUGAAUAUCUGCUGAACCUCCUUUUGUCGACUGUAAUGUCGUGCGGAAAAUUUUCUAGAUAAUUUAGGGUUCAAUCAUCUUUUAUUGCUCCAGAUUUUGCCAUCCCUUUCUUUGUAUCUUCACCCUCGAUAUCCCAGUUUUGUCGUUUAGGGUACCCAGAAUGGAAAAAGAGGAACAUGAUCAGACAACUCUGAAGGAAACACGCGACUGGUUGCACCAGUUGCUGACAUGACGAGAGAGAGUCCCAAGCUUUCCCAAGGAAAAUGAUAGGUCAAUAAGAGAAGGAAAGCCUUAAAACUGAAUCUUGCUGUCGUACAUUUCCUAAAUAUAUACGACGACUCUUUGAUGAGUUAUAAUAGAAAUAUCAUUGUGUAUUGUACAGGAGUACUUGCCCAUAAAGUAAUAUCACAGCGGAUGGUGAUUAGGAAUCCUGCCUCGAUUGACUCUUCUGGCAUUCUCCCCCCGUAACUACUACCGCAGAAGAGCAGAAACUACUCCUGUGCUUCUACUGUAACUACUAUAAAACAAGAGGAAAGAGAGUAGCAUCAGUUGCCGGGGCAAGGACUCCACGCAGCGCCUGAGCGGUUGAUCGAGAAUAAGAAAAUUAACCUCCACGAAUAGAGCACUCAAGCAGACAUAAUUCCACGGAGCAGAAGCAAAUCCAUAACGAGAAAACAAAAUAGCAAGAUGGAACGUAGGGGACGGAGAUUAGAUAGCGGAGUGCUGAAUUAUCGCACCGGGGGUGUCCGUUGCCGCCUACCUCGAAUCGGUGGAGUACUCGUAGAGCUUCCCCUUGGUUGAGAAUAUGAUAAGAGCGACGUCCGCGUCGCAGAGGACCGAGAUCUCGUGUGCCUUCUUCAGCAGCCCCGACCGCCGCUUCGAGAAGGUCACCUGUCGGUUGAUCUUAUUCUCGAUCCUCUUCAGUUGCACCCUCCCUCUCCCCAUCUAUCCAACCACAACCGAAGCUGAUCGAUCGCCUCCUCCGCGGCCAAAAUCCACCAGAAAAAAACGGCAAAAACAACCGCACGAAUCUCUCCGACGAGCAGCGUAUCGUCGUCGCCGUCGUCCUCCUCCGGUGGCGGAGAAGAAGCGUGGAUGAGGGGGGAGGAUCGGAGGUGGAGACAGCAGAGCCAGCGAUGGCUGACGCUGACGGGAAGGAAGAGUCGACGGAGGAGCCGCACCGUGAGAAGUCCCAAUAUAUAUAUCCCCCCUCGACGGCACCGAGCGGGGCUGACAUCGAGGAGAGAAGAGCGGUUUCCAGAAACCAGCGGUUUUCUCCUCCUCGUUGUCGAGCUCCCAUUGGCCAGUAUCCACGCACACGAUCCCGAGACCUCACAGAGGCCGUACAGUCCACGGCCGCAACUUGGGAUAUCUCUAACCGCCCUCUUUGUACGAAACUGCCCCCCCGCCCCCAUUCUCUUGUGAAUUUACCAACUACCCCUCGUGCCGACCUGUGAUGGCCCGUCCUUUAUGGAAUCCCUGGGGAGAAUCUGUACGGCGGAUUUGGCCGCCCGACAGCCGUCCCUCCGAUGCUCCCCAUCCGGUGCUCCCCUGCAUCACGGCCGGAAUCCCCUUUGUCCACGGCGGCGCGGUUCUCCGAGCAGGUGCUUCCCUGGAUGACGUCACAAUGAUGACGCAAUCAGCAUGACCACAUCACGCCUGGCGCCGGCAGAGCGUGAGUGGGCCUGUCGGACGGGUCUGCCGACGUGGACGAGUCAUCUCGCGAAACGUAUCCCCUGCUGACUCGAAAUAACGGCCCAUGUAGAGGGUUGCAGGGGGGAAUCUUGACCUAUCAUCUACCCAUCACACAAGUCGUCCAGAUGGGACGUAGGCAGUGGGCUAGGGGCCGCCAUGAAGUAGGGAUAUAUGCGCAAUCACCUGGGCACAAUUCCAACGAACUUUUCGGAGAUGGGCCAAUUAUUAAUCUUAUUUAUUUCCCAUUAUACUCCCAAAAUUCUCUUUAAUAUUAAAAAAAAUCGAACCUUUGAACGGGCUCUCUCUCUCUCUCUCACACACACACACACACACUCAUUCAGGGGGAGAGAGAGAGUGGAGGGAGCGGGCUCAUUUCGUCUACAUUAAUCGGCUCCAUUUUUAUUUUUAAUAAAUUUUAUAUUUUAGGCCGUCAGUAGUCUAUAUUUUUGAAGCAAUAAUAAUCAGCGGGAAAUUUUCCGGGAUAAAAGCUAUUAAAUAAUUAUGUUGGAGAAAAUAACGGCUAUAUUUUAAUAGUUCACCUGAGGGCACGUGCCUGAAUGCGCCCACCAGUCAAUAAUGUAUCCGAUAAUGUCCGAGUGGGAGCUGAGCCGCCGGACGCAGAGGCGGCAGGUUCAUGCAUCGGACUCCGCGGGAGAUCAGGAGAAGAUGAUGGCACAAAUACGGAAAGUAAAGCGCUAGGGGCGGAUGCCUGAAUAGGACACGUUUUUGUCGGCGGGGAAGAUAUUAUAAUACCGGAGCGGAGACGGUGGGGAGAGAGAAUGAGAGAGAGAGCUGCAUAAAUAGAUAGAGAGAGAGAGAGAGAAAGAGAGAGAGUGAGAGAGAUAGAUUGAUAGAUAGCGAUAGAGAGAGAGAGAGAGAGAGAGGUNNNNNNNNNNNNNNNNNNNNUUUGGCUCGAAAGAUGGCGCUGCCCGAGUCUUGGGGUGGGGGGGUGGGGGCGGCGCUCUCUCGGGCGGCGAAGUUGGCCGGAUUUAUUGCUCCGCACGGAAGUUUUUUGCGGCGGAUGAUCAGAGACGGCGGCUGCCGCCAAUCCAGAAUUAUAUUUUUAAAAAGUAGAGAGAAAGUGAGAUGAAUAAAUAAUAAAUGAUUCCCGUCCAUCUCUAUAUUUACUGAAUUUGGAAUGAGACUGGGAGGGCCGUGUAAUGUGGUGAGCAUCACCCCGGAAGCCGGCCCUCCCUGUUUUUGCCUAUUUUAGAUCCAACGAAGAAGCUCAGAUGAUAAAUCUUAGCUAUAAUCCGGCUCAUCAGAGCCGGAGUUCAAUUAUCCUUAUGAAGGUAUAUGGUUCAGCCAAGCAUGAAGUAAAUUCAUCCAUUAGGGUUCUAGUGCAGGGAUAGGGAUCUUUCUCUCUCUCUCUCUCUCUCUCGCCCGAUCACUCUUCAGCAGCUUAUUAAUAGAUGACAGGACACACAGAAGCCAGGGAGGACUUUUCUUACGCAGAGACAUGAGUGGGAGGGGAGAGGGUUGACUGAUCAAACCCAGCCGCUGACGAACCCGCCGCUCGCAUUCUGGGUCAGCGCGGGGGGGCUCAGCUGGUCGACACCGACGGGGGAGUAUCUGUAAGAAAGGCGAGAUCUUUAGUGUGGUGGAGAACAAGUCAACCCGUUUUCUUCUCGGGGAUCUGAUGGGGGGGUGGCUACCCGAUCUGGAGGGGGAGAUCGAACCCUAGUAAUGGCUGGAAGAGCCCCUCCGGAUGGGCGGCGGCCUGGUGACCCGAGGGGUUGCCCGAGUCAACUCCGCUGAUCCCCCACGUCAGCUGGAGGCAGUUCUCCGGGCCGUUCUCUUGCAGCUGCCGGAGAAAUAAAACAAGAACUCAGCUCUCGGGGUUGACCAAUAACUCAGCUGCUCGAUCCGAGAAACUGGUCAAAAGCGCCAUCAUUAAGAUCGAUGGGAUGUAAUGAGCGGACUGAGAUCGCCGUCAACUUUCCAUUAUCAGCAAAUAUCGUGGAUAGGUUUGACUAAAUCACCUUCUGUCUGAGGACGCGGUUGGAUUCCUGCAGCAUCUGUUCCUGCGCAACGUGAGAUUUCCAUGCAUGGGAAGUAUUAAAUGCGAGAAACUAUGUGGGAAGGACGAGUGAACCACAAAAAACUGAAACCACCGAGAAUAAUAUAGACAGCAAUCAGACACUUUUACCUUCCUCUUGAGAUCACAGAGCUGGUCGAGCAUCACUUGCGUCUGUAAAACACGUUGACGAUGAAAAAUAAGACGUGGGAUUCAUCGUUAACUUCCGGUCUAGUCUAAGAACGUUAGCAGAAAGUCAACUACCGGGGGAAGAAAAAGACGAGGCAUAUCGUUCUGUUCAUCCGAAGAAAGUAAUACGUAUCGCGCAAAUCUAAAACAUAACAGAAUGCUUCCAGCAUUAAUUGGAACAGUCAACACCAACAGUCAAAAUACGGAGCCCGCAAGAUAAUUGGUCAGGAAGAUGAUCUUCAUCUCAUUGGAGAGCCCUGCAUGAACGAUGCUAAAGACACGGCUUCGUCACCGCUUUUAAUACUUAUUUUUAUCCAUCUGUUCGAUAAAAAGAUAUCAAAAUAAAAACGCAUUUAUGAAGUAAGAAGAAGAAAAAGGACAAGGGAAAAAAGGGAAAAAAAGAAGCUCGGUUUAUCAUGAUGAAUCGCCGCAGGCUCUACCUUAGUCGAUCUGAUGUGCUUCAGAGAAAUCUCUAGCUGGUUUUCGAGUUGCUCGAGCUCCCUCGUGUUUAAAGAGUCAAGAUCUUCUCCAAGAAGGGUUCUGCAGCAGGAGGCGGUCUUUUAACAGACCGCAGAAGACGCAAAAAACGCUGGAUCAUGCUGUUCUUGAACCUGAGCCGGCGAGAAUUACCUCUCCGAGCGUUUCAGAGCUUCUACCCUCCCCUUGAGUUUCAGAUACUCCUGAUAACUAUUCUGCUUGAGGACAGAACAGAGGUCAACGUCGUUAAAAACCCUUUUUUACCGCUUUUUUCCCCCCUUCUUUCGGAACGUGGAAGAAGUAAUAAAAAAAGGGAAAAAAAAGAUGAGAAAAAUGGAUGUGAAAAGAAGGGAAGAGAAGAGGAAGUUUGAGAAGGAUUUUUGAUCCACCCAUAACCAAAGGGGUACUGAAUUAUUUUGAAAUAAAAUAAUAAGGAAUUGUUUUCAUAAAAAGAAGUUCGGAACAAGGGAAUCACUUUAUUUAUCCCUCUACUUUCCAGAUUUUUAAAUAACUAUUUUUAUUAUUAAGUUAGGAUGAAUAAGACGCUAUCUUGAAAAAGGAAAGAAACAUCCAUGAAAUUUUCUCAGGACCCAAAGGACUCUCUAUCCCUUUAAAAGCAUAAUAAGUUAAUCAGGCUAUAGAUCUGGAUGAUGACUCAGUAUAGUGUUUAUAAGAAGAAGAAUAAAUACUAAUAAAGUAUUAACUACAGUAAUACUAUCAAAAUGACAAGUCGAUGAUCAUUUAAGAAAAACUCGAAAAGUAGUUUGGAAAGCUGUUUGGUAAAGGCGAGUGGGAGAUGGCAACCUGAGUCUCUUUACAAGGAACAACCGGCUCCGCAAUAGAGUAGCUACAUUUUUGAUACCUCUCCAACGUCUUUUGCAUGCUGCAACAAUGAGAUGGUACAAGAAAAAAUUUACAUUCUCAUUUAUCCUGGGGAAAAUAAAUGAACUCCAAAAAAUGAGACGUGUGACUGAUUCCUAAACUUUCAUACGCAUUGAACCAGGAUAUUAUAUAAUAAAACAAAGAACCAUGUGGUCAUUAACAUUAUUUUCUCUACUCUCGCUCAUACUGAUGCCCAAAAAUGGACCUUCUAUCGAAGAGUUUAAUUCAUUACCACAGGAGGGUGAAUAGAUGAAUACAUGAAAAAAAAAGUCAAACUAAAAUGAGUACUACACUGUCCGCACUGUUCUUGCAUUCAAAGUUAUUCCUUAAUUACCUCAAUAUCCUUUUGACUUUAAUCACUUUUCUCUGUCAAAUCCAAAUUAUUCAUCCGUCAUGUAGAUUUUUGUGUCAAUGGGGUUGACUAGCAAACCUUUUUGUGUCUGAUGAGAAACCAAGCAUAACUCAUAUAACAUGGAACCUAAUUACUUAUUAGGAACAUUUUCUUGUUAAAAUUUAGAUAUAUUUUCAUGUAAUUUAAUAUGGAUUUCAUUAUACUUGCAUUAAAUUCGACGAGUUUGUCAACUUAGAUGUCUGGUAAAGAAUAUGGGAAACAUUCUGCAUUGACGAUAGUUUAGAUGGAAAUUAACUUUAAGAAAGCUCAAAGGUACCAUUAUUAGCUUCACUAAAUAUUAUACUUAAAAUAUUCCUGUAAUUAUGGUCUUACCAAGAAAUAAAUGCAUUUAUAAGAAAUAUUUGUACAAGAAAUUCCAAAUAAUUUGAUCUUUUCUUCACAAAAAUAUCCCCAUAUAAAGGAAUAACUUUAUUGGAAAUAAAAGACAAGGUGGUUUCAUUCGGCGGGGAGGGGGCGGGGGGGCUAUAGCUCGCCAUUCAGAGCUGCUGCCUCUGUGAUCAGUAGGAAUGCCUACCUUCGCUCUAAAGAUUUUGGAAUGUCCCGGACGCCAUGGAGUACUGCUGGAACUGGAUGAGGUUCUCAAUCAUUCAACCAAGACGCCGUUUUUCUGGAUGAUUAGUUCAUGCUAUGCUAUCGUCCAGCCGGGAGGAAGAGAGCAAUGGAAGAAAAUUUCUAGGGCAGAUGAAGUUACCUCUGAAGAACUGUUUAGAUCCAAACCCUAAAACGAUCCAGAGAGAAAAUUCAAACUGAAGUCGAGAUUUCGAGGGUUCGCUUCUAAUACUAGCCUGGUUUUCAGGUGGUCUGAUCUGAUCUAGACGUCAGACUCGUGCCAAGAUAGUUUGGGUUUCUUCCUCGAGAUCGCCUCCAAUGUCACGCUUCUGCAAAACCCUAGCCGUCGUUCACAGACAACGAUGAUACCUGACAUAGCCGAACGUCCCGUCACUCGCCCACAGAAGCCUCUCCAUGUUCUCGAGCUCAACUGCUCCAGAAGGCUGUAGAUCCAACGCUUUAGCCACGAGACCGGAAGGAAGGAUAGGCAUCCUGUGAAUGGAGUCUCCGAUGGGACAACCGGGAUCAGAAGCCCAGCCGCGCGGGAUAUUCACUAGAACCCUAGAUUUCGAACGUAAGGGAGCUGCUGGGAUCCACGAUGAAAGGAAGAAAGAGAGAGGGGAAAAGAGAAGGAUCUGGAAGAGAAGAGGGGAGAUCGCGCAGGGCGGAAGGAAACGCAUGCCUCGAUGAGUCCUUGAAACCGCAGUCGUCGACUCUCAUGACACCAGGAGAGCUUUGUUUCUCAGAUUUCUUCGUGGACGGGAAGGAAAGCUUGAUAAGAAAAAGUAGCUCUGGACCUCGGAGGUGAGACGUCUGUGGAGUCCUCAGGAGGAGGAGAGGGAUAGUUCCUUCUGGGGAACCCUAAAGGAUUAUGACCAGGAAGAUGUGAAGUCCAGCGAGAGAGAGAGAGAGAGAGAGAGAGAGGAAUCUAGUGAGAGUUUUCAAUGGGAAGCACGAAAUCUGGAAACCUAACGGAAAGGAAAUAACAGAGAAUCUGCACCAAGAGAAGACGAUCGGUAUAACAGGGAUGUUCCGAGCUCCUUUCCACCCUUGCUUCGUGUAUUCUGACGCUCGGACAGUGCAGGCAAUUUGCACAAAUUUCACACAAAAUGGAUCAGCAAGCUUGCCGAUCGGCGCAGAAAGUUACAGGCGCUCGUGUCCUUCGUCUGGUUCAUCCCUGGAGGACACAGAAUCGUAUUUCGCCGGAAAUUUCCUGCAGGAAGGAGAGGGGAAGGGAUGCGAGGACCGCGGUCGUUCAGGCGAUCACCUGUUGCUGCUGAACUCAUAAAGCUUGCCGCGGUUGGAGAAGAUGAUCAAGGACACGUCCGCAUCGCAGAGCACGGAGAGCUCAUAGGCCUUCUUCAGCAGGCCAUUCCGGCGCUUGGCGAACGUCACCUGCCUGUUAAUCUUGUUCUCGAUCCGCUUCAGCUCCACCCUCCCCCUCCCCAUCUCUCCUUCUCAACCUCUCUCUCUCUCUCUCCCUCCCUCUCCUCCCUCCUCCUUAUAAUGCCCUCUCCCCUUUCGUUUCCUCCUAAUCCAUCCCAGAAAUGGAAAAUCCCCCGGCGAUUACUGCAAAUCAUCUUUGAUUACACCGACUGUUAGGUGAAGCAGACAACGCAGAUUGUCCUGGGGAAGGAGGCCCUUCUGUUCCGCCCUCCUCCGACCUUCACACCAUUCUCUCUCUUCUUGAUAGAGAGAGAGAGAGAGAGAGAGAGAGAGAGAGAGAGAGAGAGAGAGAGAGAGAGAGAGAGAGAGAGAGAGNNNNNNNNNNNNNNNNNNNNNNNNNNNNNNNNNNNNNNNNNNNNNNNNNNNNNNNNNNNNNNNNNNNNNNNNNNNNNNNNNNNNNNNNNNNNNNNNNNNNNNNNNNNNNNNNNNNNNNNNNNNNNNNNNNNNNNNNNNNNNNNNNNNNNNNNNNNNNNNNNNNNNNNNNNNNNNNNNNNNNNNNNNNNNNNNNNNNNNNNNNNNNNNNNNNNNNNNNNNNNNNNNNNNNNNNNNNNNNNNNNNNNNNNNNNNNNNNNNNNNNNNNNNNNNNNNNNNNNNNNNNNNNNNNNNNNNNNNNNNNNNNNNNNNNNNNNNNNNNNNNNNNNNNNNNNNNNNNNNNNNNNNNNNNNNNNNNNNNNNNNNNNNNNNNNNNNNNNNNNNNNNNNNNNNNNNNNNNNNNNNNNNNNNNNNNNNNNNNNNNNNNNNNNNNNNNNNNNNNNNNNNNNNNNNNNNNNNNNNNNNNNNNNNNNNNNNNNNNNNNNNNNNNNNNNNNNNNNNNNNNNNNNNNNNNNNNNNNNNNNNNNNNNNNNNNNNNNNNNNNNNNNNNNNNNNNNNNNNNNNNNNNNNNNNNNNNNNNNNNNNNNNNNNNNNNNNNNNNNNNNNNNNNNNNNNNNNNNNNNNNNNNNNNNNNNNNNNNNNNNNNNNNNNNNNNNNNNNNNNNNNNNNNNNNNNNNNNNNNNNNNNNNNNNNNNNNNNNNNNNNNNNNNNNNNNNNNNNNNNNNNNNNNNNNNNNNNNNNNNNNNNNNNNNNNNNNNNNNNNNNNNNNNNNNNNNNNNNNNNNNNNNNNNNNNNNNNNNNNNNNNNNNNNNNNNNNNNNNNNNNNNNNNNNNNNNNNNNNNNNNNNNNNNNNNNNNNNNNNNNNNNNNNNNNNNNNNNNNNNNNNNNNNNNNNNNNNNNNNNNNNNNNNNNNNNNNNNNNNNNNNNNNNNNNNNNNNNNNNNNNNNNNNNNNNNNNNNNNNNNNNNNNNNNNNNNNNNNNNNNNNNNNNNNNNNNNNNNNNNNNNNNNNNNNNNNNNNNNNNNNNNNNNNNNNNNNNNNNNNNNNNNNNNNNNNNNNNNNNNNNNNNNNNNNNNNNNNNNNNNNNNNNNNNNNNNNNNNNNNNNNNNNNNNNNNNNNNNNNNNNNNNNNNNNNNNNNNNNNNNNNNNNNNNNNNNNNNNNNNNNNNNNNNNNNNNNNNNNNNNNNNNNNNNNNNNNNNNNNNNNNNNNNNNNNNNNNNNNNNNNNNNNNAGGAGAGAGAGAGAGAGAGAGAGAGAAGGGGGGAGGUGGGGAAGACGAAGAUGAAACGGGAGCACCAGAACCCUAGGAUCUUCAGGAAGGGAGGGGAAGAAAGGAGGAGGAGAGAGAGAAUUACCUCCGUUGGGAAGCAGAGAUGAAGGCGUCCACUCUGGGGGCGGCGACGGUGGCGGCGAGCAGCAGAGCUCCCACCGCCAUCCCCGCCACCUCGCUCGCCGUCACGUUAUCCAUCUCCGAUCCGCCCGCGCCUACCCCGCGCUCUCUGGCGUUGGUGAAGCAGAACAUAUCGGGCUGCUCAUUUUCUUAAAAAAAUGAAAUACGGC
This 123791-nucleotide long non-coding RNA is filed under the name Spirodela polyrhiza (greater duckweed). Its description in RNAcentral is "long non-coding RNA (SPOL_LNC001282)". Lineage: Eukaryota; Viridiplantae; Streptophyta; Magnoliopsida; Alismatales; Araceae. The record is from RNAcentral.